CUGAAUGCAGAUUCUUGCUGCUCCUCCUGGAAACCCGAUAAUUGAAGUGCCUCGUUUGUUUGUGUUGCCUAGCCUACAGGAAGACUAAGUUUAUUUUACACUCCUUCCGCCUUUAUGAUUUUAACUCAUAUUAGAUCAUCCCAUUAAGGGAAAAAAGACCAUAUCACAUAAGUAUGAAUCGUACAUUCUGAUUUACAAUCAAUAAAAUAAAAAUAUAGAAUUUGAACAGAAACCAAAAGUGUGAUGGUUUAGUUGGAGCAGCCCAUCAGGCGUUAUUGGACUUAGGAGGGCACCGACUCGUUAUCCUUCCACUGCAUAGAGCGAAAACUGUUCGUUGCUCUGUGAAACCAGCCUCUUUUCAGCCUCACGCAGUCUGCUCCACUUUAGGAACCCUGCAGCCCAUUCCUAAAGGCCCAACUCUGUGCUUGGACAGGGCAGGCCAGAAACUAACCCACCAAACCCAACCAUCUGGACAGCCCAACAUUCCACCAACUUAAUGACCCCACUUGGGUUACAAGCCCACGUUACUGAACCAGGCAGGCAGUAUUGCUUCAUAAAUUCAUAUAAACAAAGAAAGAUUAUUAUUCAAUAACGAUGUGGGACACAUUGUUGUCAAAGCAUAAAAUCUAAUUAGUGAAAUACUUAAUAUCUUAAGAAAGUCAAAACAUGUAAUUAAUACUUAAUUAUACUCUAAAACUAAUAUGUAAAAACAUGAAAUCUAUUGGAGUGUUACAUGAGAGAUUAUGGUAGGGAAGGAUAGAGGUCAAAUUGAGACUAGAAUUGAGUGUUACAUGAGAGAUUAUGGUGUAUCAACAAAAAAGUGGCAAUGAAAAAAUUUUAAGAAAUGACUCAAGUAUCGUGGAAGGAUUUAAUUGAAGGAAUUCUACGAACUCUCUUCAAAGAUUCUCACGCAUAAUUUAUGUAUCAAUUUUCUGUCAGCUAGACAAAUCUGAAAAUGGUGUAAAAAAAAUAGUCUUCAACAGUUUCAAUUUUCGCCAUAAGGAAAUAAAUUGUCAAAUGAUAAUGUGUAAAUGUCAGAAUACGCACAAUAGCUUAAUUAUGUUAAAUAUGUCCUUAAAGUAGAUAUCAACAUUAAAUCUAACUAUUAUUGGUAAAAAUUAUAGCACUCUUUGUUAAUACGCACUCAAAAUAUUUUAUUGUAGUUUAACUCCCAAAAAUCUCGAGACUUGAUAAUUCUCAAACUUUUUCUUGUUAGUCCAUCUAAUAUUGUCCCCACCGAAAAAUACAAGUCUUGGUUACAACAAUGUUCCCAAUCAAUAGGUAGACCAAUUUAAUAUUAGUUCAAUUUCAAUAUAAAAAGUAGAAAAGUAAGUAACAAGCAAAAUAUCCCAAACACUAAGUCUUUUAAAAUGAAAUGCGAUAAACAGAAAUACCACCUAAGUACAACAGUUUCUACAACAUGACAGAAGUCUGAAACUGUAAUGACAAGUCUAAAUGUACGAAAAUUUAUGUACAAACACAUACUAAAUUAUUCCAUUAUAUAUGACGUGCACGUUGUGGUUCUUAAUUCCCUAAUCCGGAAAAUGGAAGGAGAAGCUCUGAGGAAAUACAUCAAUUUUUUGAUGAUUUUGCUCUCUUCUCUGGAAUCAAAUGGCUUUUUUUAUGCUCAAUGCACAUCCUUACCAAAGAUGGAACACAAGCAAACAAUAGCUUUGUAAAAAGCAAUUCAGUUUUUGAGCACUCAUAACAAUUGACGGCUACAUACUUGAGGUUGUUGAGUCGUAGAUCCAAGCAAAUAAUAGGUCUGUCUUUAGCAUAAUCUCCAGAAGCACAUACCUAAUGGUAUUAAACAAACAUUGAAUUAGUCAAAACUUCUCGUACUUACAUAGGCCUAUCAUACUAAGUGGAUGCAUUCCAUAUCAUGUUAAAGGUUCACAGAAUACAUAAUAUUCCAGGACAAAAAACUUAGAGAGGAGUGGAACCGGUAUUCAAAUUGGCAGUCACAACUACAAAGAAGUACACAUAUCAAGUUAUGAUUACAUUAUAAUUUUCCAUUACUUACCGAAAUCUGAAGUAUGCUCAAGUUGGGGCAACUCCUAAUCAACUGUAGGGCGCAAGUAGUCUGAUGUAGUUUUCUCAAGUCUAUUUCUAAUUACAACUUUUGUAAGCUCGUAAAAGGACCCCCCCCCCUAGAAAUUAUGUCAGCCGUCAAAAGCUCUUGCACACAAAAAUAAGUCGACUUUCUACAAUAACCUAGGAUCAUAUUCAUAGACUUUAUUUUCACCAACCAAACAUAAGAAAACAAGUCAAAAUCUACUCGUUAUCUAGGAAAAUAUUCCCCAUGGAAAACAUUUUCCUUCAUACCAAACACACCCUAAAUUCAAAAAUAGUGAUUUGAUAAUAACAAUAAUGGAAUAGUUGGUGGGUAAUGAAUAUGGGGAGCAAAAUAUAACUACCCAUACGAAUCUCAAAAGAACCUCUUUAAAAUUGCCUCUACCGAGCUCUCAAGGUUCAAAAUAGUGAAAUGCGGAUGAAACCCUAACUUUUGGAAAGAAAUUAUUUCCACGUCACUUUUGUCUUCGCAAACGCAAUGUAAGGUAUGGUGAAGGACAAAUAUUGUAGAUUGCGAACAAUUGCCCAUAAGAAAGAGCCAUUGCAAGACCCCGAAAAUGACCUAGGUGAACUAGAACCUAACAUGUUGGUCUUGAUGUUCUUAGGUCCUAAAAAGGUCUAAUAUAUGGUUUAGAGGCAAUAUCUAAAGUAUUAGGUGCAUUGGAAGUCAAAUGUCAAGGGACGACCAAGACGUUCGACGACGAAGUCACCUAUGUGCCUCAUAUGUGAUUCUAUGUGUUUAUGUGUGAUUCAUGAUGUUAUAAGGUUCAUAAAUGAGUUAUUAUAGCAUAUAGUCAGUGUGUCAAGUUUCAUGGAGUUUGGAGGUCAAACGUCCAAGAACGUCCAUGACGUUCGAAAGAUGUGCCUUGAAAUGACCUUGUGUGUCUAGGCAUGUUUCGUCAAGUUUAACGUGUUCAUUUUAUAUGAAAUUCAUGUAAGAGGUGAUAAACUCAUAGACGAUCAUAUUUGGGUUGGAAACGUCCGGGUAAACAUACCCAAGGACCAACCAAGGGUCCUUGAGGAAGGACCCAAACUUGUUGUCAAGACUGUCCCAGGUAGGCCCCAAACGACGGAGGCAUCGACGGCUCGUGGGCCAAUCGACGCCCCGUCGAUGGGUGUCAUCUGUAGGGACUUAUUAUUGUGAGGAAGGAGGACCUUGACAAGUCUCUGAUCCAACCAAUGGAUGGACAGGACAGUCUGUUUGUGGACAAACGGUCCGUCGACUGUCCACCGUCUAUGGUCAUGUCCCUGCGUGCAAUUUCCCUGCUAAGUUAGGGGUGAAUUUGUAAAUUCACCCCACUUUUAAAAAUAGACUUUGGCGUUUCCUAAGGGGUAUAUUGGGUAUUUUAAAUGUGUAUAUAAGUGUUAAACACAUUUAAGACUUCAUUCUUCCAAAUCAAAAACCCCAAAUCCCUUAAGAAAUCUCAAAGACUCCAUUGAAGUCCAAAUUGAAGGAACAACUUGGUGUGGAGUUUUGAGUGUAAAUUCUUAAUCAAAGUGAAUAAUUAUCAUCAUUGAAGUAUGGAUUUUGAUCCUUGAAACUCGUUUCAUCAAGGAGCCCAAUCCUCAAGAUGUUUUUCAAAGUUUUCUAAUGUGAAUUAUCCAAUUUCGGGAUUCUAUCAUGGGUUCUUGCAUAAAUGAUUUCUAAACAUUGAAUUAUGAUCUAAUUGAUAUUGUAUUGAUGAUUUUAACAUAAAUUACCUAUGAACCCAUGAAUUUGGAUGAACCCUAGGUUUUGACUAAGAUGUGGGUAACUUGAUACUAAGCUAAUUGAUGAAUUAUUAUGGGCUUUCUAAUGAUGUAUUAAUGUAGUAAAUUGAUAUCUAGGUUGUGUUGUAUUGAUGAAUUUAUAUUGAAUUGACCCAGUUCAUUUAUUAUUGUAGUUUUUAUGUUGAAUUGUUGGUUAUGGCCUUGGGUAAGGGUCUUGUGUUAUCGAAUUGAGUAAUUUAGCAUUGAAUUGAAGUGUUGAUAAUGGAGGGUAGGUAUUCUGCCCCAUUCUCUUUAUUUUGUUAUUUUUUAUACUUAAAUUCUAUUGUGAUUGGUAUGGUCCACUUAUGGUGGUGGUGUUAUGUGUUUUACUUGCAAAUGAUGUGGCCUUUUCGGUGUUACUUUAUGCAAUAUGAUGACCAUGGACCUAUUGGCAACUACUUGAAGUAAUAUGACUAAUUGUGUAGUUUGAUUAUGUGAAUCAUGACAUUAUCUAUCUACAUGUGAAGCCAUAUAUGUAUUCUUCUAUUAAUGUUGUCUUAGGUGAUCAUGUUGGACUAUGACUUUGACCUUGUGAGUAUGAUCUUAGGGCUGAGUCUUGGUUAUUCCUACUUGACUAUAUGAGUCUAUAUUAGUUACAUUGAUGAUGUUAUGAUAGUUUAUAGGAUGAUUUGAAGAUGUUAGGGUUGUUUUUAGGCGUUUCUAGAGAAUGACUUGCCUUAUAAGCUAAAAGUGAAGUAUGUGGUGUCUUGUCUUGGUUGACUUGUGUCCCUGCUUGAUGUAUAUAUGAUUAUGAAUAUGUGAUGUCUUGAUUUAGGGUGUUAGAACUCUUAGUAUUGAAUGUAUGAAUAACAUGUGACCUUAAAAGAACUUAGGAAAGUCUUUUAUCUGAAAACCUUGACUUAAAUGGUAAGGUUAAGAUUGUUGAAGUUUUAAGCCGUAAUGGUAUCCUUCAAAGUAAAGGAAUGAUGGACUUAAGUUUAAUUGGCUGUAAUGGCAUCAUAUUAAUCCUUAGAAAAGUCAUCAUGAACUUCUUGUCGCCAUUGUGAGAUAGCCCUAGUGGACCUUCUUUGAUAGGUUAAAUGUGAUUGGGUUAUGAACUUGUUAUGGAACUUUUUUAUGUGAACCUAAUGUAUGAAUUACUCUAUGAGAACGCAGGCUAGCAUCGAGUGAGUAUGGUAAGUGAAAGUAAUUCUAGUUAAGUAUGAGACUAGAUUACAAAGUAUGCCCUUCAUAUUCAUUAACCAUGUGCCUACAUGAGAUGCGUGCAAGUUCUACCAUUGGCAAGUAGAACAUCCUCAUCGGAGUAGGAUAGAACUCCAGAUUCCAUGUCUUGUUACCAUGGUCUAUGUCGGUUAUUUCCUAUUCUCAUCAUGUGGAAUACCUAUUAGCAUUGGAGAAGUUUAUGAGGUUUAGGUGGUGGUAUGAGACGUUAUCUAGACAUUACACAAUUGGCUUUGAAGGUGUUAUUGAGAGUUCCUAGGUCUUGUCUAAGACCAUUAUUUGAAUGUCCUUUAUGUGAUGUAUGAGUCUUAAUGAACUAAUGUCUUAUGUUAAGGAGUAUAUAAAUAAAUGAGUACCUAAUAUAAAGUGACUUAAGGAUUCCUUAGCUAAAGUAUGAAGAGGGCAUAAAGGAUGAUCUCUUCAUGUCUUAUCUUUGGAAGUCUUGAGGAUGACUCUAGUUAGGGAAGUUGGUUAGUUUUGUGGACAUAAUUUAAGUCUUAGGUAGUCUUAAGGAUUACUUAGGUAAUCUUGAAGAGGUCACUAUGGAUGUUAUCUUCUUGAUUUACUUAAGUAGGCCUUUUGAUAGCCUUUGGAAGGAGAAUGUCAUAUCACAUAUGUGUUGAUGUAUUAUGUGAGCAUGAUUAUAUCCUAGGGAGUCUAUGGGAUCUCUUAAGUGUGUGUGUAAGGGAUUGUAUGGGCGGUCGCUUCACAACUCACUCAAGUGAGACUUAGAGUUCACCUUUGGUAGAAGAAUCUUACCUUGAUGUUCAUGAUACUUUCUAAGUGUGUAUGUGACUCAUUAUAAGUAAUCCUAAGGGUCGUUUAGGCACAUCUAGAGAAGGUGUAUAGGAGGUCUCUCUUUGUGUGACUUAAGUUAAUCUUAGGAUAGCUUUGAGUGAGAAUAUUACAUGCUAAGGGGUGUCAAAGUGAAGAAUAAGUCACUUCACUGUAACAGUGAAUGGGCUCACUGUAAAGUGAGUUCUAAAAAUGUGGUUUUUGGUUUAAAGGUCAUCUUAUGUGUUUCUAAGUUGGUAAAUAUUGUUCUUAUGAUUAUAAUAUGAUUUCUAAAUGAAAAGAUUCAUAUUUCAAAUAAAUGUCCGUUUCCAUGAUUUUCAUGCAUUAAGCCAUACUUAGUACAUGUAGUUGUACUAAUUCCAUUCUUUUAUCUACCUAUCUAUCUAUAUAGUUCUUGGUAGGUGAGGAGAUUUUGUGGAAGUGAAUACUUGGACUUAGAAGAUCGUGCUAGAGAAGUUGAAGUAUGUCAUCACUUGACUCGAAGGAAUAUGUCUUUUAUGUUUCUUUGAAGUAUUGUAAUAGACUAAGUAUUUCUAUAUUCGUAUUUUGUAUUGGCCGUGUCCCAAGUAUUCUUGUGUCUUAAGAUGAUGAGAUUGAGACUUAGUAUUUCCUAUUACUUUUAUAUGAAAGAGAUUUUAAAGACUAUGAUAUAUUCUAUGAAAUUUUUAAUUCCGCACUAUUUUUCGAUAUGUAUAUGCAAUGAAAUAUAUAUAUGAAUGGGCUGUAUAAGACCUCCGAGAGGUCGAGUACGCCGGUCUCAAUCCAAGAUUGUGUCCUAACUUCUAGGGUGUGGUCUUGGGAUGUGACAGCCAUGAACAAUAAGGUCAACUUGGUCUACAUUGAGAACAUCAACGACGGACAUCGGACGUAGGAGUAAGAACUUUUUUAAUUUGUUGUCUUGCAUAUUGGCCUCCAAGUUAAAGUCUCCUAUAUAAUUCAAUUGACAAUAGUAGGCCACCUUGAUAUGACAGAAUCUCAACACCCUAAAAAUUGUUAAGUUGCAUAGGUUCUUGAGAGAAAAACAUUAAUUAAGGACAUUGAUAAUUUUUCUAACACCGUGGUAUUGAUUUUCAGUAAAUGAAUUCACAAAUCAUAGAACCAGAAACCUUCAGAAAGUGAUAUGCUUGCAAUUGACAUGAAAAUUGAGAUUUACGACCUGUGGAUGGUUCUACAUACUAUAGAUGGGUCCGUAGACUAUGCCCUUGGACCUCAGGGAAGAUGAACUUAAGGAUGAUUUUAAAGGAAGUUUUUAACUUUGUAAAUAUCCACAAACUGUAGACCUUGUCGUGAAAUGAAAGAUCUGAAAAUGGGAUAUUUUGGCUUCACUAGGAUAAGAAGACUUCAGGGUCCAUGUAAGAAUUUACAGACCGUGGAAAGGGCAUGUGAAAGUGAACUUUCUGUCAUGCACCGAGCCUACACCCUAGAUGUGGUCGACACUCGAAAAUCAUUUCUAAUCCCCAAGCGAACCAUUGACCUAACUAACUAUUUGCGGAAGACGUACUCAUGAAUAAAUGAAGAAGCUUUAAAAAUAGAAUUUAUAACAUUCAAACUCAAGUAAAUACUUCACUCAAUUGUCUGAAAAUACUUAAGUGCAAUAAUAAUAAUACUUUGCAAAACCAUCUCAAAAUAUCUCAAACAAAAGGGAAAUAUUGAGAGACUCAUCAACACUUACUAUCUAUGAAGCCUCUAAUGCUUGGAUAGAAGCAAUAACAUGAAAGUAAAUUCUGAAAUCCUCCGAAAAGCAAGGAGGCUCACCAAAGUUAUUUGAAGCACAAAGUGAUCUCAACGAAACUGCUGCAGAUGAUCCUGAACACCUAUAUCUGCAUCAUAAAAGAUUCAUGUCGAAUGACAUUAGUAUAUUAAAUGUAUGAAUAUGUAAUAUAGCGUAAAAUUAAACAACUAAAAGAAAGGGUUGCAGUAGAUGUAGAUUUAUAUUCAACUGAAUGUAAAUGAAUUAAAUAAGGAAGUGAAAUCAUUAAAACUUUACAAAUAUAAUAUACUUUCUCAAUCUUUGAACAUUAGCAUAAUAAAUUAUAUAUAAAAUACACUUUAACUCUAUUGGGAGAUUCUUUAACUGACAACCAUUACUAUGAACCAAGUGAUGAUACAACAUUUUCUCCACGCGCUGUCAGAAUUAUCCUAUAUCGUGUCGGGAUAUAUGACACCUCAACUAAGUGGAUCCACUAAGUUAUGCCUGAAGUCUCUAAGGAUUCAUCUAAAAAGUAUGAUCAUGUACCCAUGUUGGUAAGACAAGGUUUAUGGGGAUUGUGAGUUGUCAAAACUCUCCCUUAUAUCGGUAAUCAGUACUACUCCUAAUAAUAUUUACCAUUGCUCAAUGUAUAAAAACAUUACUCUUUCUCAUGUUUACUUAAAUGAAAAAACAAGAAAGAAAAACAUUAUUAAUUCCUGAACAGAAGAAGUGGACAUUAUUCCCACUCUAUUUCAUAUUUCAAGCCUUUUUAACUUGAAACUUAUCAUAGGAUUAAUUUGUUGUUCUUUAAUCCUUAGAUAUUUGCAUGUUUAAUAAUUUAUAUUACUUCCAGUAAAAAUUUAUAACAUCGAUGACUUCUACACAUGAAAUAAUAUAUACACAAAAAUAUGUAUUUAUUAGAUAUUCUUAUUCACUAUACUAAGUAAAAAUAUAAUGAUUUGAAGAAUGAUGUUCAUAAUUCAAGUAUAAUAUUGACUACAUUUUACAUUAUUUUAUACACUAAAUCUCAUAAAAUUAGCAGGUUCAAAUCAGCUAUGACUGUGUGGCAAAAACAAUAAUAUAUUUUUUAUAAGUGAGAAAGAUGUCCAUCCCAAUAAAUGAUUUAGUGAAGAAAUAUAAUGUAAGAAAACAUUUGAAAACACAUAAAUAGAAAGUUAAUAAUGACAUAUUUUAUUUUCCAGCAAUACGAAGAAAGAGCAAUGAGAAAUAUAAUAAAACAAAAAGGAUUAUUGCAUUAAAGUUAUUUCAUUUGACAACUCUUAGUCACAUACAUUAGUGAUGCUUGCAUUUAUAGAUUUGACUAGUUUUCAGAUAGGUGUGUUGCAUGUUUAUUCCAAAUAAUAAUGCAUGCAUAUCAUAUUUUUCACGCAACCAAUAAAUUUUAAAAGUUUCAAAAUUGAUAUUGUAAAACAUAAAAAAAAUGUUAUAAAGAAAUAAGAGAUUCUUACCAAAUAAAUAAAAUUAAUUAUUGAAUUAUCACAUUUAAUUAUAGUUAUACACUAUACCUUGUCCUAUAUUUAUGAUUUAUAUGAGGCCACCAAAAUUGAGAGAAGGAAAAAAUGACGUAUGAUUUUCAAAAACGUGUGUUUAUUCCAAAUAAUAAUGUAUGCAUAUCAUAUUUUUCACGCAAUCAACAAAUUUUAAAAGUUCAGAAAUUGAUAUUGUAGAACAUAAAAAAAUGUUAUAAUGAAAUAAGAGUCUUACCAAAUAUAGUUAAUCGUUGAAUUAUCACAUAUAAUUAUAGUUAUACACUAUAUCUUGUCCUAUAUUUAUGAUUUAUAUGAUGCCACUAAAACUGAGAGAAGGAAAAAAUGACAAAAACACAACUAAAUAUGGUAAAACACAUAUGAAGAUGGAAUCAAAUAAAAGAAAAGAUUUUGAAAUUAAUAAUUAAAUACUACCAUUUCUUAUGAUUUAUAAGAUAUUACCGAAUGCAUAAUUUAUAGUUUGCAUGUCCAAUUUUUUCCUUCAUUCAAUAUGAGAGAAUGGAAGAUGAAGUUUUAAAAUUUAAUUUGUAGAAAUUAAAUGAAAAGUGUUGAUCUUUGAUGUUUCAUCUUUGUUAAUGUUUUUCUCAUUUUAUUGCAUUAAAGGUCUAUUCAAAUUUUUACUUUUAACAUCUUUUCACUUUUAGUAUUUAGUAUAAUAUAUAUGAUAUUGUUUACUAUUUAAUUAGUUAGAUAUUUAAUUUAGCAUAAAGGUAAAAUGAUCCAUGUUUACACUUAAAAGCAUAAUGAAACUUAGCAUACCUAAUUUGUACAAGUCACUUAAAAGCAUAAUGAAACUUAGCAUACCUAAUUUGCACAAGUCAAACAAGAUGAAAUAAAAAUUUAACAUGAGAAGCUAUACUACAUAGUCCUUAAGAGAAGAGUAUCAACAACAACUUGCUUCAACAACAACUUGCUUAACUAAUUGAAAUUUAAUCUUAUUUAUUAAUUAUUUUGUUUACUCUUAUUUAUUAAUUAUUUGUAUCACAUAAACAAGAAAAUCGAUGUAAAACUUAUGACUUUACUUUAUAGUAUAACUUUCUCAAUACAAUUUUUGAGCCAUCAUCCUUCGCACUACAUACAAAGCAUAUGAAACACUACUAUAAAGAAUUUCUAAUUCAUAAUUUAAUUCCACAUCUUCUCUCUAUUGAAGAAGCAAAAUUACAAAAAAGAAAACUUAUGACAUAUAAUUCAAGAGAUUAGCCUAUCAAAAGACCAAAAUAAUUGCAACUCAACAAACCUAUUUAUCAAAAUAUACAAAGCAAGAAAAAUAAAUGGUUAAUUUAUACAAAAGGAAAAAAUGAAGGGAUUUUCAGCAAGACAAUUGUAAGGAAUAUUAGUAAAAAUGUAUAGGACACAAUUAUCAUUACAACCCAUCCUAAAAGAAGUAUAAAAUAUACCCAAAAAUAAUUAACAUAUAUUAAUACAUAAAUUAUGGGAGUACAAUCGGCAUAUUUCUAAUACCCAAAUAAAGUUUCAUACAAUUAUCAAAACCCAAAGAAGCAUAAUAUUUUUUGCACCAACUUUCUCAUACCUAGAACGACUUGCUAGGGAAAGGAUCAAUUCGGCAUCAAAGUAGACACUUAUGAAAAGGUUUUCAAAUCUAAAAGGAUUACUGAGAAGUGAAGGAGAAGGGCAAUUAUAUAUGCUUGAAGAAACAAAUAUAUAAAAUUGUCUUAUGAUUGCUUUUCUAACAUUGUUUUCUAUCAAGAAAUUAGAUGUUUGAGUGAUAAUUUGAUUGAUCAAUGUAUAUAUUUUUCAAUGCAAGUUUAUAAAAUUUUGUAAAGAAUAUGAAAAAGCUAUUACUAACAUGGAAUAUGAAAGAGACAAAACAUUAAAAUUGAAAUAAAUAACGGUGAUAACUAAGUAAUUCAAACAUUUAAUAAUUGUGGGAAGAUGGAACAAUUUCUACAUUCAAAUUCAAUGUAGAAAAUGAAUGGUUUUCUAUUUAAAAGUUUUUUUUUUAAUGUAGAACAAAAUUGUUAAUAAAAAUUUGUACGGGCAUUUUUUUAAUUCAACUUUGGACUUGGAGACUUUUCACUUAUAAUAAUAUAUGAUGAGCUUUUAAUUCUUUGUUGGAGUUAAUAUUGUUUAUGAUAUAUUUAUUUUAAUUUUAUUUUUGAUCAAUAUAUACUACUAGUCAAUACGUCUAGUGAGAUUUUAUUAACGAUAAAACUAAUAAUUUAUCAAUAUAGAUAAGUAUAAGUAAGGAGACCAAUAUGGGUUUUUGUGCAUUGAUGAAAGUGUUUCAACAUUAAUCAGAGGUCUUGGAUUGAUCCGUGGGUAUGGAGAAAAUCCUGUUGGGAGCACCAGCUCCGAAAGGGCCUUGCAGAGCUCAAUCCAAGUUUAGUCGGAAGUUCUAAUGUGAGCUCUGGACACCGAAUGGAAAAUCAAAAGAAAGUAUAAGUAAGGAGGUCCUUACUUUACCAAAACAUAGUAAAGUGAAAUUGUUUAUAUAUGUGAAUAUAGAUACAGAUAUAAUAAGAACCUUAUAUCUUUUAAAUUAGUUGUUGCACUUCAAACUAUUGACAAUGUCAUGUUCAACAAUCAUUUCCUACUUGCUCUUUCAACACUUGUACAUCGACAUUAAUGUUGACAACCAACAAAUGAUCACAUCCUUCUUUGUUUUAAUUUAUUUAUCUGAUUGUUACUUGACAUAAAAUAUAAAAGAAUAAAGAAAACUUUUGAAUCUUAUGGUCUUAAAUUGAAAAAAUGUGAAAUAUAACAAAAUGUUCUUUAUUCUUGUGGUUUUAAACAUGGCAUGUGAAAAUUAUAAAUUAAGUGUUGUAAAAAGACAUUUUUUUAAGCCGGUAAGAAAAAGUAAGACCAAGAAAUUUGAACGAAUGAAGUACCAAAAUAAAAGCUUAUUUCAUUCCAUGAUCAUAAACAUACCAAAAUAUAAAAUUAAAGUCAUAUAUAAAAAAAACUUAAUCAUCGAAAUAACAUAUUUAACUCUAUAAAUACCAAAUUAAAUCACUAAACUUCAAAUAAAGCAAGCAAAAUCUAUUCACUUGAUUGAGAUGACCCUUCAUCGAAAUUGGACGAAGUGUUUUCCCUAACUAUUAAAGGAUCAAGCGCACUUCCAAUAGUUUGAUAUGGGAAUACCUCAUCAGCUUCCAAAAGUUGGCUCACUACUCUUUCAACUUCUUCAUGCGCAGCUUCCAGGGCCUCAAACAAACUUUUAAGGCCAGGAAAGUCAAGUUUUUCAUGUGAAGACUCUGUCCUCAAUGCUUGAAGUGUUUGUCCACGUUUUUUUUCUUUUUCGAGUUCUCUCUCCAACGUGUUCAGCUUUCUAUUGAUCUCAUCUUCAUUGGCAUUUUGCUGAGCUAUAAUCAUGGGGUUAGGAUCAUUAGUGCUGGCUGUAGGAUCCUCUCCGAGAAAUCUCUCCACAAUUGACUCAACAGAAGGAUGCCCAAAUGAAUACACUUUGUUGCUUGGAGAAUAUACUACAAUACCAACAUUAGCACCACACAAAGUAGAGAGCUCACUUGCCUUCUUAAAUAGGCCAAAACGUCGCUUUGAGAAUGUAGCUUGCCUGCUGGUUUGAUUUUGUAUCCUCACAAUUUGAAUUCUUCUGCGAUAAUUAGGUCUUCUCAUGGCUAAACUUUUGAUUUGAGAAUGUAAGAAAAUGUGAUGUUGAGCUUUUGUUUUAAAGAUGUAUUUAUAGAGAUAGAAUCAUCAUAUUGUUUGAUGAAAAUUAACUCAAAUAACAAAAAUAUAAAAAAUAUUUAUGAUGAUUCCUUAUUUGGCAUGAUUUGACCCAAACCAUAAUAUUAAUUAAAUUCCUUUUUUGUUUCAUUGACAUAUUUUAUAGUAAUUCCUUUUUUGUUUCAUUGACAUUUUUUUUUUAAAUUCAUUGUACUAAAUUAUUGAAAAAGUUUUUAUCGUGUCAUUCUUUUGUGAUAUAUGAUUUAGUAAGUUAAUGUGUAAAUUGAUGAUAGUUUCUAAGGUAAUUGGUUUUUUAUUUUAUUUGUAUAUUUUCUAAAUUUGUUCUUGUUCAAUUAUGUAUAUUUCCUAAUUUAGAAAUGCUUUAUAAAAUACCUUCCACUAUUAGAUUUAUCAAUAUGAAAAUCCUUUUUUUAACUCAUACUAACUACAAGAAAAGUUUAACAACUUCAAUUUAAUUUUAAGGUAUUUCUAUGUCUUCUAGAACAUUUGCAAACUCGUAAAAUAUACUUAUAACUUAUGACACAUUAAAUAUUAUCAUAAUAUAAAUUCAAAUCCUAACACAUUUUAACAUGUAUAAACCACUUUAGAAUAUUCUCACACACUUUAUAUUCACAAGCAACUAUGAUGACAAGUCAACAACGUACCUAAAACGCAAGACAACAACCUAUUUACAAGUAACUAAGAUACCAAGCCAACUAUCUAAGGCCGGGAGGACCCACACCCAUAAUUCUGAAGUCAAAACCUAUCAGCUAAUAAGAAAACAAUAACUGAGAAUAUAAUAUAGUCAAACAAUAACCUAAUUGGACACCAUAAGCUUGCAAGGUACAACACAACAACAACUAUAACCCAACCCAUGCCCAUAAACUGAAGGGUACAAUCAACAAACAACUAUAUUAGUGACAGGUGAUUCAUAUGAAUGCAACGUGAGUAUUAGGACCAUCUUUAACCUUUAACUACAAGAAAUCCCAUCAAUGGGCUUUCUAGAAGACAGGAAACUCUAGGGGUGUAAGUCACCCAGCUAGCAAGGGUAAACUUGGGAAUGUAAAUAUAACAAAUCAAGGCCACCUAGUCGUACAGUAAAUUGUUAGGGGUGUAAUCCGUCCAACUAACAAGAUUAAACCGGGGGCAUAAGUAUAACAAAUCAAGGUUGCACGACAGUAAACUGCCAGGGGCCUUAGCCGCCCAACUAAAAAGAGUAAACCUAGGGGCAUAAGUAUAAGAAAUCACGCAAGAAAGGGCAUCGACAUGCAGGGUAGAAGAGUAAAACUAAGCACAUUCCAGAUUCCUCUAAUAUUUCAAGUACGAAAGGAGUACGUCCCGACGCUUCGUAAUCUCAAAAACUAGUAAAUCAAGUGAUCCACGUAGUAUGACUCACUCACGUUAAAACCAAAUCAGAAUAAAAGAUAAUAAAAUAAUAUCUCAUUAUGUACAGUAACUAUGCCAAUGAAUGAGCAGAGACCGUACUAAAAAAUGUGAAUGGAAAAACAAUACAACACAUGUCAUCAACAACAUUCUAACAAUUCACUAAAUCAAAUAUGUCAUGCCCUGAGCCUACAUCCUGGACAUGGCCGACACUCAAGAAUUAUUGCUGCCCCAAGCAAACCGUUGGUAUGCCUCAAGUCUUAGCAUAAGACCUACUCGACAUAAGAUAAAAUCAAAAGCACAACUCUAACUCAAAUGUCUCAAACAGUAAACUCAGAAUAAUAGAGUAUUCAACUAAUAAGAAAAUAGUCAACUCAAGCCUUUUAAGCAUUUAACAAAGAAAUGGAAAAGACUGACGAACUAUAUAUGAAGCCUUUAAUAGCUAUGAUGGAAGUCUAUACAAGACCCACAACAAAAGUAAAUAAGAAUCCCUCGGAAGCAAGGAGGCCUACAAAGCUAAAUCUGGAACUCUACUGUAUUAACGAAACACUGGUUGAUGAUCCUAGUUACCCAUAUCUACAUCAUGAAAAAUAUAGGUCAAAUGAUGUCAGUACAUGGAAUGAACGAGCAUGUAAGGGAAACACUUAACAUAACCUGCAAGCUUGGACUGAUAAAAAGGAAACUAAACUCACCUCACCUCAACUCAUUUCAGUAUAAAAACAACAAUAUAUAUGAUUUAUAAAGAAAGUUUUAAAAACAAUAGAUAACAACUGAAUUAAAAUACAAUAAUAACUUUUCUAUGUAAAGAUAUGAAAAUAACUAUUUUUAGGAGAUAUAAUGUAGAAUAUGUUGAGGACCGAUCUUCAGAUGAUCUAAAUGAUGAGGACCUAAACCUACAUCAUGAAAAGAUGUUGCGUAUAGUAUGAGUAAGCAUUUGGAAGGUACUGAGCAUGUAUGAUAAGAUAAAAGCUGAACAAACAUAUAAGUUGAACAAAGCAUAACUAAGCAAUGACGCAAUUUGAACAUAAUGGAAAUAAUGAUAUAUACUAAAUAGAACUAAAUUGAAUGCAAUGACCAAGUACAUGACAUUUUGUAACUAAAUACUUAAGUAUUAUUGAAAAUCUGGUUGAAUACACUAGAGUUUGACUGUGUGUGCUACUAUUAACCAACAUAACCACCACGCGAGCUAAUCGUGGUGUACGAUGUAUUUGUCUCAUCAAGAGGACCAAAUAUACCUUGCAAGGGGUAUAAAGGCAUGAUUGGCGUGAUCACUAAAUUUGAUACCCACCUAGGGGACUUAUACUCCUUAAGGGAAUAUAUUUCUAGGACUCUGAAGAUAUGGUGAACCCUAGUACAACUCGGUGUUAAGUCUACUCCCAACUGAAAAUAUGUAUAACACAACAGAUCUGAAAUACUAGAUAGCUCAAUAUUCGGACAUGCAAAUAAGAGAAUGCAACAUCAAUGUACUGACAAUGAAACAUUCAAAAUAUGGGGCAUAUAUAUUUGUUUAACUGACCUAGAUAGUGUAAUUCAUGAACUAACUAAUCGACACAACUAGGGUUCCAAGUUUCAUGCAAAGAACUAAGCAAUGGGUCCACAAAAAACAUAAUAAUUUGAUUAGGAAUACUAUAUGAGAUAAUUCAUUAUCAAUCUCUAAGGUUUUAGCAAACUCAAGGUCUAAAUAGUAUAUAAGAGUCAAGAAUCUAACUAAAAUCCCAUAAACCUAGUUAAAAGAUUCACGUAGAAAUCUUUCGAUUUCGGGGCUGGUACUAAAAAGCAUCUGCUAAAUUCUUGGAAGGGUUUUAGGGUGCCUCUUUUCACCUCUAUUCUUCUUAGUUUGAUGAAUUUUUAGUGAAUGAAUCACUUAGAAAAGGACUGACUAAGUUACUAGGCUUAAACUGACUAAAACUAUGUAGUUUAAGGAUCAAACGAUGUAGAUUAAGUGUCCAAAACAUAAGCAAAAUGACUAAAAUGACUUUGACUUAAUUAUGACAAAGGCUACCUACGGAGGGACCUAUAAUCCGUGGGUGGAAUUACUAACGUAGGUAGGGGUCGUCAGUGAAGUCAGCCCGAUAGGGCUUCACUAAAAUGAGCAUAUCUUUAUACUCGGAGAUGGGAUUUUAGCAAACUCGAUGGGCGUUGGAAAUAGGAUUUAAUUAUAUUUCAUUUGAUAGGUCGUGUUCCACCUAAGUUUUUUUGUCUAAGAGUUAUGAAAGUUUGAAGUUGACCCAACAACAAUUUCCCUAUAAGUGGUUGUUGACCCUCACCUACAGUUAGACCCACGGUCUGUAGGUCAGAGACGAUAAGGAUUUGGGCUUAACGACGAAACCCCAUAGUCCUACCUACGAUACUUUGGUGGUUCCGUCGGUACUAACAACAAAUUUUUUGAAAACUAGAUUUUUCUUCGUUUUGAUAUCUGAGGUGUUACAACUUAGUCAUUCGAUCUACAAUCACUCAAAUUGAAUCAUGUUGCCUGGGAGAUGUAAACCAGUAAUAAAUUCCAUAUUGAUCACCUCUCACUUCCAUUCUGGAAUAUUUAUGUUCAGAGCCAUACCAUGGGCCUCUAGUGCUCUACCUUGACUUUUUGGAAAUUCAGGCACUUAGCUAUAAACUUUGAAUACCCUCUUUAUAAUACUCCACCAAUAGACUUCUCUCAAGUAAUGAUAAAUUUUUGUUGAACCAAGAUAGAUUGAAUAUCUGGAGCUCUGAGCUUCCUCCAUAAUCCUUUCUUGGAGUUCAUGUGCCUUUGGUACAUACAAUUUACCUUGAUACUUCAACACUCUAUUUCCCCCUUGUUCAAAAGUCAUCACUUUAUGCUUAUGAACAAUUACCUUCAAUUCAAACAAACUUGGGUCUUUGUCUUUUUUUUUUUUACUUUAUACAUUAAUGAUGAUUCAUCCUCAUUCAUCGACACCAUUCCUCCUUUAUUAGAAUCCAUUAACCAGACUCCCAAUCGUGCAAGUAUGUGCACAUCUUUGACUAAUUAUUUCUUGCCUUCCUCAAAAUGGGUGGUACUACCCAUAGACAAUAUUUUCAAAGCAUCAAUGACAACAUUAGGCUUACUUGGGUGAUAUAAAAUACUCAUGUCAUAAUCAUUGAGUAUCUCAAACCACCUCAUAUGUAUGAGAUUAAGCUCUUUCUAACUGAAUACAUAAUGAAGGCUCUUGUGAUCAAUGAACACAUAUACAUAAACACCGUUAAGAUAGUGAAACCAUAUUUUCAAAGUGAACACUACAAUAACCAACUCAAGAUCAUGGGUUGGGUAAUACUUCUUGUGAAUCUUAAGAUAUCUGGAGGCAUAAGUUAUAACUUUGUCAUUUUGCAUCAAUACACAACCCAUUCCAACUCUUGACGCAUUAUAAUACACAACAAAACCUUUUGUACCUUCUGGUCAUGUCAAAAUUGGGCAGUAGUCAACCUAGUCUUUAAUUCUUGAAAGCUUUUCUCACAAGUUUCAAAGCAUCAAAACUUAACUGUUUUCAAAGUCAAGUUAGUCAACAGGGAUGAAAUAGAUGAAUACCCCUCGACCAACCUCUUAUAGUAACCAGCCAAUUCCGAGAAAAUCUUAAAACUAGUUGGAGAUAUGGGUCUAUGCUAGUUCUGCACUGCCUCAAUCUUCUGAAUGUCAACUCGAAUCCCAUCACCACAAAAAAUGUGAUCUAAGAAUGCCACUGACUUAAGACAAAACUCACACUUAUAAAAUUUGGCAUACAACUCUCUAUCUCUGAGAGUCUAGAGCACAAAUCUGAGAUGACUAGCAUGAUCCUCCUCAUUUUUUGAAUAAAUCAAUAUGUCAUCAAUGAAAACGACAACAAACAUAUCAAGAUAGGGCUUGAACACUAUGUUCAUAAGAUCCAUGAGCGGUGCAGUAACAUUCAUCAAACCAAAAGUUGUCUUUGGAAUAUCAUUCUCUCUUAUUCCAAUCAGAACGGUGUCGUUUAAGCACGUUUAGAAUGGAAUCUUCAAAUAAUGUGAAAUUGCAAUUACUUAGAGAUUGAAAAAUGUCACUCACUAAUUUAUUUGCUUUAUUCUUGAGAAGGGUCUGCACUUUCAACGCACAGUUUUCUUUGUUGGAUAUUGUGUGCAUUAGGCGAUGAAAGUGACUCGUCAUUUUGGGUUGAAAACCGUAGAAACGCUGAAUUCUCCGGUAGAGUUCUUUAGUUGACAUUCCGAUGAACUUUCCGGUGGAACGCCGGAAAAAUAGAUUUUAUUGGAAUGAAAGCAAGAGCAAACAAGAGCAAGUCAUAUAAGAGAGAGUUUAAUUUGUGAAUUGUGAAGGUUGGUAUUAUCUAGGUGACAAAAUAUUUAUCUAGGUGGAAAAAUAUUUAUCUAGGUGUCGUGUGCGUGUAGACACAAUCGUAGUGAGUGGACAGAAAAGGUGUACACGUUCGAUGAAUAAGCAAGUUCAGGGAGAUAAUUGAAACAAAAUAAAGUUUAGGUGUACACUGAAUAAAAGCUACAAAUACAGGGGGUAAUGAAUACUUUUGCCAAAAAAGAAUGAGUAUAUUUCCUGAUCAUAGAAGAACGAAUAUACAUACAUACAUACAUACAUACAUACAUACAUACAUGCAUGCAUGCAUGCAUACAUACAUACAUACAUAUAAUAUAUAUAUAUAUAUAUAUAUACACACACACACACACACAUACACACACACACAUAUAUAUAUAUAAUAUGAGUGGCUACAAGUCUUUGUUCUAGGAUUGUAGCUAUUGGUAAUUGUUGAACAUUGAAUUUUAUGAAUUAAUUUGUGUUAUUAAAGAAAUUACUUCAGUAUUCUUAUUUUAGUAUUUCAUUAUUGGCCACCAUUUAUAUAAAUAUAUUGUAUAUUUUUGAACUCGAGAGACGAAUAUGCAGAUAGACCAAAGAAUAUAAUUGAUAUUUCUUACAAAGCACUUGUUUAGAUUCAUGUUAGGACUGACACUCAGACGAACAUCAAACUUGAUUACAAAAUGAAGAAAAUGAUUGUCAAUUGAGUGUAUUUCUCCCAGCUUAAUGAUGUAGUUAAACAUUCAAUAUGAAGAGGCGAUUAGAGUACGAGAGAUCAUGAUCAUAACAUUAACCCUGUAAAUCAAUAAUUUGAUAAUUUUAAAUAAGGUCUAACACAUCGGUGGCCCCUUAAACUUGACAUGGAGUUUCAGCUAGACACCUUAACUAGUCAGUGUUCAUAUUAGACACCUCAUGUACGGUAUCGCUGGGUCAUUUUGACACUUUUUUCAAAUCAACAAAAAUAUAUGAAGUGUGUGUAUCACACUCGCGAAUGACGUGUAAAGUGACAAAUUAAACAAUGACAUUUGUCAUUUAUGUCAAAACUAAUUCUUAAAUAAUAAAUUUUAAGUAAAAAUAAAAAAUAACCAAUGAAUUAAUGACAUGUGAAUUUUUGCCCAAAUAACUAUUUAAAAAAAUUAAGCUAAUACCCCACUCCCACCCUCACAACCUUCUUCUCCAAACACCCCAGUUCAAUACCCUCACAACCUUCUUCUCCAAACACCUCACCCGUUUUGCAGUACACACCCCGUUCUCCCCCCAAACCCAUUUUGCAGAGUCCCCCCCAUAAAAAAACUCAGAAGUGAUUUUCUUGUGCAAAAACAUAUUAGCAUAUUUUUUUUAAAAAAUACUAGUAUGUAAAUAUUUAAUUCUUUUGGAAAGAAUAUCAUGAAUUGAUUUACUAAGUAAAUCCUAAAAUUGAUAUAUUUCCAAAAUUUCUAAAACAAUUUUUGUCAUCUUUCAAUUGCUUAUGGUAACUAUUUUGGUUCACCAUAGUUGGAUGUUUGAGUUUCAAAAAUGGUGGUUGAAGGUGAGAAAGAAGAAGAAAAAAAUUAAAAGUCAACUAAAUAGGUUUUUCACGCGCGGUCAACGAGUGCAUUACACUCACUAAGCCAUGUAAGCAUAAAGUGUUAAAAUGAUACAACAAUUUCGUACAUGAGGUGUCUAAUAUAAACACUAACAGUUAAGAUGUCUAAGUGAAAUUUUGUGCCAAGUUUAAGGGGCUACCGAUGGGUUAGGCCUUUAGUUGAUUCAUACAUGAGAUGGGAUACAUAUAGCCUUAAGUAAGCUAUAGAAAAACACAAGUUUCUUGACAACACUUUAUUUAAUUUGUUGAAUUAGUAGAAUUGAUUUGAAUUUAUCGUAAAGUCCUUUGGGUUCUACAAUUCAGUUCUAAAAGAGUUAUUAAUUACUUCUACGACCACAUAUAUUCGUGUGUGCAUUUAAGAGCAACACUACUGAUAGGGUUAUUGAUGUCCUAACCAAGCCACUUCUACAUGAUUUUUUCAAUCUAUGUUUAACAAGUUGAGUAUUGUAGAUGUCAACACCAAUUUGUGGGGCUGUAAAAGAGAUAUACGUGACUAAUUUUAGUUAUCUACUUGUACAACUGGAGUUAGUUGUUGUAUCACUUUAGGACUCAUUGUAAUAUCAACUCCUAUAUAUUCUUCUUUAGUGUAUGAGCAAAAGAUAAUUCUUCUCUUUCUCUAUCUAGUCUUAUUAAGUACCUUUAAUUUCAAGUGAUUAAGUUAGAUAGAUUAUGUAGCUAGAAUGGAGUGCUACAAUAUUCACAAUUUACACGUUGUUUUUAUUAUUAUCAUUAGAUAUUGUUUCCUAAUGCAUCAUAUCAUAUUCAAAUAUUAAUUAGUUUGUUGGGUAAGAAAAGAGACACAAAUUCGUUGUAUCGUUUGAAUUUUUUUUAAAUAAACUAUAAUGUGUAUGAGAAUACUCUAAAGUGGUUUAUACAUGUUAAAUUGUGUUGGGAUUUGGAUUUUCUUAUUACGGUAUUCUUCAACUUGUCAUAAGUUACAAGUAUAUUUUACGAGUUGCAAAAGUUCUCGAACACACAAAAAUAACUUAAAAUUUUAAACUAAAGUUCUUAAACAUAAUUGUAUGUCAAUAUAAGAUAGAAAUUAAAUAUUUUUAUAUUAUGAAGCUAAUAUUGGAAGGUUUUUAUUAAGCAUGUCUACACUAGGAAAUAUACAUAGUUGAAAAAGAGAAAAUUUAGAAAAUAGACAAAUACAAUUUUUAAAAAAACCUCAAUAAUUGUCAUCAAUUUACAUAUUAACUUAUUAAAACAUUAAUCACAAAAGAAUGAGAAUAUAGAAACUUUUCCAAUGAUUCAGAAAAAUAAUUUAACUAAAAAUAUUACGGUAUUUGUAAUUACAUUAGUUCGGAUCGACAAAGAUAGAACGAAACAAAAAAGGAAUUUCAUUAAUAUUAUGAUUUGGGUCAAAUCCUACCGAACAAGGAAUCAUCAUAAAUAUUUUUAAUUUUUUGUUAUUUGAGUUCAUUUUCAUUAAAUAAUAUGAUGAUUCUAUCGAUAUAAAUAUAUCUUUCAAAUAAAGACUCAACAUUACAUUUUCUUGCAUUCUCAAAUCAAAAGCUUAGUCAUGAAAAGCCCUAAUGGCCAUAGAAGAAUUGAAAUUGCAAGGAAUCAAAAUCAAACCAACUUACAAGUAACAUUCUCAAUUGUGAAUAGAUUUCUGGGAGAGAAUCCUACACCUAACAUUGAUCAUCCUAACCCAUCAUUUAGCUCAUCUAAAUGGCAAUGUUGAUGAGAUCAAUGGAAAGCUGAAAAAGUUGGACAGACAACUCGAAAGAGAACGAAACAUCCACAAGCACUUCAAGCAUUAAGGACAGAACCUUCACAUAAAAAUCCUUAGCAUCUUUCACUUUAAAAUCCUACGCGAGUCCUUGGAAGAUGUGGAUGAAGAAGUUGAAAGAGUAGCAAGAUAACCCAUGGUGUUUGGUAUUGAAUUUCAAUAUUAAACCAUUGGAAGUGCUCACUCCUUUAGGAGUUAGGGAAAGCACUUGUUGUGAUUCCGACAAAGGGUCACCUGGAUCCGGUGUUUUUCUUGCUUUAUUUAAGUUCAUUGACUUAGUUUGGUUUUUAUAAAUUUAAGAUGUCAUAUUAAUAAAAUAUCAUUAAAAUCAUAUUUUAUCUGAAAACAUCUUUAAUUCAUAAAAAUCUGAGUUCAAAAAGUCUAUAUGUGAAACUAGCAUAGUUGUGAUCAUGAAAAUACUUCCAUGUCAUAAGUUCAUAAUAAUGUCAUUGAGAUAAUUAACUUAUAACAAAUUCAUGCAUUAUAAGAUUAAUCUUGAAGAAGAAAUUGAAAUUCAAUAAACCAUACGAAAGGAAUAAAAAUGUUUUUCGUUUGUAGUUGGUCCAAAAAUGCCCUUCUCUGGUCCAAAAAUGCUCUUCUCAUCAAUAAUUUGGUCUUAAAAUGCCCUUAUUGUUAUUUGGGGGGGGGGGGGGGGGAAAUGCUCAUUUUUUCAAAUAAAUAUAUUAUUUAUAUUUCUUUUUAACACAUUCUUUUUCUAAUAAUAUUUUUUAAAAGAAUUUUUUUAUCUUCAUAUAAAAAUGAAAAUACGUUUUGUUUUUUUACAAUUAUUUUCAUUGAUAUAUAAAUAUAAAUUAGUGAUGGAUAUACUAUAAUCUUACACAUAUAACAUAUACUAUCCGCGAGAUGGUACAUGAUGUUAUUUUUAUUUUACUUGAUAACAUGCGAUUAAGAAGAAAAAAUUAUUUCCUGCAAUUUUAUUUAAGUGAUUUUAAAAGAAAGAAAAUAGUUCUUUAAUAAUUUAAUUAAGAAGAAAAUUUGGUUAAAAGAAAAAAAUAUAUAUUUAUUUUGGAGAAGGGCAUUUUUGACCCAUUUUAGUAACUAUAGGGGCAUUUUUGGAUCAAGUAUUGACUACAAGGGUAUUUUUGAACCAAAGUAUUGAUGACAAGGACAUUUUUGAGGCAAACUAUUAAUGAAUGGCAGUUUUAUUCCUUUCGCAUAGUUUGAUGACAUUUUUUACCUUUUUCCAUUAAGAAAUUAAGGUUUCUUUGGAACUCAAUGAAUGAAAAAGGACCCAUUGGUGAAGUUCCCACAUACCCAUGAUAAAAAUCCUAGUAAAUCCUUUAAUGGAGACUUGAGAUCAUGAAGCCCUAAUUGCUUGAGGGAGAAGACUUGAGGGAGAGGGAAUUGGAAUUUUGGGAGAAUAUAUGAGUAAAUGGGGUAGUUAGGGGUUUUAGGAGUCAGUUAUAGUCUUCAAAAUAAUUCUAAAUGGCGUAGUAUAGGUACUAAAAGAGUGAGAAAAGACUCAAUUAACCCUGAAAUAAAAAUUGUUGAAUAGGCUUAACGAGACCAUCUACACACCGUAGUUCCUUUCACAAAACGUAGAAUCCGUCUAUAGUAAUCAACUUAAAAUCCUAAGCUUCUGAACUCUAAACCACAAACCCCUUUUACGACCUGUAAUGUCCACUUGUUGAAUUAAGUUGCUGAAAAAACACCAAGUCUCUAAAGAAGAACUAAGAAAGCAUUUUACGACAUGUAGUCCUUUGUAUAACUCAUACUACCUUCUCGUAGAAGCUAAUGUACAAAAAUUUCUCAAUUCUCAAGUCUGACUCUACAGGACCCAACUACGAUUCGUAGUUCCUUUCGCGAGCCGUACUAUUGUCUCGUACAUGACAUCCUGAAGUUUUGAAGUUUCAGGGCUUGUUUCCAUGAGCCUAUUCACGACCCAUAUAAACAUCUACAAUCUGUAGUUCCUUUCUGCACAUUCUAAAAAAAAUUAGUUAUACACAUCCAAGGUGUUGCACUUGAGGUGAUCGAGGUUGUUUGAAUCGUGGCGAGGUUGGACACUACGUCAGAAAUUGCCCCAAGUGUAAGGUUGUAGCACCUACGAGUAGAGGCGGUGCUUAAGGCCGAGAGGUGGUCCCCCAAGUGAUUGAGAAAGUACUCAGGUAGGUAGAGCAGAUGGAAGAGUUUGACUAUAGUUUGUGGGAGGAUGUGGGGAUUUUUACGUGGUUCCUACUAGGUCAGAGUGUAAGGCUUUAGAAUAAGUGAUUGCAAGUACGAUCUCAUUUUUUUAUUGAUCGACCUUUGCUUUAUUUUAUUCAGGAUCUAGUUAUUCGUACGUAUAUGUUUAUUUCUCUCCUCGAUUAGAGAUGCAUUUUGAGCACUUGUGCUAGAGUUUGUAGAUGUAUUUCCUACUAACUUACUUGGCCUUCACCCUGAACGUGAUAUUGAUUUACCUAUUAACCUUGACUCGAGCACUCAUUCUUUGAGUAAGGGCUUUAUUAGAACGAUUGUCUCACCUUAGUGUGAUCCCAUACUGUUUAUAAGAAAAAGGAUAGGUAUAUGCGUAUGUGAAUCAAUUACAAUCAGCUCAAAAGGGUGACAGAGAAGAAUAAGUGUCAUAUACCUUGUAUCAAUCUUUUUGAGAAAUUGGAUGAGAGUUGAAAGAGAGAAUAUAGAGUUUUGAUUGAUUAGAUGAUGAGAUGGUCAUCGAAUUCCUAGCGUGUCCUUUUAUGUGUGACUUGUUUGGUCAACUUCGGGGUGUUAUGGUGUUUUCUAAGAUUGAGUUGAAGUAUGGUUAUCAUCAACUAAGAAUUAGGGUGAAGGAUAUCUACCUUUAGGUGUUUUCCUACUGUGGAAAAAGUACUCUCUGGAUUACUAAAUCACCAUAUAAGUAAUCAUAACUCAUAAGACUACAUUCAAAUACUACUUGGCACUGAUACUUCAUCAAAUACUGGGCCAGUGCGCGCACGGCUAACAUCAUCUAGUAAAUGAAACAAAGAUCAAUAGAAAGAGUCGUGAAGGACGUCAGAGUGAAGAUAGAAUCAGUUAUCUGUCAUGCACAAGCAAUGGCUCUUUCUUUUCCUGUAGCAAGAUAUCAUACAUGAUUCGGAGUUAUCAUUCCAUCAUUUAUUGCAACUAAAAUCUAGUCCUCAGCAUCUAGUACUAUACAAGAUUCAAGGUAGCCAAUUGUAGGUUUUAACUCGUACAAUUGUACCACUUUUAUUUGAUCAGCCCUAUUCUAGUAACAGCAGUGGUCUAUAACAUUUUCCAGCCAGCAACAGAAAGAAGAGAAUUAGACAAUGAUAAGCUGAAACAUAGAAUGUUAGAAAUUUCCUGUAGCAAGAUAUCAUACAUGAUUCGGAGUUAUCAUUCCAUCAUUUAUUGCAACUAAAAUCUAGUCCUCAGCAUCUAGUACUAUACAAGAUUCAAGGUAGCCAAUUGUAGGUUUUAACUCGUACAAUUGUACCACUUUUAUUUGAUCAGCCCUAUUCUAGUAACAGCAGUGGUCUGUAACAUUUUCCAGCCAGCAACAGAAAGAAGAGAAUUAGACAAUGAUAAGCUGAAACAUAGAAUGUUAGAAAUAUUGGUAGUGCAAUAGAAAAGACAAUGAUUCUAAUCUUAGAUCAUCUACUCAUCUAACGUCAGAAACUCAACUGAUAUAUACAGAGUCAACAAACUAUCCUAUCAUGAUGAUCUUUCUUCAUAUUUGAAAUCGUAACAACUUUAUAACAUCAAAAUGAAGGAGUAACCCCCUUGGGAUUAAAAUAUAUAAAGAUUCAGGUCUAUGCAUAACACAACAUUCCGUCCAAUAUAAGCACAAGGACAUAUCCACGGAGGCAGAUUUAUUCUUGUGCAAACAUCAAAUAGUACUGUAUCAAUUUGGCUUUAUAACAGAUCUUUUUCCCUUCUUUAAUAAUCGAGAAAUCAGCAUAUAUCACAGUCUUCUAAGAUCGGUGGAUAAUAGGUCCUCCCCUCUACUCUUCUCUGCUUAAAAAUCGGGUUUUGCUUUGCAUGGUGUGAGACUCGAACCUGCGACCUAAGCCACAAAUCCUUCACCUUUUGCCACUCAAGCUAGGAUUGGGGGCAUGUUUAAACUUUUUUAUACAUUAAUAUGAGUAAGAAAAUAAAGAUUUUCAUAUUGUUAAAGCUAAUAGUGGAAAGUUUUUUAUUUAGCAUGUCUACAUUAGGAAAUAUACAUAUUCAAUAAGAGCAAAUUUAGAAAAUAUACAAAUACAAUCAAAAAAAAUUAUCCUAGAAACUAUCAUCAAUUUACAUAUUAAUUUUGCUAAAACAUAUACUUUAGUUACGAAUUUUGACAAAGAUACAAUGAACAAAAAAAGAAUUUAUUCAUAUUAUGAUUUGGGUCAAAUCCUACCAAAUAAAGAAUAUCAUCAUAAAUAUUUUUACUAUUUUGUUAUUGAGUUCAUUUUUCGUCAAAUAAUAUAAUGGUUCUAUCUCUAUAAAUACAUCUUUAAAACAAAGACUCAACAUUACAUCUUUUUACAUUCUCAAAUCAAAAGCUUAGCCAUGAGAAAACCCAAUGGCCGUAAAAAAAUUGAAAUUGUGAAGAUGCAAAAUCAAACCAACUUACAAGUAACAUUCUCAAAAAGACGUGCUGGCCUAUUUAAAAAGGCAAGUGAGCUCUCUACUUUGUGUGGUGCUAAUGUUGCUAUUGUAGCUUUUUCUCCCAGCAACAAAGUAUACGCAUUUGGACAUCCUUCCGUCGAGUCAAUUGUGAAUAAAUUUGUCGGGGAUAAUCCUCCACCCGACACUGAUGAUCCUAACCCCAUUAUUGUAGCUCAUCAAAAUGCCAAUAUUGAUGAGAUCAAUGAAAAGCUUAACAGGUUGGAGAUAUCACUCAAAAGAGAAAGAAAACAUGGGCAAGCACUUCAAGCAUUGAGGAUAGAACCUCCAAAUGAAAAACUUAGCUUUUUUGACCUUAAGAUCUUGUGUGAGUCCUUGGAGGCUGCGGAUAAAAACGUUGAAAAACUAGCAAUCCAACUUGUGGAGUGUGGUAUUGAAUUCCCAUAUCAAACUAUUGGAAGUGCACUCGCUCCUUUAAGAGCUACGGAAAGCACUCCGUCCUAUUCCGGCGAAGGGUCAUCUGGUUCCGGUGAAUAGCUUUUUCUUGCUUUAUUUAAAGUUCAAUAACUUCAUUUGGUAUUUAUAGAGUUAAGUCUCUUUCAUAUUUAUGAUUAAGUUUUGAUCAUAAUUUUAUCUUUCAGUAUGUUCAUCAUGGAAUGGGAUAAGCUUUUAUUUUGGUACUUUAUUCGUUCGAAUUACUUUGUCUUACUUUUUUUUGGUCCAUUUAAAAAAGAAUAUCUUUUUACAACACUUAGUUUAUAAUUUUCACAUAUCAUGGUAACCUUCCUAAGUAAUAACUACUACCCAAUGUCGAUCUAAAGAGUUUUUGUUGUCAUAGAUAAUUAUACAUUAAAGGAGGUACAGAACAUAAUUUGUCCCCUGUAUUUUAGAGAAUCUAUCCACCAAGUUUUACCUUCAGAUUGCUUCAAGACAAGCACCACGGAUCAAUUAAAGAUUGUUAUUGUAAGACUAAUAUAGUACAAAGCAAGUGCAAGUUUCUCCGCUAUUUUUUAUGCUUUUAGUUAUGGUUCCUGUCAGUAUGAAACAAACUCGAUUCUAGCACAAGAAUUAUCAUAUAUAUUUAUCACUGCAUACAAGUUACAACGUAGAAUAUGCACAAAAAAUAAUAACACACUAAUUAGGGAGAGAUUAUCAUAGAGAAAGGUAACUAGAAGGGGAUGGUAUACUAGAACAGAGAAAGAUGAUGAGAGAUAACUGACAGACAAAAUUUCGACAGAAUUAACAAAAGGUUAUUGGUCAUGGAUCCCAAAUAAAAUUCUCUAAUAACUCAUAGACCCUUACAAAGUUAGUUUGGUUCAUAACACAGUCCCUAAGGUUUUCGAGUUAGGUACUUCCUUUCAACUCAUGAGUUGUAAUAUAUACAUUGUAUUACCUGUCCUAAAAUAUUGUGGGGAUUUACUUUUUUCUUUUAAAUAUUUGUGCAACAUGUCUCUGGAUUCAGCAUUUGUGUCAACAUAACUAGUAUGAGCUGCCAAGAUGCUAAAGUAUGAGUACUUUUAUUAAUGACAGUACACCAAGUAAUGACUUGACUUAAUUCUUCAUUAUAAAAAUAUGCCCAAAUCUAUAACAUGAUAUGAAGUACAAUAUGAUGAAGAAAAUACGAAAUGUAACAUCUAUGCAACACUAAGAUUAAAAAUUCUCGCAUCCAAAUACUCUAUCAAAUCAACAAAGUUCGCAGAUCCAAACAUUGUUUUGGUUGUAAGAUACUGAUUUCUAUCAACCCCAUUCAAUUCAAGGAAUUCAAAAACAGUGAAUUCUAAAUAAUCUAUGACGUAGGAAUGAUAGUGAACCAAGACAUGGAAGUCUAAUGCAAAAGAACACCCUUGUUUAUCGAGACUUCAUGCAGUGCAAGAUGAACAAGGAACAGCUUGAACUAAGAGGAAGCAGAUUAAUUCCUGUGCAAGCACAAAUCUGAUAGUAUGUGGCAUUACAAUAAACUGAUGUAAAUCCAUGAAAUGUUGUUCUUUACACUUUAUGCUACAGGUUCAUAGACUAGAUCUUCUAACAUGUUAAUUGGCUAAAGAGCUUCCUUGAAAUUGCAAGCAUAGAUAUCCUAGACAAAAGAAAAAACAGAGGCUUUUGAGUAAUCUAAAGGAGAUGUUCCUGUAAUACCUGUAUACAACAUAAUCUUGUGCAUCACAAAAUACAUGAACCCUCAGUUGCCAAAGUAAGGAGAGACAAGGCUAUCCACAAAAGUUUCGAGCUUCAUACGUAACAGGAUUUACUUCAAUCAAUAGAUCCUUACACGAAUUGUCUUUCAGAUUGUAGACAACCCAUUUCUUCGUCGACUUCCGAUAAACAUCAUCAUCAUUAGUAGUGGAACACAAUAGCGUACUUACAGAAUCAUCCAAACUCAGUUCUAUAAACUCAAAUUUGGUCCAAUACUCCUUAAGCCCAUACUCUUUCAUGAUCCAAAAUGUAACUGUGUUUAUGUCUCGGGGUAAACUGGUGGAUAUACAAAGACACCCUUUAGAAGUUGCAAUAUUACACAUCCAAAUACUCUUUCAAUUCCUUUUACAUUAAAUUACUUUUUUUUUUUAUUCAUCUUAGUUUACCUUGUUGUUACCCCAAUGGAUGGGACCGUAAAUCUGACAAUGUUGACUCCGUUGCUCGGCCUGAGUUGAUAGUUAUUUUCACUGACGACGAAUUUUUAAUUAAUUAAACACGAGACCACCAAAUCGAUAUUGACUCAUGUGUGCUUCUCGCUAUUUUCUCGCUACUGUGAUUGUCUUUUCCUUUUUUUCUAUUUUAUUUUAAAGAUUAUGCUCUUUAUGUUUUUGUUUUAUUUUCAUUGUUCUGUAAUCGACACACAAUUUCACAUUGCAAAUAGUCAAGCAAUGCCCCUUUUUGAUAUGUAAUUUUUCUUUAGAAAAAAUUGAAAUUAUUAUCUAUCUUUUUUGGUUAAGAAGAACUAUAAAACUCCAUUUUAAUGGAGUUUCAAUUCCAUCAUUAAUAUAAUAGUUUUGACUAUGAAGAUAAUGUGAUUUUAGAAAUGGUGAGGUUUGAGUUUAGUAAAUGAUAGAAUAGCAAUGACUUCAGUGGAGAUUGAUUCGCGGCGGCAAGCAAGAUGAAAGUGAUUUUCCGGUAGGUGAGGAACAAUUUAAGGGGAUAAAAUUGGUGAAGAAAUUUUAAGGGGAUGAAAUUGGUGAAAGAAGAAUAAAAAAGGAAAGAGAAAGAGAGAGCUGAAAAAAAAGUAAAAAAAUAUACUGUUCAAAUUUAGAGUACCACAUGGCAUUUUCACAUUGGUUUGAAGGUAUAUAAAUAUCCCUUCACGCGCCAACAUUUCGUGAUAUCACGGAUACCGAGAAAAUAGAACAAAAUGGUGUAUUUACUAUGGAUAUAUAUUGUUUCAUGGGGUGAUAGGACCCCCGCAAACUUAAGAUGUCUACUUGAAAAAAAGGUAUAAGUUUCAUGGGGUAAUUAUGUAUUUCCUCAACUUUUAUUUGUAUUUCAUGGCCAAACACAAUCAAAUAAUAUUGGUAUUAUUUUCAUUUUAAAAAGGUUGAAUAUAUAAAUAGAUCUCUACACUUGUUGAUUUUUCCCCUCAUGUACCUUAACUAUGUUAUUUUUCUAUUGAAUCAUUAAAUCAUCCAUACUUUGUUUCUUUAAACAAUGUUGACUGAUGUAGAACCACAUUUUGUGAGGGGUAUUCAUAGAGGACACAUAUAUUGCUUAAACACAGUUGACUGAUGUGAAACCACAACUAUGUUAUUUUUCUAUUGAAUCAUCCAUAAUUUGUUUCUUUAAACACUGUUGACUGAUGUGGAACCACAUUUUGUGAGAGGUAUUCAUAGAGGAUACAUAUAUUGUUCCAGAACUCAUUAGUCCAAUUGAUAGUGAAAAUACUCGAGAAUAAUUGUAUUUACUUCAAGUCAUUUGAAUAUAUUAGAAAACAAAUGAGACUAACACACAAUUUGUCUUAAUUCGUUCAAUCAAAAUCAUUACAAUACAAACACACUUAAAGGCUUUUACAAUAGAAAAGUCGAUCAAAUAUCAGUCAACAUUGUUUAAAAGGAACAUAUUAUGAGUGGUUCAAUGCUUCAAUAGGAAAAUGACGUAGUUGAGGCACCUGAACGAAGAAUUCAAAAAUUUAGGAAUUUGUUUAUGAGUUCAGCAUUUUAAAAAAAUAAUUGAUUCAUAAUAAACUUGGUCAAACGUCCACUUAUGAAUGAAUUAAUGACUUAUAAAUUUACAUAUUAUAUUUUAAAUUUUUUUAAUAUUAUAUCACUUCUGGUAGAGCUUUUAAAAUGGUUGUUCAACUCAACUCAACCAACCUUACGAUUUAGAGAGUUAAAUGGGUGGGGACGAGCUAGCUCUUUUAAUUAAAAGGCUUAUAAAAUAGCAGCUCAACCUAGCCCUAAGCGGGCCACUGGUUGAGACGGGUCAGUCUUUCACCCAAAUAAUAAACUUCAUUGGUUUUUUAGUUAGAGUAUCUAAAAAUAUUGAACGUUGAUGUUUGUUGAACAGAACAUCAAUACACACAAAAAAUCAAGUGUGAGUUACAUACUUUAGUGAUUACUUACAAAAAUAUAUAAUAGUCAAGAUACAAUAUCAUAAGAUUCCUCCUACAAAAAAUAUUACAUAAUCAAUUUUUUUACAAAAAGACAACAAAUAGGAGAUGAAAAAUUAGACAUAAAAACAAAAGUAGGCCUAAUUUUAGUGGGGUAAUGGCCCUUAAAUGUAAAAGAUCUACAAAGGAGUAAAACUUGAUUUUAUAUUUUUUUUUAAAUCUUUUAAAAAUUAAAACACUACGUAGUGUAAAUCACAUAAAUCUCACAGUUUUAAUAUAAAAUUACAAUUUAUCUCUAAUAAGUUUCUAAUUACACUAAUUCCUUAAAAACAAAGAAAAAUCGAAUAUAAUUGUUGAAGCUUGGAUACAUAAAAUAUUAUUUCAGAUACAUUAAUAUAUAGCUUGGAUACAUAAUAUGUAGCUAAUGUACAUCACACCGGCUAGGAUAGAUUAAUAUGUAGCUCAGAUACAUUAAAAACUAGCUCGGAUACAUUAAAUACUGGCUUUGAUACAUUAAUAUACAACUCAGAUACAUUAAAGAAAUAAGGAAUUUUGGAGAUUUUUAAAAAUAAUAAGGGAUAAUGGAAAUAAGUGAAACAAAUGUGUGUAUUUCUGUAAUUUGUCCAUAUUUUUAACAUUCAUAGCCCAUAUGUUAGUCUUUAAGCCUUGUAGGUUGGGUCAACGAGGCUAUCGGGCCAAAUGAGGCUGGGCCAUAAUGCCUCAUUUCUAAAUGGGCCAAAAAAAUUAGACUCAACCCUUUAAUUAAUUGGGAAAUUUUUAAAAAUGUCAAUAUUUUAGUAUUUAAUAGGAAUUCUUAGCCACAUUUUCAAUAUUUAUUGAAAAUGUCAAUAUUUUAAUUGAUUAUGUAUUUGAUUUAUAUUUUUAUUAUUUGUUUUAAUUGAAAGAAAAUAAAUAUUUAUUAACAGAAAGGAGAAAUUUAUGGGAGAGAAUAUCUUUUUAAAAAAACAUAUCACUUAAAAUUCUCUUCCGUUACUAAUUCUAAAGAUAUGUCCCCUUGUUGAUGAAAUUUCCCUAUAUCAAUUUUCUAAGUUUUCAUCUUAUAAUACUUAAACUCUAAUGAAGUGAAUUCAUUUAUUUUUUUUAAAAAAAAAAAAACUAUUUCGGAAAAAACUUUGAAAACAAACAGGUCCAAAAUUUGUUGACAAUCAGCUUUAGAGAAUGAAUUUUCGAUUGAGACUUUGAUAUAACUGGUGAAAAUAUAAACUUAACCAGCUACUAUUUAAUUGUUGAAUGCUUUAUCAGUUUCAAAGUGAUUAAUAAAAGGGUAUGAAUUUUUUUUAUAAUUGUAAAGUGUAUCUAAUUUCCUUGCAAAUUGUAUGUAUUAUGAACAACGUGGAAAGAAUUAGUUUUGAUGGAGUGUUUUAAUUUUAGAUUAGUUGAAUAUAAAUAUGAACGAAUCUAGUUGUUUGAAGAUCAUUUUGUUAUGUGGCUGCUGAGUUACUCCCCCCCCCCCCCUAAAAUUGUAUCCCUAUUGAAAAAGCUAUAAUAACUAUAUUGUAAGUAUUUGAUUGUAAUACAACAAAUAAUUUUGAUAAGGAUACAAAUGUGUUGGCGAUCAUACAAUACGAUUGUAAUGAUAGGGAUAUAAUUUUGAUCGAAAAUAUAUAUUAAUGUAUUUUUUGUAACUUGAAUACAAUAUUGUUAACGAUUUCUAUUUUGUAUUUAUUAAUGUAUUUUUUUAAAAUACAACGCAAAUAUGGAGAAUAUUAAUUUUCUAAUAAUGAUUUUUGGAAGAUGGAACGAAGAGCUACAUUGAUUAUACAAUACAUAUAAUUAUGGUGAAGAAAUAUACAACAUUUAGAGAUUUAGUGGAUGAAUUUGCUAAAUAAAAUAAACUGGUGUUGAUUUGAAAUACAAUUAUGAAGCUUAAAUAUAAGCUAGAAAAAAGUAAUGCUUCUUUGAAAAUAGAUGGGAGUGAGAGUUUAUGUGUUAUUGAAGAAAGAUAACCAAAUUUGACAACAUAUUCCCUGUAUUUAAUUGUAUUUGUGAAGGAUUAUGAAUUAACAAAUAGAAAUAUGCAUGUGAAGACAGGGUUAAAAUGUGUGGAAUAGAUGGAGGAUAUAUUGUUGAGUGUUGAUACACAAACAAAAAAAUGUGUAGUUACUUUCUUGAACAUCUUUAAUGAAUAUUUUAUCUGAAAUGUAUUCAAAUGAAAAUCUAUAUUUUUACAAUUAAUGAUGUAUUCAUUUCAAUAUAUUACUUUAAAAUGUUCUUGUAUACUCAUUUGAAAGUAAACAUGAAUACGUCAAAUUGAUUGUAAAACUUUAUGAUGUCUAGAAUAUAAAAUUCAAGGUAUAUAGUUAUGAUGACUAAUUAAUUUUUGAAGAAAUACAAAAUCGUAUGAUUUUGAAAUUGAAUUUUAAAAUAAUCAAAUACAUAAAUACAAACCUUAUUUGUAGUUCGUUUGGAUGAAUACAAAAUUAAAAAGAACUGAAAAUAUUUUUGACAUACAAAGUGAACUUAAAUACAAAAUGAAAUACAAAACUAGUUGAUAUACAAUUAUGAUGAACCAGAAACUGUUUUGGCAUACACUAACGACUCUCACUUGUUUUAGUUUAUUUUCAACCAUAACCAUUUGUAAUUAGUACUCUACAAAGAGAUACAAACUAGAAUGUAAGGAAUGGAGUUCAAAAAAUAUUAUAUAAAAUAAAAUUAAUAGUAUAUGUCAAACCUUUUUAAUGAUAAAUUCAAACUUCGUAAGGUUAAAGCGUUUAUUUUGCUAAAUAAAUUAUUACAAAAAAAAAAUAUCAAUGUACAAUAGACAAAAUGAUUUAGAACCAAGCAAGAUUAGAAAGACAGAACUAAACAACUAUUUUAUUUCAAUUGUUUUAAAAUCCUUGUGAACUAUGUGAGGUCUGUUAUGCCUCGGAGGUGCCUCACACUCACUAAUGACUCAGACAUCUGUUGGCCAUAGUUCCAAAAAGGUGCAGUGUAUCUUGAUCAUAGAAUUAUUGUAUUCGAGUUACCUAUUGAAUUUUUUUUUCCACAAGGCAACUGCUAGGCAUAAGCAAACACAUAAAUACUACAAUCCCUACAUACAACAAAUUAACAAGAGAAAAUAAAAUUAACAAAUAUAUCAUAAUGAAUACAAAAUCAAAAUAAUAAAGUAUGAAUACAGUCUGAAAUAACAUGAAUAAUCUUAAAAAUGAAUACAACUAAAUAAAGUAAAUAUGUAUUUUUAAUUGAUUGAACACGAACACCACUCGUACAAUGUUCUUAGCUAGAAAAGAUUACAUUGAUAUGAUGAUUGAUGAUUGAUGAUUCCAUAUAUGUGAGUAUAAUAUCAACACUAACAUCAUGUCCACAAAUACAAAAAUAAUAAUUAAAAAAUACAUUCGAUAGUAAUAAUCACAUGUUAUCCAUAGACAAUAGCAACACUAUUCUAAGUCAAUAUACAUACUUUUUAGAUUUUGAAUACAAAGACAAUUGCUACAAGUACUCCGAUCCAAUCUAAUAGAAAAAUCAGUUUUUUAUGUGUUUUAACAACUUCAAUCGAAUAUUCAAAUAUUGUGAUGGUAAUAUUUUCAAUAAACUUAAUAUUUCAUAAAAAUAAUUAAAUACCUCUUUAUCAAUUGUUUGGUCUUUAUCAUUUUUUUGAGUUUCCCAACCGAUAUACAAAGAUUCUACACCUGCUUUAAACUUGAGGAAGAUUUUGUAUACGGAUUGGGUCAUGUACAUACUUAAAUCGUCUCUCUUCCGCAAUUUUUAGUCGUUGAUCCAAUCUUAUCUAUCAUUCUUGGAGUAAUAAAUAGAUUAAAAGAUGGAAAAUCGCUAAAACAUAAACGAUUAAGUUAAAUACCUCUUGUAACCCUCUUAGAGUCGGCCAUUAGAGAGGGGUUUUGAGGUUUUCAAUAUCCAAAACCCUAAAUUAAAUUGAAGAAGUUACUACUCCACUAACUAAACAAAUAAAAAUUUUUGAAAGAUUUAAACAAAAACAAAAUUAACAAAUCUAAAAAUCGGGUAAAGAUGCAUCUCUUAAUCAAAGUGAUUGUGAUAAAUAUCUUUAGAGGUAUAUUUUUCAUUUUUUGAAGAAAAAAAACCAAAAAAAGGGAAGAGAGAGAAUCUGGGAUUGAAAGAUUGAAGAAGAUCUGAAAAAGAUUUUUUUUUUUUGAAAACAUAUGAAAGAGAAUGUAUUGGAAACGUAUUAUUAAGGGAAUGUGAGAUAAUAAAGGAACUAAAAUAGGAUACAUUAUACUUUAUAAAAUAUUGACAUUUUGACAUUUUUAAUAAUAUUUAUAAAGUGUAGAUGUUUUUACUAAUUAUGUUAGAAUUUUUGACUAGAUUACUAAUUUUUCCUUAAUUCAAUGCUUGAAUUGGGGUGACUUGACGGGCCAAACCCAUUUUGAUAGCUCUACUUGCUAGAACCAUUUUCUUUCGGCAUAAUCAUCACAUAUUUCGUCACGACCAUGGAAAUCAAUGCGAAUAAGUAAUUUCACACCAUUAGAAAGUGACAACAACUCAAGAAAUUUGAGUCAACAAUGAUUUCGUCGCAUUUCUUCAAUCAACAAAGUAGGUUCUACAAAAAGACAAUUCACAAAGUACAACUAUCAAGACGUUGCCUUUUUCAUUUAUUAAGAUUAACCAAGUAGAAUAAUUGAACUCUUUACCUCAUUCCCACUACUCCCCAACACAUAUUAAAGGAAAAAAAUACAAGAUUCUACAAGGUUUAAAAAAGUUCACUUGCCUCAAUUCAAUCAAAAGUCAAUCGAAGACUUGAGUAUUACCUUUCCAAAACAAUAUUCAAAGCCACAAUAUAAAGCAAUCACAGUUAGAAUUCGAAAAUAACAACAGUCAUACCAAUGAGAUUGUUGAAAGUCCAGUCCGAGCAUUCAAACCCUGAAUGUUGACCAACGUCAAGAAUAAAAUUCACAAACUUUCAACUUAGGACCUCAAAUCUUUGAAACCGACAAACCAGUUACACCAAUUUUCAAAAUUCGGAACAGAUGGAAUCGACAUAAUUCUACUUCCAAGACUAAAAGGUCCAAAAGAAACCAAAAGUCACUUUUUAACAACUUUUGUUUUGAAAGUUUUUUUCAACUUUCAAAAAAAUCGUAAUUCACAACUUUUAACUCAAAACUCGAAAUCAAUUUCAAAAUCCAAUCAUAAAUAACUUGGGGACAAUAUAUACUAGGAGAGAUAAAAGAAGUAAUUUUAUGAAGAAUUCCAAAAAUGACUUUGCGUGUCAUUACAGGGUCAUCAACAUAGGCAAACCUAUAUAUAUAGGUGAGGUUCAAGUCAAUGCACCCUCCCGUAUGACCACUACAUGACCAGGGGCCGAUCCGGCUAGAACUCCAUUUCACUAUUUUAUUAUAAUUUUUGAAUUUAAAGGGUUUAUUUAAUUGUAGCAUCAAAGUUACUAGAUAGAAUAUUCAUACUCAAGACAAUCCAGUAUAAUAAAUCCACUUUACCAUUGAGCUAUCUCACUCAACUGUUUUUCAAUUCUUUUAAGAAAGCUAAAAAAGUAUGCAUAUUAUUUUAAAGUCUUAAAUUAGUAAAGUUUAAGUAUUAUCUUAGAACUUAUGUAUGAUCUAUAUAUUUGUAUUUAAUAAUUUCGGUAUUAUUCAAAUCAUUAGUGGUCAAUUAAUUUCGAUAUUUUCCUAAAUUGUUAUUGAAAGUUUUGUCAAUGCAUAAAUUAAAAUAAUAUUGAUACAUUUGUCUGCAACCUUCAAAUUCCGAAUCCAUCUCUAAUCAUCUACAUACUUAAUUAGUUCCACAAAAUAGAGUAGAAGCACCAACUAUCGCUUCCUAUUUCUCUAUACUAAGAAAUUUGUGGGAUGAGUAUGAUGUGAUACUCUAGACGAAUACCAUGCUUACUCUUUCCUUUUUCUUAAACAUAGUUUAUAUACAUAACCAAUUUAAAUAAACUAAAAAAUCAUACUAAUAAUUUCAACAAAAAUAUACUUUGAUCCUUGCACUGGAAUUGCUUACUUAAGUAGUCACACGAAUGAAAUAACUUGUGCUUAUUUUUAUUAUUAAUAAUAUCUUCAACAAGAGUACAAGACCGUGACACAAAUACUUGUAAUAUUGGUACAAAGGCAAUAGAUGAUGUUUCUCAUAUUCAAUUUAAUAUGAAUUUCUUAAGUUAUGCACGAAAUUUAGCUUUGUAAUCGCCCCAAAGUUGAUUAACUGUCUUCCCUAGUAAGUCAACAAAGAACUGAUCAUUAUAGCCAUUUCUCAUUUUCUUGUUAAGUUCUGCCACAAAUCCAUUUCUCAAGUUGUUGCAGUAAUCAAGAAAUUGAGCAGUCACGUCGUAGCCUUGGUCCCAACGAUCGCCCUGGCCAGGUUUCACCCAGUGGCUUGGACCAAGACCAGCUUUGAGCCUCACAUAAUCAGCAAUCCCUUCAAUUAAUCCUUCGGGAGCCCCAUUGUUCGCAUUCCACUGCCAAACAUGAGUGGCUUCGUGGUAUAAUACUCCAAUGAUCUCUCUCCUAACAUCCCCAGAGUAACCUUGGAUGUACCUGCAAAUGUAUACUUAACAUUUGAGUAUAAUGAGUACUAUUACUUAAUUAUAUAUGACUCACAAUCUCAGAAAGAAUCAUACAUUUCUAUAUAUACAUUUCUUAUUAUUAUUUGUUUGUUUUUUGGGAAGGGGGAGGGGUAUGUAUUUGGAGUUUAAGACGUGCAUUCACUAAUUAUUUAUUGAAUUAAUUUAAUUAUGCAUACCUUGCACUAACGUGAAUCUCAUUGUUGCUAGCGUAAGCUACUCCGUCCAUGUCAUCGACAAACAUAUUUACUUUUGGCACGUCUUUACGGUCAGCCGGAGAAUUCUGUUGGAAGAUGUUCCAUAUGAAGGAAGUGGCAGCUACCAAUGUUUGUUGACUAUAUUGAGCUCCGAUAUCUCGGUCGAAACGGGCACCACCAGGGGUGUUUGCAGCCGUGUUUGUAACAAAGUAAUCUACCGCUUCCAUUUUUUGGGUGAAUAUAGCCAAGACAAAUAAAAAAGAAACGAAGAAAAUGUUAUGAGCCAUUGCUUAUUUGCUAUGCUAGUGAUAUGGUAUUAUGGUAUAAAAAGAUGAGCAUUUAUAUAGAGUUGUUUAUGAGUAGGUCAAGUAAAUAAUUGUUUCUUGUAGUGUAGCUAAUACUCCUAAUAUAUUUUCUAGGACCCCAUCAUUUCCAUUCCCUAUUGCCAAAUUUUUGCAUAUUAAGUUUAAAAGAAAUAUUUUAUUUGUCCAACAAUAAUUGUUCACUAUAUUAUUUUAGGAUGUAUAAUCAUAUUUAUCCAUUUUAUUAAAUUAAUGAAUGAUUUUCCACUUAGGGUGUGUUUGGUAUGAAGAAAAAUGUUUUCCAUGGAAAAUGUUAUCCUAGAAAAUGUUUUCCUGGAAAACAAGUAGAUUUUGGACUUAUUUUCUCAUGUUUGGUUAGUGAGUAGAAAAUAUUUCCCGUGUGUUUGAUUUAUGAAUGAAAUUAAUUUUUUAGGAGUUGGGGGUGGGUGGGGGACUAGUAGGGGGCUGGCCGGGGAGGUGUAGGAGUUUAAAAAUAAAAAUUCGAAGUUGAAAAUAUUUUUCAAAAGCAAAAUUAAUUUUUUGGGGAGGGGUUGGGAUGCUGGACAGUGGUGGGUGGGUGGGGUCAGGGAUCAGGUAAACAAAUAAAAUUUUAAAAUUAAAAAUAUUUUUUUAAAAUUGAUGUUUUUCGGGGGGAAAAUGCAAUUUGAAAUUGGAGUACUGUUUUGGAAAAUGUUUUCCUUAAUUUUUGAAGGGAAAUCAUUUUCCUUAAUUUUGAGGAAAAUGAGUUGAUUUAGAAAAUAUUUUCCAAAACUUUUAUCUCAACCAAACAUGAGAAAAUUGGAAAAUAUUUUUCAGAAAAUGUUUUUCUUCAUACCAAACAUACUCUUAAUUUUUAAUUUAUUGUUUAUACUUAUCAUUAAUUAUAGCCAUUUCUCUGAACAUUGUACUUAUUAUAUUUAAAGAGUGAUAUAGUAAAACUAUCUUUUUAUUUAGGGAAAAAGGUCUGAAAAGUACUCUAACUUUGAUCGAAAUUGUCGUUACGAUACCAAACUUUAUGGAGGAUAUUUUACCCUCUACACUAUUUAUUAGUUUAUUUUAAAGGUAUAUAUGUGACCACGUGAAUACAUUACUAUUUAUAAUUAUGCAAUUCUAUGAUGUCCAAGUAGAUAUAUAUACACCUUAAAAUACGUUAUUAAAUAGUGCAGGUGGAGUAAAAUGUUCUUUCCAAAGUUUGGUAUCAUAACAUCAAUUUCAGUCAAAGUUCAAAUUUAUUUCUGACCUUUCGUCCUAAGACUAAAUAUAGAGAUGUGUAAAAUAAUUGUGGAAAGAUAAAAAAAUAAAAAUUACUUUCGUCCCAAAACUAAAUAUAGAGAUCUUUUUUUUUAAACCCGAUUAAAAAGAGUAUAUUGCAUAAAUUGGAAUAAGUAUAUAGUAUUGUUUGGUUCUUAUUAUUAACUACUCAUAUAUUUCCAAUUAUUUCUCAAAUGUAUUGCGAUUAUAUAUCAAUUAAUAUAAAUAUUAAAAAAUAUAAUAUUAAAAAAUAUAUUUUUUAAGGGAGUAUAAAGUGCAAUGAGGAAGUAAAAAUAAACUAAAAAAAUAAUAAGAGAUUGAUACCAUACUGCGGUGUAAGAUUCAUAUAGACUAGUAGUAAUACAUUAUUGUGGAACACAAAUUUAUGUGCAAACAAAUCACUAAAUUACAAUAAAUAGUAAGGCCUUUAUUUACAAUUUAAAAAAAGAAAAACGGUUGAGAAAAUAUUUUAAUUUUGAUGAAAUUACUGUAACAAUAUCAAAUUUUAUAAAAGAUUUUUUACCUUACACUAUUCAAUAGUGUGUUGUAAAUGUACAUAUGUGCACACGUGGACACAUUACUAUUUAUAAUGAUGCAAUAUUUAUGAUAUGCAUCUGGACACAUAUAUAUCUUUAAAAUACACGAUUAAAUAGUACAGGAUAAAAUGUCUUUUACAAAGUUCAAUAUUAUUAUAACAAUUUUAAUCAAAAUUUAAAUAUAUUUCAUAAAUUUUUCCCUUAAAUAUAAUAAAUUUGAUAUUAAAAAAAUUAAUAAUUGAACUCAAAAAAGGGAGUCAACAAGUCCACCACGAUUGAGUCCAAAUACAAACAAGGACUUGCCUUAAAAAUAUUUAAAUGAGUAGGACAUGAUUCAUAAAUAACGGUCCUCUGAGGCCCUGCCCAGAUAAAGGUAAGGGAAACAGUCCAUUGUGGGGUUAUUAUUAUUAGAAGAGAUAAUUGUAUAGAAAGACAAAUUAAUAAUGUAAAAUAAAUGUAGUAGAUGACGUUUGAUUUAUUUGUGUUUCAUAGCAAAUUGUUUGUCAGUCGCUUCUCUGCCUCAUAAUCUCGCCGCCACUCUACCUUUCUCGCUCGCCACUCUUCCUUUCUCGCUCGCCUCUCUCACUUUAUACAAUAGAAUCGUAAAAAUUGUGUUUCUAUUUAUAUAAAGCGAAAAAAAAUUGUAUAUACACAUUCAAAUACAUAUAUCGCCGUUCUGUACACUUAUAAUUAUAUAAUAAAAAUAUUUCUCUGUCCAAGUCUCUUUUGCCUUUCUCUCUUUCUCGUUUUAUACAAAUUCAAAUUUUAUAUAAUUUUUCUCUCUCAAUUUUUAUACAAUUUCGAUUCAAUUGUAUAUUCCCUUCUCAAGUCUCUUUUGUCUUUCUCUCUUUCUCAUUUUACACAAAUUUAUAUUGUAUAUAAUUUCUCUCUAUCUCGUUUUACACAAUUCGAUUCAAUUGUAUACAAAUUCAAAUUUUAUACAAAUAUACAAACACAUACAAUUGAAUUGAGAGGCUAACAACGAUUUAUACAAAUGAAAGACUAACAACAAUUUAUACAAAUGGCCUAUCAGCGAAAUUAUGCAAAUUUGUAGAGGAAACAACGAAUUAUACAAUUGCUUCAUUGUAUAUACGUAUAGUGAAAUAGGUAUAACUUUCAGUUGUAUAUGUGAGAAUUAUGCAUAUAUAUGUUUAUUAUGGAGCGCAAUUAUACAAACUUUGCUAUAACAUACAAAUUUAAAUUUCGUAUUUGCUAUAUAUAAAAGUUGUCCUUAUUAUAAUUAAAGAAAGAAUAUUAUUAAAAUUUAAACUAGCAAUUCUCUGAAAAGUAUAAUUAAUUAAAUAUAACAGUAAUAUGAUUUAUUUUCAUUGUCCUAUAAUUAUAUGUUCUUAAUUAUAGUAAGUUACAGCCAAUGUGCUUUAGCCGGCCGAAAGAUUAUGUAAUUCUUAUUUUGGUGAAGCAAAAUGCCUUUAUCGAGAAUGGCCAAACGUUGGAUCGUAUGUUUAUUUGUUUGAUUUAUAAAUUAAAUAAGUGGAUUGAGUAUUUUAUAAUCAAUUCAUAUUAUUUUUCAUAAAAUAUGAAGAGUUGGUGGCCUUAACUUAUGAUUAAUAUUUAAUGGACUGAAUUUGAAUGAUUAAAAUUUUAAAUCUAAAAAUUAAACGCAUUUAAAAUGAGUUGAAUCUCAAUAAUUAAAAUUUAGAAUUUCCUUAAGUGCAAAUAAAUUAGGCCUAAGUUACUCAACUUUAUUUUAUUUUUUAAAGUCAUUCAACUUCUGUAAUUCGUUUUGAUGGUUAUUUUAUUUAAAUAUAUAAUUUGUGGUACCUAUUUAAUGACACGAUAAUUAUAUACUUUUAGAAGAAAAAAAUAUUUCAAAAAUUAAAAUCUAACAUGUAAAUUUAUUUAGGGUUCAACUUAUUCUAAACUCGACUUAAUUCUUGACCUGACCCGCUAAUGGGUUAAUUAUAUAAGAGGUCAUUUUAAUAACAUUUAAUACGAUUCUGUUUUGCUAUUUUGAUUAAAUUCGGAUCCAUUAUAACCUCGAUGUACAUAGGUCUGUUCAUGAUUAUGGUUAAAAAAUUAAAUGAACCGCAAUUUGGACCAAAUCGAUUGAGAAAAUCAAUAUUUGAUUUGAUUUGGCUAGGUUUGAUUUACAUAUUUAAAAAAUACUAUUUGAUUUGAUUUUGGUUUACUAAAAAAUAACUGCAAAAAUAACCAAAUCGAAUCAACAAAUUAGCUAAGCUAGUGGGGGGUAAGAAAAAGAUCAAAAUACCCCUCCUUAAAACGGAUGAACUGCCUUAAUUAGAUAGCCCGCACUCAAACGGGCAUAUCUUCUUCAUCCAAAUUCGAAAUUUAGCAAACUCAACAGAGUUGAAAUAGGAAUCGAAGUCCUUAGAUUUGAUACCUCAUGGACAACUUAAAUUAUCCUGUAUUGAAUGUUAUGAUCAUUGGAAGUUGAUCCAAUACUCACAAAUUUGAAGAUUCACUUGUAUUAUUGUAAUUUAGCUCUUUCUAAUUUAGAUCUUUCAAAAUUUAGUGAAUUCCAAGACCAAUGUGUUACAAUUUAUAUAUGUAUUUUACCAUACUAUCCCUAUUAAUUAAUGUUUAUUGUUGGGUCUUCAAAAAUGAUAUGGAGAAUAAUAUUUAAUGCUAGGGGUAAAACAUGAAAAAAAUUUAUCUUUUCUUGUUAUGUCAAAAAUAACAAGUAAAAAUGAAAAUCUAUAUAAGAAUAAAUGACAAAUAGAAAUAAAGGAAGGGAGUAACUAUAAAUAGUCGUAGUAUUUUAAAGAUUCAAAAAUGAAUUACGGUGCACUUUGUUCUAUUCCAUCAUUUGUUGAGGGUAAGACAAUGAGUUUAAUGUAAAUUUCUAUAGUCCACAUAAUUAUGUUUUAGUUUGAUGAUUAAUAUAAGUUAAAUUCUAAAGAUAAGAAAGUUAUCUAGUAACUUUAAACUACCCAUAAAGAUGGGAAGGGAAGUUACCUAAUAACUUCCGACUACCCAUAAAGAUAGGAGUUACCUCGUAGUUUUAGAACUAUCCACCAUCUCCACAACUUACGAUGAUGGAUUGUAGAAAUAACGUUAAAAAUUCUAUAUUUUAAUCAUUAUUUAAGAAAAUCAACAAUAGUUGAAUAGUGAAUUUAUUAUUCCUAAAUUUAUAUUUCUCAUAAAAGUAUAAAUAUCUCUCAAAAUUAUACUUAUACAUUAUUAUUGAAAUUGAACAAUUAAAUGCACUCCUCUUGAUUAUACAAUUUAAUUGUCAAAAUAGUAAUAUUUAAAAACAAGAAAUAUGUACUUGAACUAAACAUAUUCUUCUAAGUUUUUCUAUUUCGAUUACCGUACUUGUUAUAACUAAUUAUUACACUUGUUACGCUCGAGCUACCCCCGAGACGCGGAUACGGAACCUAUGACCACAAGUGAUCCCAAGCUAACCCUGCUGACAUAAUCAUGAGCAUACUAAAUAAUAUAAACUGAUGCGGAAGCUAAAUCAUAAUUUAUUCAGAAAAGAUGGGGAAUAUCCAUAUUCUGUAACUGAGAUAUUUUAAAACAAUGAGUUUAAUACAAAGAAAAUAUUAACUCAAUACUAAGCUGAAACUAAAUGUCUGAAAUAAGCCUCUAACUGACUAGAAAUACUGGAACAAGCCCCAGCUAAGUCUAGCAAAAACUGAAACUAAAUGACUAAGUACUUGAAAAGAAACGCAUGACUGUUGUCCUCGGAGAAUGAGGAUUCACCACUGAAUCUGCUGAACUGGAGAUCGGAAAAUCAAUCUAUGCGUGAUCUGGAUGCUGAGAACCUGAACCUACAUCACGAGAAGAUGUAGCGCACGUAUGCGUCAGUAUUUGAAAGGUACUGAGCAUGUAGGAUAUAAUAAAAUUGAAAUAAAACAUAACUGAACAAGCACAAAAGCAAGUAUAAUAAUCUGAACAUAAUAUACUGAAUUCUGAGUUAACUAGAUGCAAUGACCAAUUUAUAACAUGCUGAAACUGAAUACUGAAUAUACUGAUAAAUGAACAAUGUAGAGAAUCUGAUUGAACUGUGGGAGCUACUAAUAAUCGAUAAUAAAAUCACAUGAGCUAAAUGUGGAGUCUGAUGUAUAUGCCCCAUCGAGAGGACCCAAUAUACCCUGCCAAAGGUAUAAAGCAUGCUGGCGUGAUCACUAAACUGAUUGCUCAACAUAGGGGAUUUACAACCUACUUGGCUAGUACUUCUGGGACUAUUGGGUACGUUGAACCCUAGUCCAACUCAAUAUUAUGCUACUCAUAUUGAUUUAUGUAGUUAACUGAUAAAAUCUGAAUUUUCUGUAAAUACUGGAUAGCUCAAAACUAAAUAUUCAAACUGAGAAUGCAACAUUUAAUAUAAUAAUGAUGCAUUAAAAAUUGAAGCAUGUGUAAGUGCAUAACUGAAAUAUCUGACCUAGCAUGUGUAUUUCAAGAACUAAAGAAAUACAAAGCUAGGGUUCUGAAAUUCAUGCAAUAAAAAAUCUGAGUAAUAACAUGAUAAUCUGAUUUGGAAUAUAUAUUUUAACUAAAUCAUGAAGUUAUGCUGUAAUUCUAGGAACCCUCAGUUUAAUCAUGAUAAAAGAAUCAAGAACUGACUAAAAACUAGGGACUCAAUGGGUAAAAGGAACCCACUAGUGAAAUCCCACAUACCUGGUGAUGAAAUUCAUGGAGAAACACUUAUAUUUUGUCACUGGAACUGCUGGAAACUUGCUUCAUUCUUGAACUAGGGUUCUUGAGCUUUUUCUCCUUUCUUGCUUCUAAUUUUUUAACUUUUGAUUUAAUGAUUUGACUUAGAUAAAUUUUAGUUAUGUUUCUAGGCUUAAACUGACUAAAAUAUGAUGAUUUAGGGUCAACACGACGUAUUUUAAGGUUUAAACAAAGUGAAAAAAGACCAAAAGACCCCUGGGUAAGUUGUUGUCGGACCAAACGAUGGCCAGGACAGACGGUCCGUCGUUGGGUCUGUAGGUUGGGCCUGUUCGACAGACUUUUACUAAAACAGGCAUAACGUUUUACUCGGACGUCUGAUUUUAGCAAGGUCAGUGGCUAUGGAAAUCUAAUUCAAUUAUCUAUCUGUGGGUAGGUCAUGGGACACCUAAUUCAUUUUUUACUAAGAGUUAUGACCAUUUGAAGCUGACCCAACUGCAUUUCCCCCUUAACAGUCUGUUAAUUCAAACCUACGGUCAGACCUAUGGACCAUGUUGGUCAUCCAUGGCUCUUUUUCAGGGAGUGGAUGAAUAGUGGUCUCUAUCGACGGUCACGUACUACGGACCGUCAUCUGACCUACGGACCGUAGGUCCGUCCGUCGAUCAAGACGGUCCGUCGAUGGUUACGUUAGUUGCACCUGCAGAUUUUUCUAAAAAACUAAUUUUUUGUCUAUUUUGGAUACGGGGUGUUACAACACUAUUCGUCUCUCUAGAUUACAAAUAAGUGUAAAUUCAAUUAUAAUAUAAAAAUAGAUUGAUCUCACUAAAAUAUUAGUUCCUCCGUUUAAUAAAGAAUGAUCAUAUUUCCUUUUUAGUCUGUUUCAAAAAGAAUGUCCCCUUUCCUUUUUUGGCAACUCUUUAACUUUAACUUUUUAAGUGGCAUGUUUAGGACCAUAAGAUUAAAGAAAAUUUUGGUACAUUUGACAUAAUUUUAAUUUCGAACCUCAAAAUUAAAAAAAAAAUCUUCUUUUCUUAAACUUUGUUCCAAGUCAAACUAGGUCAACCUUUUUGAAGUGGAGGGAGUAAUAAUAUACUAAUACUUCAAUUAAUGAUAUUACUUCUUCCGCCUCUCAGUUACAUAAUUAGUAAUAUGUAAAUAUGUAGUAAAUAUAUGCUAACAAAUGAAAUAACAUCUAACUAUGAAAUAAAUAAAAAAUAAUGCCAUAAUACAUAUAUUGGACCUUAAACUUGGCUUCAAAUUUUAACUUUGACCUCAACUUUCAUAAUACACCAAUAAGCACUAUAACUAUCCUAUCUUUCAAUAAAUAAACACGCUCUCGAGCCAAAGUGCGUGAAAUGCAAACGCUCCCAUGUGUAUUAGUGAGCCAACCACUGACUGCCAACUAAUUAAACAUUUUACAAGUGUUUUUAAAAAAAAAAAUAUUUUACAUGUCAUUUUGAAACUAAAAAAAAUUAUAAAAGAGAUUCAUUAAGGGUAGAAUUGUCAUUUCAAUAUUUUUUUACCGUUUUGAGCCUCGAAAUUACCCCUCACUCCGCAAAAUGCGUGCAUUUCACGCAUUUUGCCAGGUAGAAAUCGCGUGUUUAUUUAUUGAAAGAUAUGAUAGUUAAAGUGCUUAUUUGUGCACUAUGAAAUUUGAGGUCAAAGUUAAUAUUUGAAGUCAAGUUUAGGAAUCUAAUAUAUCUAUUAUGCCAAAAAUAAUCUAUAGCUUAAGAGCACACACGUAAAAUUAGAAAUAAUACUCACUAUUAUAUAGAAAUAUCAAGAUUAGAAAAUUACUCCAUAAUAGAAAAGGUACCACUAAAGAAAAUAUUCUUCUCCAUAAAAUAAGAAAAUAAAAUAAAUAUUCAAAGAAGAAUAAGGAGGAACUAGGAUAAUUUCAACAUCAAAUAACUAAAUAAUAGUACAAGAAGAAUUUGGCGGAAUGAUCUGGUAAACUCUUAUACUUGUAUCGAUUUGUAUUCUGAACCUUUCUUAGGCAUCAACUGGUUGUUGUGCCCACACUUCAUAGCACUUGCAGCAAAUCUCCUAAUUGUACUUCCUAGCCAAAGUCAUCAAAGAAGGCUCAAUAAUUCCUCGACGAAGCCUCAAAGGUAAAGUCGACUUUUGCUCGAUGUAAGUGGCGGAUUCAGGAUUUGAAGGUUGUGGAUGCUCACUUUCUUUAACAUAUACCUUAUAUAGUGACGGAUUUAGAAAUUUUGUAUUUUGUGUGCUCAACUAUUUUUAGUUCGAAAAUUUCUACAUAUAAUGGGUGCUCAAUUAAUAUAUAUUUCAAGUGUAUUACUAAAUUAUGUACAGAAAUAAUGAUGUUGUCACAAAAAGGCACUGGGUGCUUAAGCACCCAUAAGUCACUACAUAGGUCCGCCAUUGCUCGAUGUUAUAGUCAGCAAGAGUGCGACCAUCCUCUAGCUAGUUGCACACCAUUAUUAUUUUUUUCCUCCUCCAACCACCACAGUAACAACCUCUUCUGUGAAACUCAUCGAAAUCUACCCAACAUUCUCCUGAGAUUUUUAUUGGGUUAUCAAAAUCGGUUGAAAAAGACAAGUUUAAGGGAUUAGAAGGAGACUAUGUUGUGAAAGAUUGAAGAUUGGGACCUGCAAACUCCCAUCUCCCUCUUCUCGGCGUACCCGAAAACCCCUUCGUUGGUCGCCGCCUCCAACAUCGCUCCCUAUAUAUCAAAAAACGGACAAGCCAUCUCUCUCUCACACCACUGAUAAUAACUUGAUGUCACCUAAGUGUCAGUUUCAAAAUCUGGCUAAAGAAGAUAACUAUAGUGUGGAUGAUAAAAAAAGAAGAGGUUAGGCAGCGAUGUGUGGGGGUUGCUAAAAAGUGGUGUGGUGAAGAAGAAAGAUAGAUUCUUUUCUUUUUUUAUUUUUGUAUUAUAUAAUUUUAAUAAUUUAAAAUUUAAAGCUUAAAAAAUAUGAUGUUCACUCGCUUUAAAUGUGUGUAGUCAUGCUCUCCCGCCAAUUCAGCUUUUGCAAUGUCACAUAAGCAUGGUCAAUGGUCAGAGGUGUUUAAAAAUAUCAUUUUAAUUGCGUUUAAGGGUCCAGAUGGCAAAAAGAUAAGUAGAAAGGUUCAGAAUACAAAUGGAUACAAGUAUAAGGGUCCACCAGACCAUUAGGCCGAAGAACUUAAAUAAAUAUAUGUAUUGUUUUGUUUCAGCCCCUCUUUACUGCUUUAACAACUUAUUUCUCGUGUUAUUUAUAGUCAUUUUCUAAAGAUGAAAAUCACUCUUUUCUCUUAAUUUGUCGACUUGCAAGUUGAAAUUUUUGACAUUAAAAUGGUAACUCCAAUGCACUCCAACAUUUGAAAAGUUUUCUUACUAGCUUGUCUUUUGCUUUGUUUUCCACUUUAAUGGCUAUCAUGCUAUUAUAUUUUUCAAAUUUUAUCAUCCAUAUUUCCUGCAUCUUUCUUUAAUUUUAUUUCCCUUAUUUGUUUCUUUCCAUUUUUAGCUUAUGAGUUUCACAAUAUGUCCAACUCUUUCCUACAUUUUCACAAUUUCUUGUUCCUCUCUUUCAUAAUUUCUUAAUAUCUUCAUUUGUGUCGGAUAAUUUCUUGUAAAUCAGCACUUGUAUUUUCUUGUCAUAUAUCUACUUAGUUGAUGUUUUCAUACUAUAUACUUCAACAUUUUCUGCAAACAAAGAUUAGAAAUAAUUGGUAGUAAAAUUAAAUAAAAAUUUAGUGUAUAUAUAAUAUUUUUUAAAUCAUCAUUUGCACGUACUUAAUUAGUUCUACGAAAUAGAAUAGAAGCACCAACUGUUGCUGCCUAUUUCUCUAGACAAAGAAAUUUGCGGUAUGUUGUGCUACUCCUAGUAAUGGAUGAAUACCAUCCUUACUCUUCCCUUUUUCUUAAACAUAGUUUAUAUACAUAAUUAAAGUCGAAAUUUAUAUUUUUAAUAUCAAAUUUCACUUGAUUAUUUAACGUUUUGUUAAACAUAAACCAGCGAUUUUACUUAGAGAAUUCACAAAUUUAAAUAUUUUUAACAUUAACCAAUUUAAAUUAACUGACAAAUCAUAAAUAAUUUCAAAAAAAAUAUACUUAGAUGCUUGCACUGUAAUUGCUUACUUAAUAAGUCGCACGAUGAAAUAACUUGUAGUAAAACUUUGUGCUUGUUUUUAUUAGUAAUAAUAUUAUUGUUGUUACUAUACUAUCUUCAACAAGAGUACAAGACCAUGACACAAAUACUUAAAAUAUUGGUACAAAGGCAAUAGAUGAUCUUUCUCAUUCUCGAUUUAAUCUGAAAUUUCCGCGAAAUUUGGCUUUAUAAUCACCCCAAAGUUGAUCAACUGUCUUCCCUAGUAAGUCAACAAAGAACUGAUCACUAUAACCAUUUUUCAUUUUCUUAUUAAGUUCUGCCACAAAUCCAUUUCUCAAGCUGUUGCAGUAAUUAAGAAAUUGAGCAGUCACGUCGUAGCCUUGGUCCCAACGAUCGCCCUGGCCUGGUUUCACCCAGUGGCUUAGGCCAAGACCAGCUUUGAGCCUCACAUAAUCAGCAAUCCCUUCAAUUAAUCCUCCGGGCGCCCUAUUGUUCCCAUCACAAUUCCAAAAAGAAUGAUACAUUUUUAUAUAUACGUUAUUAUUUGUUUGUUUGUUUUUUUGGGAGGGGGAGGGGUAUGUAUUUGGAGUUUAAGACUGUAGAGAAUAGUAGAAGAAAGGCAUAAUACAUAAAUGUGUCCUUUAACUUGGCUUGAAAUCAUAUUUAUGUCCUUUAACUUUGGAUGUGCAUAAAUAAACACUUAAACUAGUAUAAAGUUGAACAAAUAGACACACGUGUCCUACAUGUCAUCCUAUAUGUCAUUUUUUGUCCUACGUGGUGUCCAACGUGUAUUAUGUCAUGUAGAACUCAUGUGUUUAUUUAUUUAAAAGUUGGAUAGUUAAAGUAUUUAUUUGUGCAUUAUGAAAGUUGAAAUAUAACUCAGAAAGCCUUUUACUAGCCCAAGAUCAUUGACGAAGAUCGGAAGAUUUAACUAUAGAAGAGGAAGCUAUAAAGAAAAACUUGUUUAUGGAAGAAGAUUCUUUGAUUUGGGUUGUUCUUGAUUUCUUGGGUUUAUUCUUGAGUUGAUUACAAAUGUACAAUAUCGUUCCAUAUUUAUACUAACCUAUGGAUGGUUCUAGUCUUCUAGAUACUACAAUAUUUAGACUAUUCCAUGAUUCUCUACAAAUAUCUAAUUUCUCUAGAACAUCUACAAGAAAAAUCUAGUAACAUUAUCUUCUAUUCUAGAUUAUCAAGAUUUUUCUACAAGAUACUUAUCCAAGUGACUAUACUAGAUUAUUACAGAAACUUCCCUAAAAAUCUAGGAUUGUUUUAGUUCCAAAAAAUCUUUAUUUUUCACAAAGACGUGCAUCCAAUAAUUAUUUAUUGAAUUAAUUUAAUUAUGCAUACCUUGCACUAACGUGAAUCGUAUUGUUGUUAGUAUAAGCUACUCCGGCCAUGUCAUCGACAAACAUACUUACUUUUGGAACGUUUUUGCGGUCAGCCGGAAAAUUCUGUUGGAAGAUAUUCCAUAUGAAGGAAGUGGCAGCUGCCAAUGUUUGCUGACAAUAUUGAGCUCCGAUAUCUCGAUUGAAACGGGCACCACCAGGGGUGUUGGCAGCCGUGUUGGUGAUAGAGUAAGUCAUUGCUUAUUUGCUAAAUUGCUAUGCUAGUGAUAUGGUAUUAUGUUAUAAAAAGAGAGCAUUUAUAGCUUUAUAUAGUUUUUUUUUCCAUGUAUGUGAAAACAGAGAAGUUGGACCUAGUCACUUGGAAAAUUUAAAUGGAUGGUAUAUAAAAGUGGUCGAUUUGGGAAAAUGAAAAUUUAAAUGGAUGUUAUAUAAAAAUUGUCAGAGUGAAAAAAAAAAUUUAAAUAAAUAUUAUAUAAAAGUCUUCAUAGUGGAAAAAUGAAAAUUUAAAUUGAUGUUAUAUAAAAGUCGUCGGAGUGGGAAAAUGAAAAUUUAAAUGGAUGGUAUAUAAAAGUCAUCGAUUUGGAAAAAUGAAAAUUUAAAUAGAUGUUAUAUAAAAGUCUGUCAUAGUGGAAAAAUAAAAAUUUAAACGGAUGUUUUAUAAAAGUCGUCAAAGUGAAAAAUAAAAAUUUAAAUGAAUGUUAUAUAUAAAUCUUGAUAGUGGAAAAAUGAAAAUUUAAAUUGAUGUUAUAUAAAAGUCGCCGGAGUGGGAAAAUCAAAAUUUCCAACUAAUUUAUGAGUUGGUCAAGUAAUAAAUGUUUCUUCUAGGACCCUAUCAUUUCCUUUCCCAUUGCCAAAUUUUUUCAUAUCAAGUUUAAAGAAAUAUUUUAUUUGUCUAAUAUUAGUUAUUUACUAUAUGAUUUUUUGGAAUAUAUAAUCAUAUUUUUUUUAUAAAAUUAAUAAAUAAUUUUAUAUUUAACUUCUAAUUUAUCGUUUACACCUAUCAUUAAUUAUUUAAACAUUAUAGUUAUUACAUUUAAAUAGUAAUAUAGUAAAACUAUCUUUUUAUUUAGAAUUUCUUAAAGAUUAUGUAAAAUCAAUAGUGGACAAAUAAAGUAAUAAAAAUUACUUUCGUCCCACGAGUAAAUAUAGAGAUAUGUUAUUUUUUUUAUAAAUCGAUUAAAAAGAGUAUAUUGCAUAAAUUGGAAUAACUAUAGUGUUGUUUUAUUCUUAAUAUUAACUACUCAUAUAUUUCAAAUUAUUUCUCAAAUACAUUGUGAUUAUAUUUCAAUUAAUAUAAAUAUUAUAAAAUACAUAUAUACUUCAUUAAUUCUUUUUUAAGGGAGUAUAAGGUCUAUAACGAGGAAGUAAAAAAUAAACCAAAAGGAUAAUAAGCUACAGACAUCGAUGCAAUGCUGCGGUAUAAGAUUCAUAUAAAGUAGUAGUAAUACUUUAUUGUUGAACACAUAUUUAUAUGCAAACAAAUCGUAAGUCAUUUAUUUAUAAAAAAAUAAAAAUAUCUAAAAUAUAUUUUUAUUUUUAAUUAAACUUAUUGUAACGGUGUCAAAUUUUACGAGGGACUUUUUACCUUACACUAUUUAAUAGUGUGUUGUAAAUAUAUAUAUGUGUGUGUCACGUGACAGGAAACUAUUAUAAUAAUGCAAUAUUCAUUAUGUCCAUCUGGACACAUAUAUAUUUUUAAAAUACACUAUUAAAUAGUGCAGGGGGCAAAAGGUCUUUUACAAAAUUUGAUAUUGUUAUAUCAAUUUCAAUCAAAAUUUAAAUAUAUUUCAGAUAUUUUUCUCGUUAAUUAAUUUAAUAUUAAAAAAAAUUAAUAAUUAAACUCAAAAAAGGGAGUCAACAAGUCCACCACGAUUGAGUCCAAAUCACAAACAAGGACUUGCCUUAAAAAUUAAAUAAGUAGGACAUGUUUCAUAAAUAACGGUCCUCUGAGGAUAAAGGUAAGGGAAACAGUCCAUUGUGAGGUUAUUAUUAUUACUAUUAAAGAAAUAAUAUAAUUGAAAUGUAGACUAGCAAUUCUUUGAAAAGUAUAAUUAAUUAAUUUUAACAGUAAGAUUAUUUAUUGAUUUAUUUUCGUUGUCCUAUAAUUUUAUGUUCUUAACUAUCAUAAGUUAUAGCCAAUGAUCUUUAGCCGGCCGAAAGAUUAUGUAAUUCUUAUUUUAGUGAAGCAAAAUGCAUUUAUCAAGAAUGGCCAAAUGGUUAGAUUAUUUGUUUGAUUUAUAAAUUAAAUAAGUGGGAUUGAGUAUUUAAUAAUCAAUUCAUAUUAUUUUUCAUAAAAUAUGAAGAGUUGGUGGUCUAGGUGGUCACUCAAUUUAUGGUUAAUGUUUAAUGGAUUAAAUUUGAAUGAUUAAAAUUUUAAAUAUGAAAAUCAAAUGCUUUUGAAAGAAGUUGAAUAUAAUUAAUUAAAAUUCAGAGUUUUAUUAAUUAAGUGCAAAUAUAUUAGGUUUAAGUUACUCAACUUUGUUUAAUUUUUUAAAAAUCGUUCAACUUUGUGUAGAUAGUUUUGAUGGUUAUUUUAGUUAAAUAUCUAGUUUUUGGUACCUAUUUAAUGACGUGAUAAUUACAUAUUUUUAGAAAAAGUAUUUCAAAAAAUUAAAAUAACAUGUAAAUUUAUUUAGGGCUCAACAUAUCCUAAACUCAAGUCAGUUCUUGACCCGACCCUCUAAUGGGUUAGUUAUACAAAAGGUCAUUUUAAUAACAUUUGAUACGAUUUUGUAUCAUUUUUUUGAUUAAAUAUGAAAACAUUAUACGCUCGAUGUAUAUAUGAGUUUACUGGAAAUGACUUGUAACUUUGAGAUUAAAAUAACGCAAUUGCUGAAAUAAUUAAGAAAUUAACCAUUAUACAUAAAUGUAUCAUUUAACUUGACUUCAUAUAAUAUUAAUGUUCUUCAAUUUUGGAUGUAUCAUAAGCACUUAAAUUUUUGUAAAAUUAAAGAAGUGAUCAUAUGUAUUACAUUUAUAAUAUGUGUCUUAUAUGACAUAAAACUAAAUUAGUUAUGUAUCUCAUGUGAAUUGUCAUGUAAGACGUGUGUGUUUGCUUGUUCAAUUUUAUACAAUUUUAAGUAUCACUUGUGUUGUUGUGCACGCUCAAAGUUGAAGGACAUAGAUGUCAACUGAAGUCAAGUCAAAUGACAUAUUUAUAUAUUAUUUCUAAUUUUAAACUUUUUUUUUUAUGAUUAGCAUACAUGUAUACUACUUAGUUUCUUGAAAUUAAUAGGUGCAUUUUGUUCUUAUGAAAUUAAUAUGACAUAAAUCUUUAUACACAGUUUUAUUGUUAUAAAUCCAUCACAUUGAAUUUGAAAGACUAUCGUAUUAGAAACGAGAUUUGUGUACCUGUUAACAACAACAGAAGAUCAACAAAAUUCUUUUGAAGAAUUGCUCCAAGCCAAAUUUUGAAUCUUUAGGAAAUAAGGUAAUUGUUUUACAAACAAAGUGUCAAUUUAUCUGAAAAAAGGAAUUUGUGGUUCUCUUUUGACGGCCCUUUCGUUUUUCAUUUCCAUGUCCUCUUUUCUCUUAUUUCCUCUCCCCUGAUAAGAGUAAAAAAUAAUCUUAAAAUAGGGAAUGAAAGUGGUUCAUUUCCCUGAAAACUGUUCCUACUUUUUUUUCAAAAUUCUAUUUUUUUUUUUUUUGGUUCAAAAAGUUUAUCAAAUUGGGUCCGAUCGGUCAGAUCCACAUGAGCGAUACAUGACCAAAACUUACAUCUCACACUUCGCUUCAUGGUGGAAAGACCCAAGUUAAUACAAUAUCAACUAGACACACAAGUCAUACGACUAAUAGUUCGUGCGACCCGUGAACAUCAAGAGCUUAACUAUAGGAUUUUACUAGCUCCACACAUGAAUUCAAUCUCAUGUGGGAAGAAUUCACUAUUAAUAUGAAGAUAUCAUUAUUCACAAUACCGAAAACUUCAUUCACUACUUCAACAGUUACUUAUUCGAUCCCUUGUCCUUUUAAAGAGGUGAAAUCAUGUAAAUAUUUAUCUUUACAUAAACAAUUACACUCGACUAUAAUAGUUGUGUAUACAAAUUAAAUUGUUCAUUUCAUUCAUCUUUCUUUUCUACUCAAAUCAAUCUAUUCCAUAUCAACUACUUUCCUAGACAUGCAUUGCAUUACCAAAUCACUCGUGAUUAUUAGUAACAUACUAAAGUAGCAACACUGAUCGAAUCUUCAAGAAACAGUAAAAGGUCAAAGGAUAUUUCAAUGAAAAGUUAAUUUAACUUUUCGGGACCUCACAUAGUGAAAAAAAAAGGUACCAUUCAUUCAUUAGCCCAUUGAUUAUGAAGGCAAUAAUAAAUACAAAAGUUGUCGUCAAUAAGAUAGGGAUCAUCAAAACACCAAACCAUCCAAUGUAAAGACAGUUUUCAGUGCGCUUAACACUCGUGGUUUGAGACACAUUAUACGAUGUUUACAUCUUAUACUAGUGCAUGUGUCUCAUGCUCUCAAUUAUUCAACAUCGUACACCUUUGGUCUAUUUAAAUCCGAGUUUCUCUCUUUAGUGAUCAUCAAACUGAUUUUUUCAUAGAGAUUCUUGUCUGGUUUAUAAAAUAAGUUAUAAUAUGAUAGUGAAAAUCAUCUUUUCACGUUCUCUGACGUAAGAUGCAAUCUCGUAUCAGAUCAAUCUUGAUACUUGCCUGACACACUUUUUAUUUAUAAAACAUCAUAACAUUCAUAUGAAAUAUGAAAAUAAAUUUGAUAUUCUUAUAUUGAUGAUAAAAUUACAACCACUAAGUUGUUUUACAAUACAUAUAAUUAUCAUAUCUUACGCAAACCUACAACCUUAACAUAUUUCUCAAAAAUAAGUCUCAAGAUAUUACUUUGUAAAAGAAUUAACUAUCAUUUCACGAGUAGGAAUGUAUUGUAAAUUUGUUUCUCCACUUGCUACUAAGUCUUUCACAAAGGAUGUCAAUGUGGUUGGUCUUGUUAUAAUUGGAUCCUUCGUGCAUGCAAUAGCCGCUUGACUGUCACAAUCACGGGACCCUUAGAAUUCUUUAAAGAAGAGUGUAUUUAUCAAUUAUUACAUUUAUAAUAAUAAUUUUUAAAUUAAUUUCUCAAUCAGUGAAUGUGAUCGUUAUUCACAAUUAUGAAAGAUACUUAAAGACAUUUGAAUAAGAUAGAUCUCUACAUUCUACUAUCCAUAAUUCUUAUACGUAUUUCUUAUUUUAUAUUAAUCAUCUUUUAUAACAUAUUGUCAACAUAAAACUCAUAAACUAAAAAUAAAGUUAACUCGACAAUUAGAUCAUGGAAGUUGUGACUUACUCUUUUUUGUUGUUGGUGAUUUAUAAAAUUUUAAUUCUCUGAAUAUAACAUGUUAUCAGUACUGUUGACCAUCUUUCACCACGUAAGCACAUAUAAGAAGGAUAGUAUCCCUACUAUAUCUAGCCUCAAUUAAUUGCUAAUUGUUAUCAUGGAUUUUGAAUUACAAGUUGAUCAUUGUAAAUUAUUUUAAGUGUUAAUGGUAGAAUUUGUUUAAAUGGAGUAUAUUAUUUUCUGUUGUAUUAUUUUAGAUGAAUGGUUUUGUAAAUCUCGUGGGUUACUGAUACUCUUUUUGUUCAGUUUUACUUGUUAUUAUUUGAUUUGGCACACUCAUUAAAAAAAUAAUUAUUUAUAUCACAUUCCAAGCCUACACUCUAGACGUGACCGACACUCGAGAACCGUUGUUAAUCCUCAAGCGAACCCUUGGACUGGCUCCCUAACGGAAGACCUACUCAAGAAUGUAAGAACUUUAAAAUCAACCUCAAGAUGAAUUCAUGGAUACAACUUUACAUUAUUGGCGUGAGGCGAACGAACCAAACACUAUGAAAGCUUACAUACCUUGAAAAAACUAAGUUCUUUGACAAAAAUCCUAAGUGUAUUUUGAAAAACUAAAACUAACUUCAAUCAAUAAUCUUAGACCCCUAAAAGAUUAACAAAAAAUGAGAUUGGUUGGUGGGAGUAAGGAAAAUAUCAAAAUAUCACUCCUUAAAAUGGAUGAACUGUCUCAACUAAACAGCCUGCCUGGGCAUACUUCCUUCAUCCAAACUCAAAGUUUAGCAAACUUAACAGCUUAGAAAAGAGGACUCAAAGUCUUUGGAUUUGGUACCUCAUGGGCCACCUAACUCAUCUUGUGCUGAAUGUUAUGUUCGUUGGAAAUUGGUUCAAAACUUACAAAUUUAAAGAUUUACUUGUACAUAUUUCAAUUUAACUAUUUCUAAUUUAGAUUUUUCUAAAUUUAGCUAUUUGUAAGACUAAUGUGUUACAAUUUAUACAUGUACUUUAUCAUACUAUUCCUACUAAUUAAUGUUUAGCAUUUGGUCUUUAAAAAUGAUGGGGAGAAUAAUAUUUAAUGUUAGGAGUAAAACAUGGAAAAAAUAAUUAUCUAUUUUUGUUAUUUCAAAAGUGACAAAUAAAAAUAAAAAUCUAUUUUAGUAAUAAAUAACAAUUAAAAAUAAAGAAAGGGAGUAACAUGUUUUUCCUUUUUCCUUUUUUGACCUUUUAAAAAAGAAAGUUCGUAACUAUAGAUAAUCCUAAUAUUUUAAAGAUUCAAAAAUGAAUUACAGGCGCACUUUUGUCUAAUACAUCAUUAGUUGAAGGUGAGACAAAAAGAAUUAAUGUAAAUUUUUAUGGUCCACAUAACUAUAUUUUAAUUUGAUAAUUAAUAUAAGUUAAAUCUUAAAGAUGAGAAAGCUAUCUAGUAAUUUUAAACUACCCAUAAAAAAGAGAUGGAAAGUUACUUAAUAACUAUCAACUACCCACAAAGAUAGAAGUUAUCUGGUUAAAAUUAUCUUCUCUACAAGUUACGAUGAUGGAAAGUAGAAAUAACGUUAAAAAAAUAAUUUUAAUCAUUAUUUAAGAAAAUCAACAAUAGUUGAAUAGUCAAUUAAUUAUUCCUAAAUUUAGAUUUCUCAUAAAAGUAUAAAUAUCUAUCACAAUUAUAUUUAUAUAUUAUUAUUAUUGAAAUUGAACAAUUAAAUGCACUCUUGUUGGUUAUACAAUUUAAUUGCCCAAAUAGUAAUAUAUAAGAACUAGAAAUAAGUACUUGAACUAAACAUAUUCUUCUAAGUAAGUUUCUUUCGAUUACAUUACUUGAUAUAUCGAAUUAUUACACUAUUUGUCUCUCUUGAUUACAAAUAAGUGUAAAUUUAAUUAUAACAUAAAAAAAGAUAGAUGUCACUAAAAUAUUAACAAUAUAUUAAUACUUCGAUUAACAUUAUUACUUCUUCCGCCUUUCUUGGUUACAUAAUUAGUAAUAUGUAAAUAUGUAGUAAACAAUAUAUAUAUAUAUAUAUAUAUAUAUAUAUAUGUUAACAAACGAAAUAACAUCUAACUAUAAAAUAAUUAAAAGUUAAAUUUAUAGUUUAAGCUCACUCACGUGAAAUUUAGAAGUAAUACUUGAUAUUAUAUAGAAAUAUCAAGAUUUGUCAGUUUCUUAACACAAAAGAAAACUACUCCACAAUAGAAAUGGUACCACUAACGAUGAUAUUCUUCUCCAUAAAAUAAGAAAAUAAAAGGAAUAUUUAAGAAGAAUAAUUUCACUAUUUGAUUAAAAGGAGGAACUAGGAUAAUUUCAAUAUCAAAUAACUAAAAAAUAGUACAAGAAGAACUUAAAGAUAUAUAUAUGAAGUGUUUAGUUUCUGCUAUAUUCUACUGCUUUAACAACUUAUUCCUCAUGUUAUUUAUAAUCAUUCUCUAAAGAUGGAAAUCACUUUUUUCUCUUAAUUUGUCUACUUGCAAGUUGAAAUUUUUGAUAAAAUUAUAAUGGUUCUAACUCAGGGCAAACUAUCUCUAGAUGGCAAAGUGAAAAGUCGAAUUGAUCUGCAAGUCCAAAUCACUCCAAUAUUUGACGAAGUUUUCUUUCUAGCUUGUCUUUUGCUUUGUUUUUCACUUUGGUGGCUAUCAUGCUACUACAUUUUUCAAAUUUUAUUUUUCAUAUUUGCUAUAUACUUCUUAUUCUUUUUCUUAUUUAUAGCUUAUGGAUUCCAUACAAAGAAAAAUGUGUGCAACUCUUUUUCAUAUUUUCACAAUUUAUCGUUCCUCUCCUUCAUAAUUCUUUAAUAUCUCCAUUUGUGUUUGAAUAAUUUCUUGUAAAUCAACACUUGUGUUUCUUUUGUCACAAAUCUACUUAGUUGAUAUUUUCUUAUUGUAAUGCAACAUUUUCUGUAACGAAAGAUUAAAAAUAUUAGUAUUAAAAUUAAAUAAAUUUAGUAUCUAUAUAAUAUUUUUCUUUUAUCAGUAUGUGUGUGAGAAAAUUAUAUAGCUUUACAAUCAUGAAUUAUUGAGAGGAUAUAUGAAUGUUCAGAUUGCUUAUAUUUCACUAGUUUUUAAAUCUUUACACAUGGUAUCAGAGCCAAAUUUAAGAACUAGUGAUUCUCCAUUAAUAUUAACGUUUCUUCUAAUUUUGUGAAUCCUAAUUAUAUAAAUUAGGGAUUAAAAUUAUCUAUUAGUAGUUUACUAUGACUUGAUGCCUACAUUAUUUCGAUAUGAUUUUGUUGUUUUAAAAAAAGGAAGAAGACAUAAAUUUCUCCUUAAACUUGUACCGAAAAGUCAGUCUCACACUUAAAUUAUUAUAGUGACCUGUUACACACAUAUACAAUUCAAAAGUGAAUUUAUCACCACCCUGAAACGUGUAACAUCACUCUCACGUUUUGUGGUGUAUUAUACUCGCUGUCACGUCAACGUUACGUCAGUGUCAUGUCAUAAAUUAUAUUUUAUUUAUUUAUUAAUUAACUUUUCUUUUAUUAACUAUAUUUUACUAAUUAAUUCCAAAUUAAUUAUUUUAAUUCUUUAAUAAUUAUAUCUUCUUCAUCACUAAAUAUCACCCAUCAAUUCUCAUUUCAUUGGAAAAUAUCAUAUACAAACUCACCUUCACUAUUGAUUGUGUUAUUCGCCAUCACUAUCACCUUCAAUUCUUCUUCUUCUUUGUCACCCAAUACCAAAUAUCACCACCACCUUUAUGAAUAUCAAUUUUUUCUUCUUCAUCACCUUCAAUUACCUAUUUUAAUUUUUGCCACCCGCCACCCAUCAUCACCAAACCCAAAAAUUGAUUGACAAUCAAAAUUUCUUUAACAAAGUAAAAAAAAUAGAAACAAUCAAUCGAAACUUUUCUAGAUAAAAUACAAUUAUUCACUGACAAAGUUAUGGAAGUUAACUUAAUUGCAAAUAAAAAAAAUUGUGCUUUUAGAUUGUGAUAAAAAAUAAAGAAGUAUGAUAAAAUAAAGAAUGAAAAAGAAAGAAGACAAUACGUGGGUGUGAAGAAGAAGAGGUAUGGGUAUAGGGGUAGAAAAGAGGAUUAUAACUUUUUUUAAUUUUUUUAAAUUUUUUUUGCCAUGUCAGUUUUAGGAGGUUAGAAAAUUCACUUUUGAAUAAUAUAGGUGUGUAACAGGUCGCUAUGAUAGUCUAAGCGUGUAACUGACUUUUCGGGACAAAUUUAAGGAGGAAUUUAUGUCUUUUUCCCUUUAAAGAAACUAUAUGUUUACUUGAAUAAUUUUAUAUGUUCAUAAAGUUUGACAAUGAAAUGUGUAGUAUUAAGAGAAAUAAUUAUUCAUUUUUAUGAUAUAUUUUGUUUUUGAAAUUAUAUAUGUGUGAUUUGUUAAUUACCAAAGUGGUCGAAUUUUUAUGAAGAAUUAGUUCUAAAAUAAUGAUUAAACUUAUAUUCAAUUACUCAAUAAUUUGAUGUUUAUAACCGGUAUAACUCUCAUUGGUAAAUUGAAGUUUUGGUUAUAAGAUAUUUAUAAAUCACUCAAAGGUUGAUUAUUUAUUUUUAGAACCAUUUAACAUUAAUAAGAUAAUUUAGAUGAGUUGUUAGUUUUGUUUAUCUAUUUAAAGAUAAUAAAUAUUACUAAUUGACACAUCAAAAAUAUUGAAAUACGCUGAGCUCACAUUCAAGCAUUAUUAUGUCUAAAAUUUUAUUUUGAUGAUUCGCCCUAAGGAGGACAUCAAUAUACAUUUAAGGAGGACAUCAAUCUAAUAGUAUGUGACAAAUUCAAACUCAAAGUAAUAACAAAUGAGUAUGUUCUAUUUGAAGCAUUUGUUCUUCAUUCGUACUCUGGCUUUGUUACGACCUUUAACGGUCUUAACUUCUUAUACUGGUAUGAAUAGAUUAAAUUUCAUUUUGGAGUUCUAGAUCUUAAUGUUGCACUUUACACUAAGAAGUCAACUGCUAUUACUGAAACUAGCAGUGUUGAAUAAAUGUCAUAUUAUACGAAUUGAGACCGACUAAAAGAUUAGGCCUAAUGUUCAUGCGAAUGAGUAUUACAUGCAACAUUAAGGCCUCAUUUGUUUCUAUUAAGAUUAAGAGGUCUGAAUCUGAAUACACAUCUGAUAUUAAGAGUUGCAGUAAGAUUGGAUGUUUCAAUCUGAAUAUACAUCUGAAUAUUAAGAUGUAGUCUCCAAAUCAGAGCACUAAAUAUAAUGUUGUUUGUUUUCGACAUCUGAAUGUGUAAACAUUGUAUUAAUAAAAUAUUAUAAAAUUUUCAUUUCAACAAAAUAUAUCACUUUAGAUAUAAAAAGAAGUUUUAAAAGUUUUAGUAAUCAUGAUUUGGAGUACUAUUUUUUUAUUCAAAAAUCUUGAUUAACAAUACACCAAAAAUAUUAUUGCAGCCAGUGUUUUUGAUACACAUCAAUAAAAAAAAAAUAUUAAUAUAAAAAAAAACUACUUGAAAAGAUUUAUGAAAAUUUACAUUUGGAAAAAUAUGGUAUUUGAUUGAGAAAAGUGAGAGAGAAAAUUUUUAGCCAUGAGAUAAAAGGCAUGCCCAAAGCAGAGAAGUUAUGAUUUAUUAUUUGAUAACUUAUUAAAUGAGUCUGAAUGUUGAUAAGAGUCUCAUAUAAAUCUUAUUCGUUCAGACCUCUUCAGAUCGUUUAAGAGGUUUUUAAAAAAAUAAACAAAUGAACUUAAUAGGCUGAAUCUGAAUGAUUUAGAUUCAGACCUAAAAACCAAAUACACUUAAUGGGCUGAAUCUGAAUGAUUAAGAUUCACACCUUCAUUAAGUGCAAACAAAUGAGGCCUAAGACUACACAAAUCGAACUCCCUCCUCUCCCCCACACAAAUCGUUUUCUCGGUGAAAUCCUUUCUUUUAAGUUGAUGACUAGUUCUUCACGUAAGACAUAAAACUCUCUUGUUUAAUCUUUUUCAAUUAUUUUUCCCUACUAUUUUUUUGUUUUUUCAUAAAUCAAAAUAAUUAUAGCUUGAUCUACUAUAAUGUUGGUCGUUUUUGUUUUAACUAAUUAACGCUAUAAAAUCUACUUUUCCAUGGAAGGAGUUUAAGUUUUGAAAAAUGAUGCUUAAAAGAUGGGGAAAAGGACAAAAAAUAAAAUAAAAAUAAAUUAAAUAAGUUUUUCACGCGCUGAUAGUGAGUGUAUCCUACUCACUAUGUCAUGUCAACAAAAAGUGUUAAAUUGACACAAUGAGGCAUGACAUGAGAUGUCUAGCAUAAACAAAGCUUAGUUAAAGUGUCUAAGUAAAAAUGUGUGCCAACUUUAGAUGCCAAAAAAUUAACAUAUAUUUAAAACUAGUGUUGACAUGGACUUUUUUAUAUCUAGUACAAAUUAGAAGGGUUGAAAGUGCAAUUCUUUUCAACAAAAUUACAAGAGCGAAGACACAAAAUACAAUUAUGGGGAAAUUAAGGGGGCUGAAAUCGAAAACGCCAAGACACGGCGCAUAGCAGCUCGUUGCCUAGUUCAGUUAUCCACAAAGCAGAGACGCAGCUUGUUUUUCCCUCUUCUGUAGUCAAAGCAGCAGCAGCAGAAAGCUUCAAACUUUCAAAUGAAUGGAAGCCACUUUUUUUCCUAAACGCAUCACUGCUUCGAAAUCACUUGUCUUUGCCUUAGCUAGAGCCAAAAUGGCAAUGCAAACCUCUUCUUAUAAGGUUCUUUUUUAUGAGUUCUCUUGUUAAAUAAAAGUUGCCAUUUUGAUGGGUUUCAUUGCUUUUCCUAAAGUUCUUAUUAAUAUGAAUCUUAUGAAUGUCAUUAUAGUUGACUAUAGAAAAAAAUGACAGCUUUAUGCCGUCAAGAUUCAAUUUUUAUUUGGUUAAUUGUAACUUUGUUGCCGGAAGGGAUUAAGUACCAAUUGGGGCGUCAAUUUAUUGUGUAUAUAUGCAUAAUGGAUUGUUGCCUUUACUCAUAUUUUUUUUGUUAAGAGUCUUGAAUAUUGUUGGAAUGCCGGCUGCUUGAUUAGGUGCUAACCUUUGUAAAUGAGCUAUUAUUCUGUUCUUUACUUAUUCUUAAUGUGAUCAUUCAUUUGUUAGAAGUAACUUUCCUUCCCAGAAGGAAUAGGACCAAUUGUCGUUGCUUUAUUUUGUGUAUCUGCUUAAGUGUUGUUGCUUCACUCAUUUUUCCUAUGAUUAAUGUUGGCAUGCCAGAUGCUUGAUGAAAUGCCACUCUUUUAUACUUCAUAGUUGAGCAGCUAUAUAUUCUUUGCGUACACCUACUUAUAUAGUGGUUCAUUUCUUUGAAUGUUGUGGCAUAUUCAUUUACACUUCAUGUGGCUGAUGUAGAAUCUUUUAUAUUUGCUCAGCUUUGGUCAUUAAAGAGUUGCUCAUCCUUAAGGGAACCCACUUCAGUUAGCCUGUUAAAUUUAAGGAGUAGCUCUUCUGCUAGAGUUUUCUCUCUUAUGAACAUGACCCGCUACUCUACCUACUCCAAUGAUGAUUCUUGUCCCUCUGGGAAGAGGAGGUCUCGUGGACCAGUAAUGGCGGCCAAGAAGAGGUCUGAAGGUAGGGAAUGUGACUUGACUUUGCUGGACAAUAUGGUUUUCUGAAUACAAAAUUAACGUAGGCUAUAGUUAGUUACUAGUCACUUCUGUUGUUGCUGACAAGAUGCAGCGUUGUAAACUGACUGGCCUGCUUGAUAUUGUCCACUGUCCAGGGGCUAAGCAGGAUGAUGGGAAAUACAAGGACACAGUUGAUCUUCCAAAAACUGCCUUUGGCUUGCGAGCAAAUUCCACAGUUAGGGAACCUGAACUUCAGAAAAUAUGGGAUGACAACCAGGUUUUUAAAAGAGUUGUUGAGAGGAACAAUGGGGUGAGUGCUUGAAGACUGAAUUAAGUGUCUUUACAAAUGAUAAUUGCUUUUGGCUAAUACUUAGAGUUUCUUGAUAGGGCACUUUCGUUCUGCAUGAUGGACCUCCUUAUGCAAAUGGUGACUUACACAUGGGACAUGCUCUGAAUAAAAUUUUGAAGGACAUUAUUAAUCGUUAUAAGGUUCGUAUGUAAGCUCACCCUUUUAUAGUUCUUUUUGCUGUAGGUGCAUUGAACUAAGUAGAAACAUAUUCGUGGUUUUCUUGGGUGGGUAGCUUUUAAGCAGUGAUAGUACUUUAACUUGUUGUGUGCUUAUGAGUACAUUCUUGAUUGGCACAUUUGGAUUUAGAUACCAAGUUAUGAACAGUCACUGCUUUGACCAUUCGGGUAGAUCAUAUUUGAUUUGCCAUGUUUGAUUAUAGGUAAUUUGUUGAGAGCGUUGAGCCUGUGGGUUACUCGCUUUCAAGUCUUGAUCUGAUAACGUGGAACAUUUUACUGGUAAUGAGCCCUGUUGAGAUACUUUGAGAUUUAUCCGUGGAAAUUCACUGUUGAAUUAAAUCAUUUUGUGAUAGUGAAACCCCUCAUCAUAAAGUUAAUUCUGUUCUUUUCACCAUACUUGGUAAGCAUUAGUCCUUCAUUGAGGCUUUAUAAAAAUGUAAUUGUGUAAAUCUUGGCACAGAUAAAAGGUGAAUCUUCUGCAGUAUCAGAUGAAACAUACUUUAUAAGUAGGUGUUUGGACAUGAACUGGAAAUCAUGAUUUGAAAUCAUUGAUUUGGGUAGAGAUUGAUUUGAAGUUGAAAUUUUGUUUGCACAUGCAAAACCCCACAGUUUGUGAAAACUAUCAAAACUUCCCAACUCUUGUACAAUAUAACCAAAUGAGCAAACCAUAGCUCAUUUGGUAUCUAAAUAUGUUAAGGUGCUGCAUUAACAAAUCACCUACAACCAUGUUCCUUUUAUAAAUAAUGCUUGAGAAUACAUGCUACAUAAUUAUACAAAGAUUCAUUGGUACAAUAAAUAAACAAUAGUAGUUACUAGCUAUUCUUUAAUAUAAUCAUCCUCAUAGUAUGGCAAUCUUUUAGUGUUGAGCAUUGACUUUUUUGUUGCAAAAUUUUAAAUUAUGGACUUCUUUUUUUGCAUAAACUUGUGGGUCAAGUUUUACGGAAUUGAAAUAAAAAACUUGGAACUAAAAUUUUUCCUUUUAGGUGAAUUUGGGAUAAUCAAAAUCUUAAAUUGAAAUUGAAAUUUUGUUCAAAUGUCAUAAAUAAAAACAAAUUUCAAAUCAAAACUUCAAAUUUGAAGCCCGAAUUGCAUGGCCAAACUGGCCCUUAUCAAUUUAAAAUAUCUUAAGUAACUACUAACCACAAAAGCUUCUUCAACGUAACAAAUAUAAUGAAAACUUUAACUCAAUGAUGCUUUUCAUUCUUUAUUUUCUUGAUCAAGUACAGAAUGACUGAUAGCAAACCCAACAUUCUACGUGUAUACAAUCAAAAGAAUUUUAGACAAAAACUUUGUAUCAUCAUACUAGUAGGAAUUUAAUCACUUUUUGGGUGUACCCAUGAGGUCCCUAUUUCUAUAGAUGAUUGGGUGACUUUUGUAGAGAACCACGUUUUUUGGUAGGUCUUGUACUUCUUGGUAUAAUGCUUGUAUAUGGGAAUUUCCCGACAUCAAUGAAAUAACAAUUUGCCUUAUAAAAAAUGUUACAUAGCUGCAAAGAAGAGGGAAAAGGGAAAGGGCAAGGGCAAGGGAAGAGCAUUUAGGAUUUGUGUGAUAUAAUGCCUACAUCUUCUUAAGUGAAGCAGUGGAAGUGAAAAAGAAUCAGGCUCUUGUAAGCUAAAAAAAUGGGUAUUGGAGAGAGAUCAACCUCAGUCACUUCCUUACUGGACCCUGAAACGAACAUAGCAAGUUGAGCCAAUACAAACCUGUGUAUACGUAGCUCACAAUGAGGCUCACUGCAUUUUCACCCCUCAUCAGGUGGGCAAACAAACAAAGAUGGUAGAGAAAGAUAAAUCCUUCUUUAUGUUACAGAGUGGAACAUAAAUGAAGACUAAUUGUGCUUUAUCUAAUUUCUAUAGUUGUUGCUGUUGUAAAAUAAUUUGUCAAAAGAUUUCUUUUACUUCUCAGUUCUCACUUGGUAAUCAUUAUAUGAUUUGCCUACAUAAUUUGAGAUGUAGUAUAAUAUCACCUGCUUAUGUUGGCUAGCCUAAGCUCAUGAAACAAGCAGGUUAAUACCCGUGAAUCUUAGGUAAGAUUGUCUGCUGUUAUCAACUAGAUUUGGAUAAACCGAUUGUUUUGCAUCCAUGUUGGCUAGCUUAAGCAUAUGAAACAAGCAGGUUACUACCUAUGAAUCUUUAGAUAAGAGUUGUAGUGGACAAAUAAAUAAGAAAAAGAAAGGUUUUAAGGCUUUACAUGAGUCUGCUUCAUAAUUUUAACAUUUCAAAGUGCUAUGAUAGCUGUAGUAUUGUUCAGUCUAGUUGAUGUCUAGUUUUAUUUUCACACCCCGAGCUACCUCCGAGACGCGGAUACGGGACCUAGGACCACAAGUGAUCCCAAGCUAACUCUGCUGGCAUGAUCAUGGGCAUACUAAAGAAUAUAAACUGAUGCGGAAGCUAAAUCAUAAUUUAAAAUGAAAAGAUUGGGAAUACCCAUAAUCUAUUACUGAGAUAUUUGUAAUACUGAUGAGUUUAAUACAAGGAAGUUAUUAACUCAAUACUAAGCUGAACUAACUAUGUCUGAAAAUAGCCUCGACUAGAAAUGCUGGGACAGACCCAUCUAAGUCUAGAAAAAACUGAAACUAAAGGACUAAACACUGAAAAGAAACUCAUGACUAUCGUCCUCGGAGAAUGAGGACUCACCACUAAAUCUGCUGAACUGGAGAUUGGGAAUCGAUCUAAGCGCGAUCUGGAUGUUGAGAACCUGAACCUACAUCACGAGAAGCUGUAGCGCACGUAUGCGUUAGUACUUGAAAGUACUAAGCAUGUAGGAUAGAGUAAAGCUGAAAUAAAACAUAACUGAACAAGCACAAAAACAAAUAUAGAAAUCUGAACAUGAUAUACUGAAUGCUGAGAUAACUGAAUGCAAUGACCAAUUUAUAACAUGCUGAAACUGAAUACUGAAUAUACUGAUAAAUGGUCAAUGCAAUAGAGUCUUGACUGAACUGAGGGAGCUACUAAUAACCGAUAAUAAAACCACAUGAGCUAAAUUUAGAGUCCGAUGUAUACGCCCCAUUGAGAGGACCCAAUAUACCCUGCCAGAGGUAUAAAGGCAUGCUGGCAUGAUUACUAAACUGAUGCCCACAGAGGGGACUUACAACCUACUCGGCUUGUAGUUCUGGGACUAUUUGGGUACGCUAAAUCCUAGUCCAACUCGGUAUUAUGCUUCUCCCAAUGAAUUAAGUGAUUAAGACAUUAUGACUGAAUUUCUGUAAAUACUGGAUAACUCAAAACUGAACAUGCAAACUGAGAGUGCAAUAAUUAAUCUGAUAAUUAUGCAUUAAUAACUAAGGCAUGUAUAUCUGAAGUAAUUGAAAUAUGUAACUCAAGAACUAAAGAAAUACAUAGCUAGGGUUCUGAAAUUCAUGCAAUAACCUGUGUAAUAACAUGAAAAUUUUAUUUGGAACAUAUAACUAAUUAAUUCAUGAAGUUGAAGUUUUAGAAACCCUAGGUUUAAUCAUGAUAUGAGAAUCAAUAAUCUGACUGAAAACUAGGGAUCUAAUGGGUGAAAGGAACCCACUAGUGAAAUCCCACAUACCGGGUGAUGAAAUCCACGGAGAAAUAUUUAGAUUUCGGGGCUAGAACUGCUGGAACCUUUCUGCGUUCUUGAAUCCUUUCUUGCUUCUAAUUUUCUAAGUUUUGAUUUAAUGAAUUUGACUUAGGUAAGUUCUUGUUAUGUUUCUAGGCUUCAACUGACUAAAAUAUGAUGAUUUAGGGUCAAAACAACGUAUCUUAGGGUUUAAAUGAAGUGGAAAAAGAUCAAAAGACCCCUGAGUUAAUUGCUAUCGGACCAAACGAUGACCUGGACAGACGGUCUGUCGUUCAAUCGACUGCCCGUCGUUUGGGUCCGUAGGUUGGGGUCUGUUCGGUAGACCUUUACUAAAACGGGCAUAACAUUUUACUCGGAGGUUUGAUUUUUGCAAGGUCGGUGGCUAUGGAAAGCUACUUAAAUUAUCUAUCUUUUAGUAUGUCAUGGGAUACCUAAUUCAUUUUGUGCUAAGAGUUAUGAUCAUUUGAAGUUGACCCAACUGCAAUUUCCCCCUAACUGUCUGCUAAUUUCCACCCACGGUCAUACCUACGCUCCGUGGGUCCAUCUAUGGACUGUGCUGGUCAAUCGUGGUUCUUGUCAGAGUGGGUAAAUGGGGUGUUGAUCGACGGACACAGACUACGGACCGUAGUCUGACCUACGGAAUGUAGGUCCCUCCGUCGUUCGACACUUGGUCAAAUUUUCUGGGCUGAGUUUUUGGGGGAGUUUUCAGUCACAAUCGACGGAUGACGGAUGUGCAGCACGGGCCGUGGGUCAGGCUACGGUCCGUCGAUGGUAACCAUCGAUUGCAUCCGCAAAUUUCUGAAAAGCUGAUUUUUGGUCUGUUUUGGAUACGGGGUGUUACAGUUAUCUCUGAUGCCUAAAUUUUGUUUUAUGGACUCAUCAGUCAAGUGAACACUAUUAUGAGUUAACAAUUGAUUCUCAUAGGCUACCUUCCAGGCAUUUCUGGUGCCCACAACUUAUGUUGUAUUUUACUAACUAUGUCAAACUUGAAAUGCUUUCUUUAGAAUUAACGGGCUGUCACGGUGUCACCCCUGCGUGUAUUUCGUAUCUGUCUAUUAGAUAACUUUUCAUAUCUCAUUAGUCCUUCUGUUUUGUCAGCUUCUUCAAAACUUUAGAGUUCAGUAUGUUCCAGGUUGGGAUUGCCAUGGCUUACCAAUUGAAUUAAAAGGUAAACAUCAUUUCUUGUGCAGCUUUCAGUUAAGUUUGUUUAAUAUUCCUGUGCUUAACACUAGAUAGUUAAAUAUGAGUCUAAUCUAUGUUAGCAGACCUAACCAACAGUUACUGAGAAUGUGCUUACGGAAGUUGGCUUUAUCCUUAAAGAUUACCAAUUUGGUGAAGUACUUUGCCUCUGGGCUACUUCUAUUGUUAUAUUCAAGGAGCAGAUAUUAGUUGUUGCUAAAGCAUUUCUGAUGCAAAAUACCUUGUCUGAAUUUCCAAAAAUUGUGAACCAAUUACAAAUCGAAGUUGCAGAUGCCAGAUGGUUGCCCAUGCAUUACAUAGAGCUUUACUUCUUUGAUUGACUUUUGUUGUCCUUUGCCUACUCUCUUUUUGAUUCCUUGACUUAGCUACACCGGUAUUUCUCAAAAUUAUAGAUCCUGUGUACUUCUGGUUGUCUUUUUCCUGAUCAAAACCACCAAUCUCUGAGACAAUUUCCAUGUUUCUUUGAGAUGUAAGAAAUGCAGAGCUAUUAUUUGUUUGAGAGCUUGUAGUCCAAAGUACAACUAUGAGAUAACAUCCACUGUUUCCCUUGAACCCAAUUGAUUAUUUUUUCCUUGGUUCCUGAUUAGAAAGUGUGCCACAAGCUUCUCCUCAAUAAAGUCUGAUCCUUUUGCUUAGAAGGUAUACAGGGAGUAGUGAAGAGUCUCUGUGGAAACACCAUUGCCUAAGUUCUUUUCUUUCACAUGCUUUAUCAGUUCCUUAUGAUUAGCAAGCUGGCAUUUUCAUGCUACUCCAUCUUAUUCCUUAACUAUUUGGCAAGACUCUGCUUUGGGAAAAUAUAACUUCUUAUUCUCUGUGUCUUAAUUCAUGCUGUACCUUAAAAAAAAGAAUAUUGUUUUAAUUCAUGCUGAAAUAUCUGGAUUAUGGAUAAAAAAUAUGGAAUAAGGGUACCAAAAUUUUAGAACAUACUCGUAUGCUUUCUCCUUGUAAAAAAAAGAAGAUAUACUCAUAUGAUUCUCUCUUUCGUCUUGCCCCCUAAUUUGUAUUUUGGUGGCAUGACAGCUUAUUUUAACUUCAGUGUUACAGUCACUAGACGAUGAUGCUAGAAAGGAGCUUACACCUCUAAAAUUAAGAAACAAGGCAGCCAAAUUUGCAAAAUCAACUGUGCAGAGUCAGAUGGCAUCAUUUAAGGUUGUUUAUAUUUUGCUACUUCCUGUUCUGUAUUCUUUCAUCAUUGACCUUCUAUUCCUCCUUUCUUGUUAUUCUGCUUUAUUCCUAAUGCUAACAUCUAUGCUUGCAGCGCUAUGGAGUAUGGGCUGACUGGGAUCAGCACUAUUUAACUCUUCACCCAGAAUAUGAAGCUGCACAGGUAUGGUUACUGCAAUUCUUAUAGCCCCUUCUAUGUGUUUAGCUGAAUCUCACAUAGCUCUGCUCUUAUGAUUGGUCAAGCUUUUCUGGUUUGCUUUUGCACUAUAUGUUUUGUGUGCCUUCUCUAUUUCUUUCCUUGAUAUGUAGGCUAGCACUAGUGCUUUUUCUCUUUGAGAAUUAAAUUGCAUAUUUUUCUUCUUAUAUUGACAAUAAUUAUUCAAGCCAGUCUUAGAAAGCUCUUUUUUCCUGCUUGAUGCUUCUCUACUAGAUUGAAGUAUUUGGCCAGAUGGCUAUUCAAGGUUUUAUAUACAGAGGCAGGAAACCAGUUCAUUGGAGUCCCUCAUCUCGAACUGCACUUGCAGAGGCUGAACUAGAGGUAUUGGAACUUGUCAAUUGUUGUUUUUCUCGAAGAAACCUACUUUCUAUGUGACUCUUUGUUUGACCAGGGAGGUUGGUAGAACUUGAAAAAAUUGUCUAGGCAGUGAAUUCUGCUAAUUUUUGGCAGAUGAGGGUGAAACCUUGUAAAUUGUCUGGGUAAUAGUACAGUCUGGUCAUAUCAUUGUUGUAUUUCCCAUUUUAUUUUUACUAGAAGAAAUUUGGUCUGGUAAAUUUCUCUUCUUUCUCUCUCUCUCUCUCUUUUUUUUUUUUUGAUUUGAAAUAUGUUAUAUCAUAAGUAAUUUACUGGAAAGGCUGAACAUGUUAAAAUUGUUGUUUUUUCUUGAAGACACCUACUUUCUAUGAGACUCUUGGUUUGACCUGGGAGGUUGUUAGAACAUGAAUAAUUGACAAGGCAGUGAAUUCUGUUAAUUUUUGGCAGAUGAGGGUGAAACCUUGUAAGUUGUCUGGGUAAUAGUACAGUCUGGGUCAUAUCAUUGUUGUAUUUCCCAUUUUAUUUUUACUAGAAGAAAUUUGGUCUGGUUAAUGUCUCUUCUCUCUCCUUUUUUUUUUAAAUUUGAAAUAUGUUAUAUCAUAAGUAAUUUACUGGAAAGGCUGAAGUCUGAACAUGGUUACUUUGACCUGCUAUUCAUUUAGUUAUAUGAAUAUGUCUCUACAUAUGUAUUUUUGUGUAUGUAUAUAUUUUGUUUGUGUGUCUAUACAUGGUUCUCUCUAACAUCAAUGAAGUUUAUAUGCAGUAUAAUGAGGAGCAUGUGUCAAAAAGCAUGUAUGCUAUUUUCAGACUAGUUGGUGUACCAGCUUCAUGUGACUCAUUGAAAGAAUUCUUGCCCAAUCUAUGCUUGGCAAUUUGGACAACAACUCCUUGGACAAUACCAGCUAAUGCUGGUAAGGUGUUUUGCGAAAUCAUCACAGUUUGAACUUUUCCCCCUUUUCUUUAACUAGUCCAACUUACAAAAGGUGUUAUGCUUCGAAUGUUAUUAGAUGGAACGUUUCAUCUAGCAUAAGACAUAGUGGAACUAAGGCUUCAAAUAAAAUAUUUCCUGCUGGACAGUGGUAGUUCUAUGUUCAAGAUAUUGUAUUUGUCACUGUUGUGAAGUGACAUAAAAACACGAAAUGGUUAACUAUAAUCUGGGAAAAAUUGUUUAGAUAGGUGUGCAUUAUUUGGCACUGCUCGACAUAACCAAUUUAUGAAUUGAGUAUAUAAAAACACCCAAACACCGGAUAGUGCUGAUGCGGUUCUCUCAUGAGCUAGUUCUUGGGGUUGAGUUAGGCCCAAGGUCCAUUUUUGACAUGGUAUCCUUGCAAACCUAUCGAUUCCUGUUGUGCUUUUCAUUUUUGGGUAUUCGUGUUAUGUUAUCAACACUCCAGUUGUCUAGACGUACAGGGGGUGUUAAGUUCUACUUUCACUGAGGAAAUGGUGAUGGUCUUCUUAUAUUGUCUUAUGCAAUUCUCUCCUUGUGGUCUAGCUAUUCGGUUGAGCUAGACCCAAUGUCCGUUUCUUCACAACUGAGUUUAUAUCCAUUGCUUAGUGAGAGUGAGCUUUUCACUUAUUAUUUCUGUUAUUGCUUUAAUUUUAAGGAAUCUGCUUCUUGGAGGAGUAUCUUUUGCUGAAUCGGGUUAGUGUGUGUUUCAGUGUCCAUUUUUAUGUUGCAUCCUUUUUCCUUCCUUUUUGGGAGAAGUAAAUAUAUGAAUUAGAAAAAGUUGUGUCUGUGAAAGGUUUAAGUAACCAAUGUUUGAUUUGUUCAAAUUUCAGAAUUUGGAAGCAUUUCGGGUUUGCGAGGUUGCACUAUAGUUUGGCAUGCUAAAUAUAUUUUCCUUUUCAAGUGAAGUUCUUGUUUUGCUUUAAAAUUUUAUCUUAUUUAGCACAGUCCAUUCUCUCAACAAAAUAUAAGUGCUGCUAGUCUUUUAUCAUGUGAAGUUUUGCUUGGCUUUUCUAUAGUUUAAGGUUCAUCAAGUCGUGGUAUGGAAAUUCAUUUUUUCCAUUUCUUUUCAUAUAUUGGGGUACAACUAUUGUCUAAUAAUAUAUGUGGGGGUUUGCAGCUGUAGCGGUAAAUAAUAAGCUUCAAUAUGCCGUUGUUGAAGUUUCCUCAGCCUCUGUAGACGGUUCUACAUCUUCUGUUGAUGGAAAGAAGAGGUUUGGAAAUUUCAUGAAGGGCGAUAAAAGCCUACAUCUUAUUGUAGCUCUGGACCUUGUAUCAACAUUAGAAUCAAAAUGGGGUUUGAAGCUUACCUUGAAGAAAACAGUACUGGGUUCAGAUCUUGAAAAUUGCAGGUGACGUGUUGAUCUUGUAAGCUUGGUUGUCCCAACUUAUUAUUUUAUGCUGCCAAAUACAAUUCAAAUGGUAGCACCCUAAGGCGUGGCCUAGUGGUCAAUGAGCUGGGAGAAGAACCAUGAGGUUUCAGGUUCAUAUCUCAGCUCAGCUGAUGCAAAAAAACACUGAGUGAUUUGUUUCCAUUUGCCUAAGCUUUGGUGGGGUUAACCGGUACCUAUGCUGGUGGGAGGUAGCAGGUACCCGGAGGAAUAAUCGAGGUGCGCGCAAGCUGGCCCGAACAUCAUUGUUUAGAUUUUUUUUUCAAAUGGUAUAUUUCCAUUAUUUUUCACGAGUAUAUUCUGUCGAAAGUCCAUGCUAAAGGAUGGACCUUAUGUAUAAACCAUGUGGUCCGAUAGUUCAUGAUGAAGUUGUCAAUACUGUUCUGCACGAGUUGGUUAUCAAAAAAAAAAAAAUUACUGUUGUCAAUGAGUUUCUCACACUGGUUACUAGAGAGGAAUUGUUUAUUACUUCAGAAACUUACAUCCAACUUUUCUCAGGUACACCCAUCCUAUAGAUAGCCGGGAAUGCCCCGUUGUCGUUGGUGGUGAUUACAUUACAACAGAGUCAGGAACUGGAUUAGUUCAUACUGCACCUGGUCAUGGACAAGAAGAUUAUGUAACCGGCUUGAAAUACGGUUUGCCUUUAGUUUCCCCUGUUGACGAUGAUGGGAAAUUUACAGAAGAAGCUGGACAAUUUAGGGGGCUUGAUGUGCUUGGCAAUGGCAAUGUUGCUGUUAUUGAUUACUUGGAUGAACACCUGUCAUUGGUCAUGGUAGAGCCAUACAGUAAGUGUUUUUUUCAGUGCCUAUUCCGGAUGUCUGCAACCUAUAAGUCUCGUGUGAUUUAUUAAAUAUUGUUGAUAUGAUUUCUGAAUCUAAUCCUUGUUUUUUUCUUCUAAUAAAUAAAUGUUGUGCAGAACACAAAUAUCCUUAUGACUGGAGAACAAAGAAGCCCACUAUAUUCAGGGCUACUGAACAAUGGUUUGCAUCAGUGGAAGGAUUUCGUGAUGCUGCAAUGGAUGCAAUCAACCAAGUAACGUGGAUUCCAUCUCAGGUAUUUGUUAUACUUCUUCGGCUCUCAAAUUUGCUAAAGAUAGCAGCUGGUCCUCUACUGCUUUGUAACUGUAUAAUAUGGUUCUGUCCAGGCAGUAAACCGUAUUUCUGCUAUGACAUCUGGCCGCUCUGAUUGGUGUAUAUCACGUCAAAGGACAUGGGGAGUCCCCAUUCCAGUUUUUUACCACGUUGAAUCAAAAGAGCCACUGAUGAAUGAAGAGACUAUCGAUCAUAUCAAAUGUAAAUCCCUCAUGUUGUGAUUUCCUGUACUUCUCUGUUACGCUGGAUUUUUAUUGGGGCAUGAUAAUUUCUCUGAUCAAGUAAAUGUAUUUCAUUCAUAAAAUGUGGCCAAGCUGGACUAUACAAAGGGUAUACCAAAAGGUAAAGAGUCUACAAAAGGAUAUGAUUCUCUAUAAACUCCACCCAAUCAUCUAUACAACUAGGAACUUUCUGUUCACACCAAAAGAAAAUAAAGGAACGGAGACUACUCUAUAGUCGAAAGAUACUCGACUCUACACCUUCAAAAGCUCUCUCAUUUCUUUCUCUUUAAACUAUCCACAUUAAAGCAAGUAGAAUCACAUUCCAGCCCUUCAUUUUCUCUUCCUUCUCCUGCUCUUCAAUCAGAACAUCAAAUCUUUCAUAGUAUUUGGCAUUUCCGAAUGAGUGCCAAGUCAAGACCAGGCAAAUAAAUUGAAACAGAGGGAGUAUUAUAUAUUAAAAUGUUUAGUUUGUAUUUAGAAUAUUCUAAUGUUAACCUCACACCGAAUCAUGCUUUUGCAGCUAUUAUUUCCCAAAAAGGAAGUGAUGCAUGGUGGUACAUGGCAGUGGAGGAAUUACUUCCUGAGAAAUAUCGCGAUAAAGCAUCAAACUAUGAAAAAGGGACUGAUACGAUGGAUGUCUGGUUUGACUCAGGUGAUAUAGCUUCUUUCAGUACUCUGCCUGUUGUACUAGCUCAAACAAUUUCUUUUGUGGGGAUAAAUGUUGAUCAUUGAUUGUUUGGAACUUUAUGGCACCAUUAUUAAAAUCUGAUCAUCUAUUAGUUUCUACUUCAUUUCUUGUUGUAUUUUGAAAGCAACCUCAUCUAUACAUCAAUACUAGAUAGGAGGAUAUGAAAGUUGAGGAUUAGGGUAGAAGGUCAGUAGGUAGUCGGGCGUUGUCUAGUUUUCCUUAUCACUGUUAUUAUUUGUACUCUCCUACCACCGUAUUAUUCUCUUUUUUUUUUACCUGUUGUUCCUCUGCUUCAGUUAUUAUACAGUUUGUAGUUGCUAUUGUUUUUUUCUCCAUUAUUUCUAUAUGGUUUCUUCACUAUUUUAUUUCCUUCUCUUGUUGAUCUUGAUAUGCUUUAUUUGAUGCAAAGGUCUAUAGGAAACAACCUCUCUACCUUCACAAGGUAGGGGUAGGGCUGCAUACACAUCAUCCUCCCCCGACCCACUUGUCGGAUUACACUGCCCUUUUCUUCCAUCCUUCUCUCUCUCUCUUUUUCCUUUUUGUCUGUCUUUCUAUUAUUGUUGUCUUUUCCUUCUCUCCCCAGACCCACUUUUUUUUGAGGAACAAGUAACUGUGUAUUCACAAAAUUCCGUCAUCCAAGCAAUGAUAAGAGUGAGCACUUACAUCCCAUAGGGUAAAAAACAGAAGGCCAUAAGAACUAGUCUAUGGAGCUUUACAAUUUCCCAAUAAAAUCAACAAAAAGUUCUAUAUGCCCCACCAUAUCCUGUUUACACCUAAAAUAUAGAAGACUAAGGCAAUUCGUUCUGAUUUUUUGAAUGUUGUUGCUUUUUUUUUCAAAGCCUCUUGCAUUCCUUUCCUUCCACAAUGUCCACCUUGCUUGCAGGAUUAAUUCCCACCAGUCCUCUUCUAACUCUCUUCUUCCAAUCUCUUUCCAAUCAGUCCAUACUUUUAGAAGUUUUCGGAACCACCCAACUCACUCCAAGUAUACACAAGAACAUGUUCCACAGAUUUGCAGCUGUUUUACAAUGUAGAAAUAGAUGGCUAUUUAUUUCAGCAUCCUGGUCACACAUAAAGCAUCUUGAGCAAAAUCUCUCUACCUCUUCUUUGUAGUACUUCAUGAGUCAAACAAGCAUUCCUGCAGACUAACCACAUGAAAGAAGAAACUUUCAAGGGUUGCUGUGAAGUUUCCACACUGGUCUGUCAGGUGCAUUGGUAGUUUUAUUGAAAUCAUUUAUGACCAUAAGAAAAUCUGCAACUCUUUGAAUUGCUUCUCUGUUGUUUAAUUGAUGUUUAAAAGGGUUGUGGGGAUUGACCCAAAUCCACGUGUUCCUUUAUUUUUGUUUGUCACAUUGAUAUAAUUCGAAGUCCUGAAAGAACCCAACUGAGUGUCAGGCUAAGUCAAGUGGACUUGAUUACCACCACAAAGUUCUUGGAAAGAAAUUAAACCUCUGUCAGUCAAAGUUCAGGUUUAGUUGUCUAACUAUAUUUCAUGUUUAGUUCCUAAUGUAAUUUUCUUUUAGCAGUAGGAUUAUAAGUUAACCUCUGUUUACACAGGUUCCUCGUGGGCUGCGGUGCUGGACAAAAGAGAAAGCCUUAAUUACCCUGCAGAUUUGUAUCUCGAGGGGACAGAUCAGCAUCGUGGUUGGUUCCAGAGUUCCUUAUUAACAAGUAUUGCUACAAAAGGUAAGGGGCAUUUAAAGUCCUGUUCUUGAUCCUUUAUAGUAUUAGUUAAGAAUCUUUUAUUAGUCUCUUUGUUCGCCCAUGGAAAAUAUCAAUCUCAGCUAUGAGAAGUAGGAAAAGAACAGGGUUAUGUUUGAAUGUCCAGGGGAAAUGGUGAUCCCCUUAACCUCUUUUGUCUUUAUGGAUCUUUAAUUUCUACAUUUGAAACUAUGAUUAUAUUCUCUACUCUCUGCUAUUAUUGCUAUAGGUUUCUCUCUCUUGCCCCACUCUGUGAACUUCAUCCAUAAACCUAUAGUGUACCAUCUUGUUCUCCUUAAGAAACAGUGGUAAGUUAUAUUCUGAAAGAAGCUAAAGGAUUUGGAGUAACUCUUGGAAAUUGGAGACAUUGACAGAUGAUGCAAAAGAAGCAAAUGUCAAAAUACUUAAAACGGGAUCUUAGUACAUGAUAGUUAUUACCGAUUUCAUUAUUUUUAGGUUUUGGUUCUUCGACGUGUUACCCUAUAAUAAUAUCCCCAUUGCAUGUCAUAAUUGCAGGCCAGGCCCCUUAUCACGGUGUUAUUACACAUGGAUUUGUACUGGAUGAGAGGGGGUUGAAAAUGAGCAAAUCUUUGGGAAAUGUUGUUGAUCCAAGGAUGGUGAUUGAGGGAGGGAAAAACCAAAAGGUAUGUUGCCAAUUUUGCAGCAAUUUUUGUGCAAAUUAACAUGUUCUUGACGAGAAAUGACAUCUCUACAUUUCCUUUGACAGGAAAACCCUCCAUAUAGUGCUGAUGUCUUAAGGCUUUGGGUUUCAAGUGUAGACUAUACUGGCGACAUGCUAAUUGGACCUCAAGUCCUUCGUCAAAUGUCUGACAUAUACCGGAAAUUGCGAGGAACACUCCGAUUCCUUCUAGCAAAUCUCCAUGAUUGGAAAGUAGGUUACACAGUCUCAAUUGAGGCCAUUUCCAAAUGAAAAUGUUUCCGCACAUAUUCUGAUUAUACUUGCAGCAGCAUCUUCUUUUUUUGCUAAGCUUUCUCUCUCUCUCACACACACACACAAAAAAAAAACACCUAGAGCAUUUGAAAUCUGUGUCAUAGAUCCCCCUUGUGCUCGACUCUUGAACUGAGUAGAACUUCUACUUGUUGAAGUUAAUGAUUUUAUUAAUUAUCUUGAAUUAGAUGUUCAACUUAACAUGGUAGUUUUCGAAGUUGAUGUUAUUUGAAAUUUUCUUUCUGCAGGCUGAUUAUACAGUCCCGUAUAGUGAUCUUCCGAUGAUUGAUCAGCAUGCAUUAUUCCAGCUUGCUAAUGUUGUGAACAACAUUAGAGAGAGCUAUGAUAGUUAUCAGUUUUUCAAAAUAUUUCAGGUAUUGUUUCUUUAAAAGCCAAGUUGAUGUUUCAAGUUCCUGAAAUGUGACGACUCUUAAACUUUGGUUACAUGGAAAAAGGAACUUGUUUGCUUGAAGAUAGUAAGAGUGUAUAUUUUGAAGAGGAGGAGCUUAACAGUUUCUGUUAUGUGCAAGAGUGGGAGGGUCUGAGUCAUGGUUUAAACUAUGUGCGUCACUCUCAGUGCAUUAUCAGAUGAGAAUAUGGCUGCAACUAGCAGAUUAGUUGUGUCGUAUCUGUGUGUCAAUGUGAACUAAUUGUUUAGGUAGAUGUGGAACUUUAGCAGUGAUGUUUAACGAUGUAAAUACCAUUUCUAUCACCAGUCACAGUAAAAGUCAAGUCUUUCAUCACCAACUCUGCCAAAGUUUCAGAAGGUUAAAGGCUGAAGUUUUCCUACUUGUUCUAGUUUUACUUGAUAGUUAUAUGAUGGUUAAGAAAAAGCGAACUUGAUAUUAUGUGAAGUCUGAAGAAACUAGAAACUUAACUGAGAUUCUUUAUUCAAGGAUACAAACCAUGUCAGUUCCCUCCAAAAAAGAAAGAACCAUUUCAGCCACCAAUCAGACAUCGAAGUCAAGAUCCUGCCCAAAAAUUCAGAGUCUAAACUCUGAAGUUCUCUAGAGGCUGUCAGCUCGCUGCAGUUAUACUUUGUAGUGUGGAGCACAAAAGAUAGUUGAAGAGUUCUGGCUGCAUGGAGGAUAUUUUGGGAAAAUGAUCAAGGCUUAGCAGAAGAAGUAUGGAAGAAAAUAUUUGUUCAACAGAUGAAAAAGGUAAUACAGAAGAAAAAGUAGGACCCUUCGGGGUGGCCCAGUGGUUUGGGCUUGGGACGUCCAUGUUGGAGGUCUCAAGUUUGAAACCCCUUGCUUUUGCUAGCAAGGGGUUUCCCUUCUGAGUUGAGCUCGUCGCGCCUAGUGCGGGUUACCUCUCCUAUGUGGUUUGCGAGCUAUUGCAUAGGAGUUUUCCUCAUGCGCACCCAAAGAAUAGCAGGUGCGGGUUUUCCUUGUCAUCAAAAAAAAGAAAGAAGAAAAAGUAGGUCAAUAUCGAUGGUCCUUAAGAUUGAUAACAAGGAACAUAUGACACUAAUUUUGUUGAAUACAAUGAUUUUUUUUUCAGCGAAGGAGCAUUUCCUUUACUUUUUUUGAGAAAGUAAGGAGAAGGGGAGACGAGCCUUGGAGCAAUAGUAAAGUUGUCUCUGAGUGACCUAUAAAUCAUGUAGGCUACCCACACCAAACUCCCUUGGGGUGUGAUUUUUCCCUGAACCCUGCGUGAAUGCGGCACACUCUGAGUACAGGCCUACAGGGUUGCCCUUUUUGUUGUUGAGAAAAGUAAUGAUCUUAUUGAUAGUGCACAACUCCAAGAUGUGCUGACAACUAUGUAUAAGUAGAGCAAAAAGAAAAAAAAAACUAAAAUCAUGUAAGGAUUCCAUGAAUCCUAACGGUUAUUCAUCCUCAUUUACAAUUCCUUUCCACACCAAAAGUAAAACAAAAUUAUAAACUAAACUUAAAUCUUUAUGAAAGAGUUAACACUAACUUCAAACACCUUAUGUUUAUUUUUGUCCAAAUGAUCCACCAGAUGCAGGAUCUUCAUCCUCAUGUACAAUUGUUUCUACACCAAAAUUAAAUGAAAUUAUAAAAUUAACUUAAUUUUUAUGAAACGGUUAGCAUUAUCUUAAAAAACCUUAUGUUUGUUUUGUCCAAAUGAUCCACCAGAUGCAGACUGGUAUUAAAUUCCACCACUAGUGGAUGUGUAUCUCUAUAAGCGCUAGAUGAAAAACCAUCAACUUGUUAGGGUUAGUUUUGGUUUGCCAAUAGCAUUACUGGUGGAUAUUUCUGCAAAACAGGGAGGGAAUUGAUUGAUUCUUAUCUAGUGCUAUGUUGGAUCACUGCUGAAACAGAAUAGCUUGAAUAUUUCCAAUGGAAUGUAACCUAAUGGCCUGGCUUGAAAUGAUGAGGUUAGAUUGAGAGGGAUAUCUGGAAGAAAAGCUCCAUGAUACACUUAAGGAAUGUCAUCUUCAUUGUUACCUAGUUUGUUCUAUUCCAGUACAGCGAGGAAGCUCGUCAUGUCAGGUCUUUAGCUGAGAAUAGGUACAAAAGCGGCAAAUUCUUUUUGUUGGAAAUGUAGUUAGCAAUGUCGAGGCCUAGUGUAAAAAUGUGGGAGGAGGUUUAGCUGCUAUUAAGUGGCUGCUGCUGCUGCAGUGUGUGUGUGUGUGUGAGAGAGAGAGAGAGAGAGAGAGGCCAGAAUAGAUUGAAGUAAAGACACAGUAGCAAUUUCUGUUAAUAUUAUGGCAAGAAGAUAACACGGAUCCUACAAAAGAUUUGACAUGUUACUCCAGUAAAAUGCUAUCUUUGUCAGAUAAAUGAUUACGGUCUUUAAAAAAUGUAGCAUUGUUUCUUGUCAAUAUUAUGGCAAUCUUUGUCGAAAUGAAUUUAAUUACCAGCUGAUGGUCACAGCUGUUUUGAUACUUAUUUACUGCUUUCAUCCCUUUAAUGGCUGACAUCCAUUUUUAUGUUAUUAUUUUUAUUGUCCGUGCAGGUGAUUCAGCGGUUUGUGAUAGUUGACCUCUCAAACUUCUAUCUUGAUGUCGCUAAGGAUCGGCUUUAUGUUGGGUAAUUCAUGUUGCAUCUCUACAUAAUCUCACCUUUUGUUCUCUUCCAAGCUUGUCUAAUGUUUCAAGUGCUGGAUUUUUUUUAAAAAAAUAACAAAAGAAUAUAAAACAAAGCAAGACAUAAUGCUACCAUAUUAAAAGAGCUUUAAAUAUUGUAAUUAUUAAGGGUUCCUUUUUCAGUUUUGGCCCCUCUUGUAUAAGGUUCUUCUGAUGAUGGCCUAUGUUAACCAGAAGUUGCUUUUUGGCUCUUUAUCUAUUAAACCCAUUUAAAUGCCAUCAAAAUGAGCUGUAUUUAGGUAAUUUUCAUACAAUAUUUUGGAAAGAAGAAAAAUAAUCAGAAAAAGUUAUACGAAAUGAGAUCUACUGCUGCUACGAGAUUAUCAUUGGCUCGCCAAAGAUCAUAAGAGUGGAGAUAAUGGGAUCCCAAAAGGCGGAAGCUGCAGAGGGAAAGAGUAGGGUCAGAUCCAUACUUUUGUGUUUAUGGGUUCUGAGUUCUAGAAAUGGCUGCUUACUGGGUUCUGGAUAAAUCAUAUAUACGUAUUAAGUGGAUUUCUUAGCACAAUUACAGGAUUUUGGCCAAAGCUACUAGAUUCUGCCGCAACCGUAGCUUGAACUCUAGCUUCGCACUUAGGAAGGAAGGCGAGAAACUACAGUAAAGGUGAUCGAGAUAAGUUACCCAAAUCGUGAAGUUGGGGGUGGCCCAAUAGUUCCCAGUGGUUUGGGCUUGGGAACUAUUCCCUAGAACAUCAACAACCUAGUAAUACUGCUUAAAAGAAGAUGAUUACAACUUGACAAGCCUAGUACAAUUGAAUUAGGACUGGACUCAUUGACCGGAGUGUUCACUCUUCGAUAGUCUUCAGAUCUUCCAGGAACAGCUCAUUGCUUGAAAGCUUUACGACUUUUUCUUUUUUUCUCUUAAUGCAUGAAUGCAUGGUUUCCUGCAGCAAGUAUAGGAUAUCUAGUCUUCUUGUUAGUAAGCACAUAAACAAGGAAACCAUAUAUCUCGAAGAUCCUGGGAAUUAAGGAGCACCCAAGGGUGUGACCUAGUGGUCAAUGAAGUGGUUGUGAAUCCUGAAGUCUCAGGUUCAGAACUCAGCGGAGACAAAAAACCACUAGGUGAUUUUUUCCAUUUGUUGUAGCCUUGGUGGACAGAAUUAUCUGGUAUCUAUUGCUGGUAGGAGAUGGCAGGUAUCCCGUGGAACUAGUCGUGGUGCGCGAAAGCUGGCCUCAACAUCACGGUCUUCAAAAAAAGAAAGAAAAAGAUCCUGGGAAUUAAGGAAAUCAUAAACAACUCCGAUUCUACAUCCAAAAGGAUUUUUUAAGAUGCGACUUUUCAAAAAUAUCUCCAUGUGGAAUCCUUUUCCAAUUCAAACACCAUGAAGAUCCUGUAAAUAUCUUACAUAUUCUUAUAUGAAUAGUACAGGAAAUAUAUAAAAAGAUAUACUUCGCAUAUAUUUUCCAAAGAUAUCUCAAUACAAGAUCUUAACAUAGAUGCUGUUUUUCAUAGCAUGCAAGAACCAUGGAAUAAGGAUCUGGUUCCUUCACAUCUUCCUUCAUAUUGUGCAUCUGUUUGUUAAUUAGACGUUAAUCUCAAUAAUGGGUAAUCUCGGUCGACUGGAAUUGGAUCCAGGACUAACCGACUAGGGACGAGAAGCAGGGAAUUGGGGAAGGGUUGGAUUUUGGGUUGCUGGUGUGGUGGACCAAACUAUUCCUUGAAAUUUAAAUCAGUUUGUUUGCUUUAUUUUUAUUCGGAUGGAAAUGUCAAAUGUUGGAGUAGUGUCACUUUCCCUUAAACUGAACAUCGCCAAAUUUACCCUUUUAUCAUAGUGGCCAAAGCUUGCAAGAAUUCCUGCUGCUGAUAUCUCGGUUAAAUAGAUUACUGUCUCAUUUAAUGAACUAUCCUGUUUGUUUUGUUGGUAGGCUUGCGACUUUAAUUCUUUUUUUCUAUCAAAUAAAUGACCAUAAUUCGAAUUUCCCUGAACCUUGAACAGUUCAUCAAAAUACAAUAAAGCACAUUUUAUGGACUACUAAGAGAUAUAUCAAUGUCUCCUCUUGCACUUUUGUGUAUAUAUGGAGGACAGUUAGUUUGGGCUGUUUGCUCCUUAAAUAUUGUAUUAACUUCAUGUCCACAUUCAAAAGUUUCUGGAAGCCUAAUUUUUAGAUUAUCGGCUACAGAAAAAGAAAGAGGAUCUUGUUGUUCCACUAUAUCUUUCCCUGGUAGGUUUUGACUCAAGUUGAUGUGGCAUGCUAACUUGGUUGACAAUCGAUCACUUCUGUAGAAUGUCUUAGUAGGUAUCAGUUUUAUCUUAUGUAGCUCUACUGAGAUUUUGUAUGUUUUAAGGUGUGUUCAUUUCUUGAGAACUGCAGUUUGAUGGUAUAAACAUGUUUACUAAGAGUCUUUGCAUCAACCAUCAAACUUGAGAUCCCAGCUACUUCUCUUAGGGAAGUUAGUAUUUACAGACCUCAAUUCUUGACUCAGUGUCAUCAUUUCGGUACUUGUAUCAUGUCCCGUGUACGAGUUGUUGGGUUUUAUGACCUCUGUAUAUGAGUUUUGAAAGAUCUUCUGAAAAUUGACUUUGUGUGGGGGAUUGCUUACAUUGAUCUUCCUUUACAUUGAGGCUUCUGCUGCUGUUGACUUUCCUUAUAUAAAAAAUUGUAGGCCAAGAGCUUUGAAUCCAUUUUUCUGCUCGUUACAUGAACUCAUUAACAGCUUGUAUUGAAAGCUUAGUCAGAUGCUAGUGUAAAUUGGUUGAGUUGCAGUUAGAAAUGCAUGCUUAAGUCAAGAUAUGUUGCAGAAAAGAGGAAUUACAUUGUGCAGUAGAUGUGUUCCCUGUGAAAAUUCUCAGGAAUCUGCGGAUCAUCUGUUUUCGCAUUGCAAUCAUACAAAGCAGUUAUGGGAUCUGUUCCUGAAUAUGAGUGGUGUGCAACAAAUGAUGCCAAAGAAUGUGAAAGGCCUACUAGUUUGUUGACAGAAUCAGAAAGUCAGGAAAUAACUAACACAAAUCUAGAAAAGCAUACCUCUCUGCAUCUUUUGGAACAUUUGGUUGGAUAGAAUUAAGAGAUACGUUGAGAAUCAGAAGAAUCAUUUAGCUAUUCUUAAAACAUAAAAAUAGUCUUCUAUGUGUACUUUUGAUGUAGGGUAAAUCUGGUAGAAGACUUAGUUCAGUACAUGGAUUUUAUAGAAGUUUUGAGAUUAUAGUAGAUACAACUGUGCUGUAGUUUGUAUGCUUUGAGUACUUUCUUGGUACCUUUUUGAUGAAUUUUACCUUACCUAAUAAACUUUGUUUAUGUUAUUUUCAGGGGGAGUGCAAGUUUUACAAGGAGGAGUUGUCAAACAGUCCUUGAAGCCCAUUUGCUUUCAAUUGGAAGGAUAAUUGCUCCCAUCUUACCCCAUUUGGCCGAGGAUAUGUGGCAGCAUCUUCCUUUUCAGUAUACUGCUGAAGAUGGGCAUGUUGCUAAAUUUGUUUUUGAGUCAAGAUGGCCUGAACUAGAUACAGAGUACCUUUCCUUUCCAGAGGAAGAAGUUGACUUUUGGGGAAAAAUUCUUGAGGUAACUGCUAUACAUCUGAGCCAGCUAAUCCACAUAGUUUGGCCCAAAACUUUAUUUGUUACCAGUUGGUUAAACUUAAGUUUGGCUUAGUAUUCCAAUCUGGCGACCAGUUGCUUAAGUAAGCUCAAAGGGGGCUGAUAUCUGUUUAUCUAUGAGCCAUACAAGUACAGUGCAUAUUGGUAUCUUUAAUAAUUUGAGGGAGCAAAUGAUUGUCCAUGAUAUCAGAUUUGAUUUUGUUUAAUAAUUUAAACUAUUCGUGGUUUCAUUCAUGCUGCCAAAUAGAGCCUAUUUGCUUUAUAUUGAAUCACUAUCUUCUGGCUACUUUAUCAAUCAUUUUCUGAUGAUGACAAUUUGAACAACUAUGACCAGCUAAGGACGGAAGUUAACAAAGCAUUAGAGGUAGCUCGAAGUGGAAAAUUGAUUGGUUCCAGUUUAGAGGCCAAGGUGUAUCUCCAUUGUUCUAAUGAAAGACUGGCUGAGAGACUAAACAACAUGUGCGAACCUACAAAUGAGGCAGAUGCUUUACAUCGCAUAUUCAUAACAUCUCAGGUAUACUGCAGUAUUCAUUUUAACUUUGUAUAGUUAGGACUCAUGCUCAAGGUUCUAUAGGUCUUGGUAUAAAUGUGUCUGUUACAUGUCUUUUAUGAGUAGUGUUCUCGCUAUGUUGUUGCCGAGUUCACUUGAGACUGAAACAAACUAAAUUGGAUCCUCUUGAAAACCUAGUCACACUCGCAACAAAUAUUGGUCAUCUUUUCAGCUGAAUUUCGUUAGACACAUGUGGUAAUAGUCUUAAAACGUGAAAUACGGUCUCUGUUUAGGUAUUCUAGGCCUCCAUAACAGAAAUGUCUUCUUUGAGCGCAUAAUGUAGUUGUUUUUGAGUACAUUCUUGCGAUAUUUGUCAGGUGGAGAUUCUCAACUCCUUGCAAGAUGAAAGGAUUAAAGAUGUUCAGUACACGGGAGAAUACCUCAUGGAAGAAGGGGACAAAAUCUGGGUUGGUGUAUCUCGUGCAAAUGGCUCGAAAUGUGACAGAUGCUGGAAUUAUUCACCUCAAGUAGGUUCUUUUACUGAGCAUCCUUUGCUAUGUGGCCGCUGCCACAACGUGGUUAUCAGUCUACAAACUCGUGAUCUUGAUGAUUUAUCCAAGGUCACACAGAGUGAAGCAAAGGAGGCUAUAGCACAAUGAGAGAGAAAAAACACAGAGAUAUAUAUAUAUUUUUUUAUAAGUUAGAAUAGUAUUAUUUUUGUACAUGCAUUGAUGAAUAGAAAGAUAGUGAUUUAACUGGUAUUGUGAUGUUUUUUCGUAAUCGAUUUGAUUCAGACCUUAUUUAAUAUAUCCAACAGUAUAUUACAGGAUUAUUUUUAGACAUUGCUUUUAUUUUAUUGUUUAAAUUACUGUUUCAACUGAAAGAAAAAAAAUGAGCAAUAUUCUGGUCGAUUAAAUAACUUUGAACUAAAUAAUUAAAAAUAAACUCAUUUGCAGCCAAUUUUCAGUUAUCCUUCCCGCCAUUUAAUAUAUGUCCGUUUCGGUGAAAAAAUUUGCCCCCAAUUUUCAAAAUCCCUACUUUCUCUGUAACGCAAAACCCUCCGAUUCUGUAAUUUUGUAGAUUCCUGCCGUCAGCGGCGACCCUUCUCUCACCCACCGGUGAAAUUGAAUCGGACGAUUGCCAGGUUUCUUCUGUUCUCUUUCUCAUUCUUCUUUCUUCACUCUGCAAAACCAAUGUUGUUUUUGUAAAAACUGAGAAUUUCGAAGAAAUCAUGACAAUUUAACCAAAUUGCAUCAUCUAUGUUUCUUUGAUAUCUUGUUUCAGUAGUUCAUUUUAUUCGUUAACUUGAUGUGGUGGGAGCUUAGUCUGUUUUGAAGUAUUGACAUUAAAGAAAUGUGGAAACUGAUAUGAAGAAGGGACUUAACGUUUUUGAAUUUUGCUUAAGUUGUUUUGUUCGAUUCUUUGUUAAAGAAGAAGAAGAAAAGUAAUGGGAAUGAACUGUGCACACAUGUUAAGAUAUAAUUUCAUUAUUUCAAGAACAAUUAACUGUUUCUCCUGGUGAAUACAGUAAUAUGUGCGAAUUUCCUUUUCUCCGAUAGAAUCUUAAAUAAACAUGUCAAGAAAUAUUGCUCGCGUAAUUUCAAUCUACUUUUAUAGUAAUAUCCAGUCAAAACUGUUUUAACAAAAAUAGAGCAUUUUAUUAUCUCCAAAAAGUGUUACAGCUGAUAUGAGGGGAAAACACAAAGCAUUGUAGACCCCUUAACUGGUUUGGGAAAUAGCUAAAUGAUAUCUUUAUUACAAUGCCUAUGGGAGAAGAGUGUCUAGUCCUAUACAGGCCUUCUGCAUCAUCUUGUUCGCUAGUGGAUUGUUUUUGCAAUGCGUAUUGUUAACUGGUGUCUGUUCCCUAGUGGAUUGUUUUCCUUUUUGUCCAAUUAACGUCUAGAGCAGAUUUAGCCUUAUAUAUUUGUCGUUGGAAAUUGUCCUUUCUUCUCUAAUAAUUUUACCCUUUUUUCACCAUAAUUAACCAUGGUUUUCAUCAGGCUGAACUCGAAAAGGCGCAGACUUGAAGAUCCAGCUGAACUUGCGAGCUCAAGCAGGAACCCUUGUAAUAAAAAGGAGGUACAAAGUCCAACAACUCCAGAUCCAGUGGUUGGGCUUUCUGGCAGUAAAAGUCAAGGAGAUCAGUUAUUUGGUAAUGUCUUGAAACAAGUCCAUCCAGAUAAUGUGAAACUUAAACCUACCAUAGCCAAGUUUAUAUCUGGUUUGGGUGCACCAGCAUCAUCAAUCCAAGUUGAGGCUAUUCAUGUGAAACGUUCCAGUUUUGUUUACGAAACAAAGUUGCAAUCUUUCAAUCUACUUUCAGAGGCCAUGACGAAAAAAUGCAAUGAUAAUCCUAUUUUGAAGAUUGGUUGGUAUGGAGCUUCCAAGGAAGAAAUUGUUGACAUAAUUACGAUUGGUUUAUUCGAUCAAGUUACCGUCAUGGAGUUCAGUUUUCUGCUUAAGAUUACCCUCUUGAUUUUCUCCAAACUGCUAUUCAAAACAAAGAUGGACUAAGACAUAUAUUGAUUUGCCAAGUGAUAGUAGGAAAAAUUGAAGUUGUCACUCCUGGUUCAGGACAGUUUCAACCUAGUUCUGAGGUUCUUAAUUCUGGGGUUGACAAUUUAUUUUCUCCAAGAAAGUAUACUGUUUGGAGUUGUCACUUGAAUACUCAUAUCCUCCCUUUAGGCAUAAUCAGUUUCAGAGUUUCUCCUCAUUCAAGUUAGUGAAGCAGCAGGAAACAAUAUGUUGAUUGAACUCAUGAAGUCCCUUUGUUCUGCUCAGGUAAAUCAUCAUAACCUCUUCACUGAAGCAGUCAUUAGUCGUUGUUCUGUCGUUACAGUUCAUGGGGUAUUUCUCCCUUAAAACUCAUGGUAGUGUCAGAGUGUCGAUUUGACUAACCACAUGGUCACUUAAAGUAACAGAGCUAUGCAAAGCAAGGGAUUGGUUAUCUGUUCAAAUCCCUGAAUCGUGUUGCUUUUUUGUAUUUCUAUUUUAGAUACAUUAUCUAACUUUAUAACUCUUCAUUCAGCAGCGUAUUUAUCUCAGCGAAGACUGCCAGAGCAAUGACGACACUAGGAUUCUGUGUUACCGUGGAUUGCUGACUUUACAUAUAUCUGUGUAGCAAAUACUUCUUUUACACCCCACCCCCCCUCCAUUGGUAGUAGUCACUAGUAUAACAGUUUUUAGUUGUUUGUAGGAGUAACAACUGUUGUUGACAGUCCUUGUACCUAAGGUGGUGAUGUUAACCUGUAAUGCCAUUCUAACAUGGUUGUCUUUAACCUUUCUAGCAGUGAUGAAUACUAUCCUUUCACAAAUGUAUAUUCUUGAAUUGCUAUUCUAACAAAAGUAUGCCUACAAUAAGGACGUAUUGGAACAAGCAAUAAAGGUUGUGAUGGAGUGGUAAAUAUUCAUUUAUAGUCUACUCACCAAGUUUUGUGUUCACUUAAGCUAUAUAAUCAUCAAUCUUUCACAAGCAAGGAAAUCUUGUAGAUACAGAAAGAAAUAUCCUCGAACUAUGAGAACUCACCACGAAGCUGCUAAUUAUAGGCUGGAAGUCAAACUACGCGUGAGCUGGAUGAUGAGUGCCUAAACCUACAUCAUAAAACGAUGUAGUGUAAAGUAUGCCUCCGUACUUGAUAUGUACUGAGCAUGCAUGAUAUAGAUACCAAGUUGAACAAUGAUAUAACAAAGCAAUAUAAUAAUGAGCAUGAAAAAUAGAUUGUACUGAAAUGUAAGGGAAAAGCUAAGCUAGAUGCUGUGACCAAGUACUAAUCAAGUAGCUAAUAUAAUGCACUAAAUAUUGAAAUUCAUGGUCAAUGCAAUGAAAGUCUGGUUGUGGGAGCUACUGUUAACCAACAUAAAUUACGUGAGCUAAACGUGGAGUCCGAUGUACACACCCCAUCAAGAGGAUCCAAUAUACCCUACUAGGGGUAUAAAGAUACGACUGAGGCGUGAUCACUAAAACUAGUGCCCAACAGAGGGGACUUCUGAACCUAUGUUGGCACGUAGUUUUAAACAAGUGAGGGUAUGUUGAGAUCUAGUCCAACUCGAUGCUAAGUCUACUUCCAAUUGAAUGAAAAGCUAAAAUGCAACAAAGUACUGAAUAGCUCAAAAUACUUACAUGUCAUCUGGGAAUGCACAUAAAUAUACUAAAAGGUAAUGGCAUUCAAAUUCUAAAGCAUGAUCUUAUGACUGAUUUGUCUAGCAAGUAUAAUUUAUGAGUGCUGAUGAUUAAUGUAAGCCAAGGUUUUGAAUUAUAUACAUGGAACUAUGAAAAUUUCCAAUAAAACAUGCUAAUUAGAUUAUGGAAACCAUUGUAGCUAAAACACAAUAAAUCUCCAAAGUUUUAAAAACCCUAGGUCUAAGCAUGCUAUGAAGAAUUAAAAAACUAACUGAACUCUAGAGACCUAAUGGACUAAAAGAAUCACUGGUGAAAUUCCCACCUACUUGGUGACCAAAUCUAAGGAGAAAUCCUUUAGUUUUUGGAAUGAACUUGAAAAAGACUUCUACUUGUUCUUGUGAGUAAUUGUAGACUCUUGCUUUUUCUUUUCGUUCUAAUCUAGGCGAUUUUAGGAGAAUGAGAGUUCUUAGUAGUUUCUGACUAGUUUAUUAAGCUUAGACACAAUGAAAAGAUAUAGUCUAAGCAUUAAACGACGUUGUAAGUACAAAGUGCAUAGGAAAAAAGAUCAAUGCCAUCCUGACUAUGACUCAAAUAGGGGCUUCACGGGCCGUCAUGAUGACCAAAACCCAUCUAGCAACUCAUGAAGAUGCAUUUCCUGAUGAGACUUCACUAAAACGGGCAUAACUUCUUACUCAGGAUCUAGCCGGAAGUCAAUUUCUCCUUUCCAUGAUUCACUUUCCUCUUCGUUUUCAUCACGUGAGUCGUCACCAAGAUGACACAUGAGUGAUGUUGAUUGGGUUGACUUUUGCUCUGUUUAAAAACAAGCACAUUAUCUCUACAUCUCCUUAAAGAGGAAAGACAAGUUGUUCCGAAUUUUCAAAAAGACACAGCAACUAUGCAGUCAUCCUAUUACCCCCUAAACAAUUUUAACGUGAAAUAUUUACAUUAUUUUUUGAUCAAUCUCAGAUAUUAAAAACCAAGUAUUUUACACACAAAUCAUUAUGUGUCACGUGUUAAUUUAUUUUAAAAUAGAAUUCUUUUUCAUUUUAAUUUUUUCUUUACCUUUUUUUUUCUCUCUGUUACCUUUGCUUAUUUUAUUUUUAAUUAUUUAUUUUAAUAUUAUCUUACAUUUCACUUCACCUUCCAUCAUCCCCCCCACACCCUCGUCAAGCUGUGUCCCUUCCCAUUUCUUUUUUUUUCUUCUUCUUUCGUCAAGUUUCAUUCUUCCAGUAAUUUUUUUCUUUAAAAAGUUACAUUAUUUUCUAAACUUUUUUAAGUCGGUGAUAAAAACUAAUUAUUUUUUUAGAAAUUUUAAAAUAUUGAAAGUAUCAUCAAUUAAUUUUUUUUUUCAUAUAACUUCAAAUUAUAAAUAAUUGAAAGAAUAAAUGAAUACCCUCAAAAUUGAAAGAGCUUGAUGAAAUAUGAAUAGUAAAGUUAAUGAUACCUUCUAAUCAUUUUGAAAUUUAAUAAGUUCAUCAAAUAAUUUGAUUUUUUUUAAAAAAAAUUAGAUAAAGGUUUAAAACUGAAGAGACUUUACCUAAUAAUAGUUUUAAAAAAAGAGCGUGAAAUUGUGGUAAAAAUUACGGCACUGAAAGUGGAGAGUUUUAAUAGAGAAAAUUAGGGGUGUACAAAAUCGAACCAAAUCGCAAAUCGAAUCAAAUUGAAAAAAAAAACUCGACUAGUGAUUUGGUUUGACUUGGUUUGGUGUUGGAAAAAAAAAACGACUAUAUUUGGGUUGGUUUCAACUAAAAAAGAUCAAUCCGAGACCAAACCAAUCGGACAUUAUAUAUAUAAUUUAAAAAUUUUAUUUUAUACGUAGAAAUAUUUACUUUGAUAUAAUUUUUAAAUAUCUCUUAUACUUUUUCAUAGUUUUUAUCUAUUAAUAUAUUUAUUUCAUGUUUGGAAGUUAUAAUUCUUAAUGAUCUAAUAAAUAUUAUAGUUCAUACAUACAUGUUGGAAAUUAUAAUAAAGUUUAAAUAAAAAUCAAAUUAAUAUUAAUGCAAAAUGGAAAAUCAAUCCAACACUAAGAAUGACAAUAAUCUUGAAUAUUUGUUUUUUAGUUUACAUAGAUUUAGACAAUUAAAAUACAUGAUCUAAUUUUACUUUCUUUUAAUAUAUAGUCAUGUAACUAAUACUUACUAAACUUAUUUUAGCAUGAUUUAGUACUUUAAAUUAUCAUCAAUUUCAUUAUGACCUAUUAAUUUGCAAUAUUUGUUUUACGCGAUUUUUUUAUUUUUUAUUUUUGGAUAUUUUAGUGUCGUUAAUCAAAUCAUAUUUUUUAUUAUUUGCUUGAGAAAUAACUUAGAUAGUUGCAUUUUGGUAGGACUAAAGAAAUAUUUGAAGUACAAGUAAAUUAUAUGUUUGUAUGAAUACUUUAUCAAAAAAAUCUGAAAAAAUCCGAAAAUCCGAAGAAAAACAAAAAAACCCAAAGUUGAAAAACCCGAGUCUUAUUGGUUCGGUUUGGUUUAUAAAUUCAAAAAUGCGACACAAAUGAUUUGAUUUGAUAUUUGAAAAAUCAAAAUCAACUCGGUCAUGUACACCCCUAUAGAAAAUAAUGAAGUUUUGAAGAAGAAAGAAAGAGAGAAAACAAAGAAAAAAUUAAAAUAAUAAGAGAAACAAGAAAUUAUAUUUUAUAACAAAAUACCUAACAAAAUAAAGUUAUAUUCAAUAUUUUAUGUUGUUCAACCUUUAAAAAGAUUUCAUACAAUCUCUAUGCCAAGUGGACGAAAAAUGAUGUAAUAAUAUCAGUUCAAGAUUGUUUAGGGGGUAAUAGGACAUCCGCAUAGUUAAGCUAUCUUUUUGAAAAUUGGGGACAAUUUCAGGUAUCACUUUAUGUUUUCUCUUUCCUUAAAUAGUUACUUCGUAUCAGUUUAUAUUUGAAGAAUUUUGUAAGAAUAAUAUAAAUCAUAGUAAUUGAUAAUUUAAAUAUUUAAAAUACUAAAAAUAUAACAUUCAUUUCCAAGAUUAUUGAGGAUAAUUUUCAGUAUUAUAUGGAAAAUCAUUCAUAUGAAUUGCCACAAGGAAGUAUAGGAAGGUAAACAGAGAGCCCAUAUAAACAAUUGACUGUUAAUCUUGUUUAAUUAUGUGAAUUGUGCAUCAUUGCAAUCAAAAAAAACUUUAAGAAAAUGAGUAAUAAUUUGGAAUAGUAUCUAAAAUUUUAAAAAUAGUAUGUUGUUUCUGUGGCUCCUCCGCAAUUAAUUAUUGCAAAGUCAUCAUUGUUGAAGAAGAAGGAAACUGACUAUUAUAACAUGUCAACGAAACAGAUCGAACACAGUUGAUUGACCUAUCUGUAACAAGUGUUGAUGAAAAAAGAAAUUGAUGAUUGGAACAUGUCAAAGGAACAUGUCCAACGAAGCUGACCGACGAGUUUGCGUCAUUGCUGUAGAAUUGGAUUCACAUUAUGAUUAGACUAAUUAAAAUAAUUAGGAUUAUAUUUCGUUUAUAAUUAUAUUAUGAUUAGAAUUAUAUUAUGACCAGUAUUAGAUUAAUAUUAGAAUUAUAUUAUGAUUAGAAUUUAUAUUAUUUAUAAUUAUAUUAUUAUUAUUAUAGUAGUAAUAGGUAUUGUAGUAGGACUCUAAGUAUAGUUAACUUAGGGCUCAACAUUAUAUUCAUCAAUUUAUCAAUCCUACCAAUAUUGAUCAAUAUAUCAAUUUAUCAAUAUUGAUCAACCUAUAAAUAGGUCAAUAAUUAUCAAUACAAUCCUUGAUUUCUCUACGCAAAAUUUCUACAAACAUAACUCACUAAUAAUUUUAUAAAAAGUCAAUAGUUUUUAGGACCAUGCAGCUCGAUAUUUGGUCAUUAAUACGAUACUUAUUUGUGGCUACAUUGAAAUCGUAACGUGCAAUUAAUCUACACCUCACAUAUUGCGCUUUUAACUAUUAAACAAAAAACUUGAGGAGCCUGUCCAAAGGUGUGGACUGUCAAACCACAAAAAAAUCUUAAUGUUAAAUGGAAGAAAAUCAAACCAACUACACAAGGCAAUAGAUUGGACAACACCAUGAUUAAAUAAGGUCCAAAAAUUUAUAAUCUUUUGACUAACUUUUAUCAAUGGAUGAUUUUUUGCAUUAUUAUGUCAACUAAAUGAUAAUCACAAUGAAUGCAUAACAAUUGAAAUUAGUAACUUGAAUAUAAGGCAAACGUUUGUGCAACAAGUUAAAAUAUACUGAUUGUGUAAUAAUUCAUUAAGAUAUCACAAUAUAAAUAAGUUAAAUGCUUUGAGUUUUUAUAAGAUCAGAAUCCAUAAAAAUCUAAAUUGUGCGGACUAUUCACUUUCGAUGCCUGCAUUUUUGUCUGAUUCUCCAAAAACACACUAUUUUAGAGAAUCCGACACGCACACAUUGAUUUUUUUAAAAAGUCCAAACAACAUAGAUAAAAAUCAUAAAAUUCAAUGCCAUGAAACACUUUGAUGCUGCAACAAAGGUUUUAUUUUCAUCACUUGUCUAUUCCUACCUUUAUUGCCAUCUUCUAAUUUUGUACAAAAUUAUGCAUCAAGCAAAUCAAUCUUUAGCAGAUCCUAAAAGCAUCACCAACUACUUUGAAUAACCAUGUUAGCAGUUUUGUCGAAAACAUUACACCAUUAUCCUCUUUACUACUUUGUAGGUAAAAUGUAUGUUUAAUUUUUAUAAUUCUCUAGGUUUCAUUUGUUGGAUUAUAUCAGAUAUAUUGCUUUGUUUGGUUUGAUAUUGAAAGAAAAAAAAAUAAUCAUACUUAGUUGAUUUGGUUUGAUUUUAAAAAAAAAUGUCGAGAUUAGAACCAAAGGCGUAUCCAGAAUUUUGAUAUGAUUGGUGCACUAUUAUAAAAAGGUGAGUCUAAUCGAUUUGACAACAAUUAAAAAUUGAAAUUAUAGUUUCAACAUUGAAAUGCUUGAUUGAUUAAAACACUAAAAAUGCUAUCAAUAAUCACUUAGAUAGAUGUUGCUAAAUUUUAGAAAUAAAAACAAAACAAGAUAUACAUUUUAAUUUAUUUCAUAUACACUUUCAAUCUUUUUUACUUAUAUAUAAAAAUAUUUAAAAUAAUAAUACAUACUACCCAAACCCAUCCUACCCCACACCCUUUCUUCAUCAUCUUCUUCCCUCCAACAUUUCAUAUUCUAAAACACAAAACUCAAUAUCUUAUCAAAAUAUUUACCAAUUUAGUUUUUUUUUUUUCAAAAAAAAAAAUCAUACCUAAUACAUGAGAGAAACAUAUAUAGAGAUACGUACAAGAGUGAUGAAGAAGCAGAGUUUAUUGACAGAUAAUCAUUUAAAAAUCGAUCACAAAAAAGAAAUCAAGAGGAUCCAAAUUAAUUUUAUAGAAUUCUUAGGUAAUAAUUUUUACAAGUUAAAUGAGUUUUACAUUUUAAUUUUGAGGGGUGAUGUUUGUUAAAAGGUGGCCCAAAAUGGGGGUAUCAACUAAAUUUUUUUACUUCAGUGUCCAUAAAUCUUCUUUCUUCUUUCUUCUUUCAUUUUUUAAAAUCCAAUGCAGUUGGCUUGAAAACUAGUUAAAGUGAAGAAGAUGACCGAAAGCGGGGGUGGGAGGCUUUUUCUUUUUGCGAUUAAAAAGUUACUGAUUUCAAAAAUAUUUUAAAAUUCUUUUAAGUCAUUUACAAUGCUAAGAUCAAUGGAAGAAGAAAAAUUGAAGUUCUCUUUGAAAAAAAAAAUGAUUUUAGAUACCUUCAUGCGCCAAAGGAAAGUGAAAAACACUUGCCAUAUCAAUAUUUUGUGUCUAGUAGUUAUACAUUUUGAACAAUUUAGGUGUUCAAUAGGUACUAACCCUAGUUGAAGUGUCUAAGUGAAAUAUACAAGACAACUUCAAGGGGUUGACUUCAAGGGGUUGUAGAUGACUUAAGCAUAUGAGGAAUAACAUGGGAGUAGCUAGCCGAAGGAUCUAGGUGGAGGGUUAUAUAGACAAGAGCGCGGAGUCAGGUAGUGUGGAAGGCGUUUUACCCCUUAUAUGAAAUCUCCCGCUGCAUAUUCACAUUUAAUCGGGGUCCAAUGUCAAUACCAACACAGGAGAGAAACUUAUUCUGGUUGGCCACUAUAGUGUAUUAAGACUGAAAGUCUGCUAGGUAGUCUACAUAGAAGGGAAGUUACCAAACGUGGGAAAGAGUACAUUUUUCUUACUCGAAAGAACCGCAAUCAUAGUAUUUAGGAGAAGGAUACGAUGCUUUAUUGUUUGGAAUUUCAUUAGGGAUAGACCUAGGAUUUGUUGUUCAUCUUGUAUUCCUAAGAUACUUAGAACAAAACUUUAUAGAACUUAGUAAGAAAUAACAAAAGAGUAUUUUCAAAAACAGAAAAUUAAGACUAGCAGAGAAAAUAGGAUCAGAAACUGAUUAGAAACAAUAUAAAAAUAUUUUUCUCAAAGAAAGAAAAUCGAGUCCACUAAAUGCAUAGUGUUCCCUUAAGGAAAUUAUUCCCCUCAGGUACCUGAGGUUAAUGCAAUAUAUCCUCACAUGAUAGAAGGAUCUUACUCAACGAUGUAUCGAUAUCUAAAACCACGGUGUCAACAAAUCUCUCAACGACAGUAAAGUACACUUUGAAUACUAGAUUUAGUAAUAGUAAAAGAAGUCUAGAAAAAUUUUGUUUUUAAAAUGAGAGGAAAUUGAGGUCCAGGGGGUUGGGGGGAGGGCUUGGAGCUCGGUGCCUCGAUGUCCGGGGGUGGGAGGGAUGGGGGUGAGGGGGCUUCAGGGAACGUUGCCUCAAGGGGGGGGGGGGUUUCUCAACUUGCAUAGUUUUGUAAUGGCUUGCUUAGAAUUAUCUUGUUUUCACUUUCUAUUUAGAUUUUAUAAAACAACGCUUUCAGUUAAAUUGAUUUCAAAUUGGGGAUAUGUUAGUCUAUGUUGAUUCGAAUAUCACCGUUAUUAAAAAAUAAAAAAGCAUGAGUUGGGAUGGACUAACUAUUCCCUUAAGUUUUUUUUGUCUAAACUAUCAUGAGUAAUCUAUCAAAACACUUUUUAAAGUUGGCUAGAUCAAGUAUUUUAUUACAAUCCUUAGUAAGUAUAGACAACUAAAUUUAUCCAUAAAUUUCGCCCAUAUGGUAUUUGACUCAUUAUUUUCGAAGUGAAGUGAGUUAUAAUUAAUAAUUAUUGACAAUUCAGAUUAAGAACAUUUUUGACAUUGUCGUUGGGAGCCUCAAAACACUUAUUUUUGAGGAAAAAAAAUAAGUGUUUGGCAAACCUGUAAAAGUGUUUUUAAAUAGAAGCAGAAGCUAAAAAAUUUCUGCUUCGAAAUGUGUCACAUUAAAUGGAACGAAGAGAGUAUAAUUUAGGACAACUUUCACAUAUAGCAAAUAAGAAA
This 94588-nucleotide long non-coding RNA is filed under the name Solanum lycopersicum (tomato). Its description in RNAcentral is "long non-coding RNA (SLYC_LNC000379)". Lineage: Eukaryota; Viridiplantae; Streptophyta; Magnoliopsida; Solanales; Solanaceae. The record is from RNAcentral.